Molecule: long non-coding RNA, 93670 nt
Filed under: Citrus x clementina
Lineage: Eukaryota; Viridiplantae; Streptophyta; Magnoliopsida; Sapindales; Rutaceae
Description: Citrus clementina (C. clementina) long non-coding RNA (CCLE_LNC000838)
Source: RNAcentral
AGCCUUUUGGAAGACAUACAACAGAUCCGUCGGCUUGGGAGUUCAACUCAUCAAGCCUAGCAUUACUUUCUUCUGAACUCAUCCCUUCAACCUCCCAAUUUUUUAUCCGACCAUAAAAUUCUUCUAAUUUUUUUAUCGUAAUGGGAGAAACAGAACCGGUAUCAAUAUAUAGAAGUUUCAAUUGGCGAAGUUCAUCCCACAAUUCUUCAGGAAUUUCAAUGGGAGACUUUCGGAGAAAAAGAAUUUGAAGUCCCUUCAACUUUCCAAGAAAAGACGCGUCACUCACAUCACAUUGAAUCAACUGCAAAACUCGGAGUUUUUUGUCGAGGAAUCGAAGCGAUUUUAGUGAAAGGACUCCACCAAUUAUAGUAACAACUUUCAAUGCUGGCAUCCCUUUAAAAAAAUAUUCUGGAAUUUGCAAUUCGUAAAAAUAUUCGGUGUUCUCCAAUCGCAGAAUAUGAAGGUUAGGGCAUUUCAAAUCACUAGGAAGCUCUUCUUCUUUUUUAUCUACGACAAAAGACAUUCCCCUGCACUGUUGCAGGCCUUCUUCCACCGCCCGUUCCACCAUUUCGAUGCCAGUUACACUAAAAAAUCUCUCCUCUUCCUCCUCCUUCGUUUUGCUUAUCCAUAUGGCUACAUCACGGACUACGUCAUGCAUUUUCACAGAUCUGUCAUUACCAGUGUCUAACAGCAAUGAAGAAGCUUUGAGCUCUUUCAUCGUUCCACUCAGUAGGCUUCUGGUGUUCUCUAUUGACUCAGCUUGAUACCAAGUCAACCCUACUGCAUAUCCAACCAAAUCAUCCAAAUCUAUCUCAUAAUCCUCUGGAAACAAAGAACACAACAAGAAGCACGACCUGGAAUCCUCACCAUUCAAAUAAUCGUAACUAAAUUUGAGACAACCGUAAACAUCUCGGUUCUCCAUAUCAAUACCUUCUAUUGCAUAGAGUUUUGCAGCCUUUAGGUUAUGUAGAGCUAGAUUCCAUUCAUGAAAUCCUUUUCCUCUUAGUGCACUUCCAACAGCUUCAAUGGCUAAAGGCAGCCCGCUACAUUGGCCAGCAACAUCUUUGGAAACAUCAUUCAAGGUGGAGUCAUUUGCAUCAAUGCCGGCAUUUUUUUGCAGUAAAGCCAACCCUUCUUCUGCCGUUAGUGUACCCAGUUGAAUCUGCGGGUCACAACGCAUGCUUUUACAAACUGACUGCAGGCGAGUGGUUAGAAGGAUUUUACAAAGAUUGUCGCUAUCACCAACAGGAAUACCUAAUUUUUCCUUCAAGUCGAGAGCAUUCCAGACAUCAUCGAUGAUUAUGAAGAUCUUGGUGCUUUUACUGUCAGAAAACAUCGAGCGCAAUCGGUCUACUCCAUGGUUUUCAUCUUCCUGUUUUAAUUCCCAACCUAACGACUUCAUCAGCUCGUUUCGAACAUUUAUUAUGUUUGGAUGCCGAGAUAUAGUGGCUAUCCCCACCUUAUCGAAAAUGUUUUUUUGCCGAAGUUGAUUGCCCACAAAUUUUGCCAGGGUUGUCUUUCCUACACCACCGAGACCAUACAAUCCCACCAUCUUUGUGCUCUCUUUUUUCAGUGCGUCAAUGAUCUGAUUGCAAGCUGAUUCUCUGGUCUCGAAAGUAGAAGUAAAAUGACUUGGCAAACUUAAUUUUCUCUCUAAUGGUAGAGGUUUAGGAAAGGCAACUGUUUCGAAUUGGCUGCAGUCUAGCAGAUCAGACAACUUGCAAGUCUUCUCUGAUGCUUUUCUGCCCAGACGAUACCGGCAACACCAAUUAGGACACAAUCCAUGAAGACUACUAUCCUUUUCAUCUAUCUCUGCUUUCAACUUCCAAACAUCGUCCAAUUCUUCGACUCCAUUAUUCAGCCACUCCAUUACAUUUUCAUCGACUACUAUGUCGGGGCAUUUUCGCAGUUCAUCGUCUAUUCUUGUUUUGAUGCCAUCUCGUGCCUUCUUCAACUUAGUUUCUUUAUCCUCAAGUUCUUUAACAAUGCUGUUGAAACAGAACAUAUAGCGAGCUUGGUCAAUGGCUGCAUUCACCAAUAAUUCUUCAACCUUUGAUUUUAAAGCUUCCAUGCUAUUUAUCUGCAAAUAACGAAGUUGGUCUCAGCACGCUAUUAGCGAAACAACAAGGAUUGAUCACCAGACAAAAUGAGAACGUUUAAUUACCUUUUUCUGUACUGUGAAUGCCCGUCUAGUAACACCAGCUUUGACCAAUAAGAGCAAAAUGCAGAGGCGGGGCCUUAAGAGUUUCGGUGGCCUUUAGCUGCAAAACGGCAGAUGACAAAUAAGGUAAACGUUCCCAGCAAACGUGAUUUACGGUGAAUUAUAUUCAAAUUAGAUUAUUUUAAAAGUUGGUAAAUUAUUUAUCACUCUAUCUUAAUGAUAUCUUAUUUGGGAUGGUAAAGAUUGGGGUAAAUUCCCUUUUAUUCUCACAUGUUUAUAGUAUUUAUAUUUUUAUAAAUUACCUAAAACAUCCAUGUAACUUACUUUUAUAGCUAUUGAGCAUAUCAUUUCAAAUAUAAAAUACUAUUUCUGUCUAAUAUAAAUUAAAAAUCAAACAAAUCUAUCAUGCAAUAAAUGAAAAGUAAAGAAUAUUAAUUAGGUUUUAAUGGAAACAAAUAUAAAACAUAAAGGUUUUGAGUAACUUUUGUGAUUUUUUUUUUAAUGUUCAAUUUAGAAUUGAAUAAUUUGCAUAAUGAAAUUUUGAGGUUUCUAUAAUUUAUAUGAAGAUAAACUGCAAAAUAAGUUUAUAUGCCGAAAUUAAAAUAGUUAUAUAUUAGCAAUCAUAUAAUUAUCAAAACAUUUAAUAAGACUUAUUUAAAAAUUGGCCAAUUGUGUUUCAUGAGGAAAACAGAGAGCAUUAUGGACUUAUAUUGGGUCUUGGGAUUGAAAAACUAAGGGUAAGGGGCCGGGAGGUAGGACGGUAGGAAAAUUAUUAUUAUUAUUUUUUUAAAUAUGGUCAACAAUACUGACUUGGAGGUGAUUGCCGUUAAUAAAUUAUCUUUAACUUAAGAAUUAAUACAAACAAAUGGCAAGAAUAAUAUAAUGAAAAUUAAUGUAAUAAAAAAUUGCAUUAAAAGACUUAGAACUUAAAAUUCUCGACCAUUUUAUCUGUGUAUGUUUUUAAUCCAACGUGCAAAAUUGGCAAAAAACAAAGUAAUACAGCCAUUAAAAGUAAAACAAACAUCUAGUUAAGAGCCUAUGAAACAAUAAGAUCUCAUACCUUUUUCGUUAUAGAUCCUAAUUACUGAUGAAAGCUCUAAUUAAGAGAGUCGCACAAGUUCAGAGAAAAUUAAAAGCUGCAUCCAGCAAUGUAAAUAAACAUCAGAUCAAAACAACAUAAGCAUAUAUCUAGCUAACUAAACAUCAUCUAUAACUCCUUGUUCUCUGUCAAAUCUUUCAUUCUUAGGUUAAAAAAAAAAAUUGAAAUAAUAACUAUUAAGUGAUAUAGGAAGCAGAGGUAAUGUACCCAGACAUGACAGAUCUGUGACUUCAAGAGUAUGAAAAAUCAUUGAAACUUUGGGAGAAAGGUCUGAGUCAUGAGUCAUGUUUCACAAGUUGCCAUUGACUUCGUGGGUUGCUUUUAUUUAUUAUUAUUAUUUUUUCAAAUUCUAUAUCAGUGAGAAUUGAAAUGUGGAAAGUGAAAUGAUACACAUGCCUUAUCAUCUAUCAUGAGGGGUAAUUUAGUAAAAUUUAUUUAAAAUAAAAAAAAAGUUUAAAACAAUUUAAUAAGAAGCUUUGUGUCCAACUGUUUGUAUAUGGGGUGUCUCUUGGGUUCUUGAGAGAAUCAGUUUAAUUAAAUAUAAGAUUUUUAUUUUUCUUUUAUAUAUUCCUCAAUUCAAAAUAAUGCUUUUUCUGAUUAAAUAAAUGAAAAUUGACGUACAAUCUGUCCUGAACACACCAUUCAAUUGACCGUUUAUUUCCCCUUAAAUUUUUAAUCUCAAUGAAACAUAGAUAAAAUAGGAACCACACAUCCAUAAAAAUACUAUAGAUUGAAGAAAAUGAAUUUUUCUUGUAAGUAUUUUUGGUUCAUACGAAAGAAUUCUAGCAAGUUAAUACAAAAGUACCAUAAAUUUAUAGUAGUACAAGAGAUUUUUUUUCAUUUGCUGUUAAGAGUUUUCGAGAUGCAAAAAAAUGGGCGAAGGAUGAAGAUGAGAGAAGAAAAAAUAUUAAGAAUAGUUUUGGCAUUUUGAUGGAUUUUAUAGAGUAAAACCUAUAUUUGCAAAUCUGACAAUUUUUAAUGGGGUGUUAUGAAAUAAAGGUGUUUAAAGUAUAAAUAGGUAUACCCAAAAUUUAAUAAAGUUCGAUCAUUUUCUAUUAUGAAAACCUAUAUUUGACUAGUAUGAUGUUAAUUUUGGGGUCCAACUAUAGUGUACAGUUGUAUAGUACGACAGUUAGAUUCAGCUAUUGAAUUUAUCUCUAGUGAUAAUUAGAGGUUAAAUUCAAUGAUCAAAUAUAGUUGUAGUACCAUAUAACUGUGGUAUCAUAAAUUUGCCCUUAAUUUUGAUAAGUCAUUUUUUGGUAGAUUAUUUUUCUGACACGCUCUCUAGUUUUGGUGAAAAAAAACUGUAUAGUUUUAAGGAAAAAAAAUAAUAAAUCAACAAAAUAUAUUGUUGUUUUCGACAACUUCUGCGCUGUCAAGUGCGCCUGGGCAUUGCCUUCUUCAUGAUCAGUAGCAAAACGGGCAAAGUGGAUAUGCUAAAAGUGAUGAAAAUUGAAAAGCCACACGUUAUAAUAGUUAAAAAGAGUAAUAGAGAUUCGAAGACUUCAACAUCCUUUUGCAAGUGCACUCAUGAUAAAAUUUGAAGGAUUUCAGGGCUAUUACCCCCUUUUUUCUUUAAUCAAUAUUUUUAAUAAAAUAAUAUCAUAAUUCCCAAAUAAUAUCCGUUUUUUUAUUCAAGUUUUCAUGAUACCCACCUAUUGGAUAAUUAAUUUAAUUAUUUAUUACUCUUAACUUAAAAUAUAUAAAUAAGUUAAUUUUUUGUUAAAUUAUUUAUUACUCUUAUCUAAUGGGUAUUUUAAAUAAAUUGAAGUGAAGAGUAUUUUAGUAAGUUAAAAUAAUCCAUCAAUAUUUUUAAUGUAUAAAUAUGUUCACUUACUGAAUUACUUUUGAUAAUAAAAUAUAUUAAUGGACCAAUAUGUUAAAAUUUUAAAAAUUAAUAUUUUUUUAUUCUUUUAGUAAAACAUAAGAGACUACAUCUUUAAUAUCCAAAUAAUAACUUCUUGGUUUGGUUGGAUCAAUGGUUUGAUCACAAAAAGACAAAAAAAUAAGUAUGAAACUACAAUUAUACUGUAACUGGACUCAUUAAUUUAAUCAUUUGUUAAAUUAUUUAUUAUUCUAUCUUACCAUAUAUCCAAUGUAUAUAAAUGUCACCUUAUUUGGGGUGGUAAAGAUUGGGGUAAAUUGAAUAAUUUGUAUCAGAAUAAUUUAGGUUUGUGUAAUUUAUAUGAAGAUAAUCUGCAGAAUAAGCUUAUAUGUCAGUUUUAAAAGAGGGAUAUUAGUAAUCAUAAAUUUAUCAGACUUUUUAAUAAAGAUUUUGUUUAAAAAUUGGCCAACUGGGUUUCACGAGGAAAAUAGAGGAGCAUGAACGGCGGCACUUUUAAUUUUUAUUGUUGUUGUACAAAUGAAAUUUCAAAAGAUUGAAAGGCUAAGGGGCCAGACGGCCAAUAGGAAAAAUUAAUUUUAUUUUUAAAGUAUGGUAAACAAUACUGACUUGGAGGUGAUUGCCGUUAAUAAAUUAUCUUUAACUUAAGAAUUAAUACAAACAAAUGGCAAGAAUAAUAUAAUGAAAAUUAAUGUAAUAAAAAAUUGCAUUAAAAGACUUGGAACUUAAAAUUCUCGACCGUUUUAUCUGUGUAUGUUUUUAAGGCAAAGCUUAUGUUACAUUGGCAGUAUGUUACAGCCAUAAAGUUUUAAAGCCUUAGAAAAUACAAUAAUUGUUAAAAAGUUCAAUAAGUUCUAAAAUUUUACUUUCAACCCCAAGCUGCAGCUAGACAGCAGUACUGCAAUUACUUCAAUUUUUUUUGAAGUUUUUCAUUUUAUUUUAUAACAAAUUUAGUACCAAAUUACUCAAUAAUUAUUUUUAUUUUAUUUAAUUGAAUCUCUAACUUAUUAUCUAUUGAGUUUUUAUUCAUUAUAUUAAUAAUCUCUUACUUUAAUAUAUCAUGAUUUUCAAUGUUGAAAUCUUUCAUUAAUUGUUUAACUUUAUUAAAUUAUUUAAUCAAUUGAUCUCUUAACUUUUUAUUUUUUUAUUUUUUUCAUUAAAAUUAUUAAUUUCUAAUAUGUUGUUUAUACUUUCUAUAUCAUUUAUAAAUAAAUUUGGAUUUUCUAAUUUAUUUAAUAAAAAUAAUGACAUUCAGUUUAAUCGAUUAUUUCUCCAUAUCUAAAUCAUUGAUCAUAUCAAAGGAUUUAAAUCUUCUAUAGAAAAAUUAUUUUUGCCUAUAACUAGAAGGUGGUAACUUAUUGAUUUUUAUGUUUUGUGAAAUUAUUGGAGGUUUCGGUAAUUUAUUCAUUAUACUAUCUUUCUAAUAAUUUAUUAAAUUCAUAACAUAUUUAUCACAUAUAAUAUCUCUUAUAAUUCAAGAUACUAAAUGUAGAUUACAAAAUCUAUGUGACAAAAUUGAUGGUAUGUUUUUAGGAUAAAAAAAUAGAUUGAAUAUAUUUGUGUGUGCGCAUUAGAAGAAAAAUCUUGAUUAUGUCACAAGAGGGACAAAAAAUUAUAAAUACAUGUGCAAAAAGACAUUUAAAAUUUGUGAAUUUUUAUGAAUAUGAUAAUGGUAAAAACUCUAUAAAGUUUAAAAAUAGAUAUAGAAGAGAUGGACAACAAAACUAUUUAAUUAUACAAAAUCAAUGAGAACUUAUUUUAAAAAAUAGUAAAUAUGUGAUUAAAAAUAAAUUUUUUAUAAAUUACUAUCACACCUAUACUUGAUUUUAGGUUAAAAUAGUUCACCAUUAGAUUUAAAAAUUUGUCAAAAUCAAUAACCCAUAUUUAUUGAUGAUUUGUUACAUUGUUUGUGACAUAAGCUUUCCUAACGUGCAAAAUUGCCAUUAAAAGUAAAACAAACAUGAAGCUAAAAGCCUAUGAAACAAUAAUAUCUCAUACCUUCUUCCUUAUAUAUCCUCAAUUACUCCCCAAAGCUCCAGUUAGAGAGUCGCACAAGUUCGGAGAAAAUUAAAAGCUGCAUCCGGCAAUAUAAAUAAACAUCAGAUCUAAACCACAUAAACAUAUAUCUAGCUAAUUGAUAUAGGAAGGAGAAGUAACGUACCGAAAUGAGAGCAGCUAGUUCACAGAUGACAGAUCNNNNNNNNNNNNNNNNNNNNNNNNNNNNNNNNNNNNNNNNNNNNNNNNNNNNNNNNNNNNNNNNNNNNNNNNNNNNNNNNNNNNNNNNNNNNNNNNNNNNUUAUUGAGAGGAUGAGUUUAAUUAAAUAUAAGAUUUUCACUUUUCUUUUAUAUAUUUUUCUUUAGAAUGAAUUUAAAUCUCAUUCUUAUUAAAUUCAUUCUUUUUAAAUGAAAGUAGAUUUUUUUACACAAAUUUUAGGUCUAUUUUAUAAUUAAUGUUCAACAAAUCUCUAAAUUAUAUUAUAAAAUUUUAUUUAAAAUCUCAACAGAUUUCAUAACACACAAAAAAAAUACAUAUAUAUAUAUAUAUAUUUAUAUUGUAAUGUUCUAACAAGAGAUCUUAAAUUUAAAAUAAAAAAAUAUGUGUUUUAACAUAUUACAUAAUAAAAUAUAUUAUAUUAAAGUGAGUAAUUUAUUUAUUUUUUAUUUUAUCUCUUAAUUUAAUAAUUUAAAAUAUCUUUUAUUUAAUAAUAAUUAUUAAAAUUUCUGUUUCCCAUUAAACGCAGCAUAAGUGAAGCAAAGGACAUUUUGGAGGCGUCUACCGACCUACCAUUUUGGAUUGCAAUAAAGUGAAGGGUCCCGCUAACUUACAGCUUAUGUCAAUUACAUUCAUAACAAAUUAAUAAUUGUCUUUUGUUCAAUUAUCUGUUCAUUUCUUCAAUCAAGUCCUCGUAUCCUUUUAAUUUAUGAUAAGAUCCUCGCAUGGACCAGAUCUGCAUGUGUGAUAAUUACGGCGGGACCCCCAUUUUUUAAUUUCAAUGGUCAGAUCAUGAUUACACUUACAGACCCACAGAAUAAUGCCAACAACCAAAAAACUGUAAAUUUCCAUGGACACAAAUACCCCCAACCAGUGCUUGCUAAGUACUCAAACUACACAUAUAUAAAUUAAUCACAUGUAUAUUUUACCAUUGACUCUAACAUUAGAUUCCCGCUAAACCAACCCAGUGUCCUUUUAUUUUUUAGCAUUAAUAUUAGGGUCCCGCUAACCUUAAUAUUAGCGAGACCCAAUGUCCUUUUAUUUUUCACCAUUUCUUCAAUUAAGUCCUCAUAUCUUUGAUUGUUAAUUCUGAGCUGAUGAAUAAUUUCUUCGCCCAUCGUUUCUACAUUUAUUAAAAAAAUUUAACUUUUCGCUGUACUUUUAUAAGGGUCUAAUGUUUAUAAAAAUUUAUAAAUUCUAAACACAUUUUAACACUUAUAUUUAUAAUUUCUUAUUUUUCUUGAAACAUAAAUUAAAUUUUUUCUUUUAAUAUGUCUAUAUAUAUUUCUAAUCUAUUUUUCCAUCCAAAGUACACACCAUCAUCAAUAUUCUCAUCUCUCGCCACUCUCAUCUUCAAACUUUCUUGGUAAAAAUUUCAAUUAUGAAACAAAAUUAUCAUCCUCUAUGCAUUUUAUUUUAAUUUUAGAAAUAUAUCAAGAAUCUCAUGCCAACAUUUGUGUUAAGAGAAGAAAACUUCAUACUACUAAACACUUUCUGAGAGACAAUUGCUAGAAAGUCGCCCAAAGAAUUCUUUUUAGACUAAUUUACAGUAUAUCAUGUUGGGCCGUGUGGAACAAUAGUUACAUGGUAAUUUUUUAAUGGGAUAUCUUUAAAGUUAUUAAGUUAAAAAUAAAAAAAAUACAUAUUUUAACAUAUUACAUGGUAAAAUAUAGUGUAUUAAAAUGAGUAAUUUAUUUAUUUUUUUAAUCUUAUCUCUUAAUUUAAUAAUUUAAAAUAUCUUUUUAUUUAAUAAUGGUUAUAUAUAUAUAUAUAUAUAUAUAUAUAUAUAUAUAUAUAUAUAUAUAUAUAUAUAUAUAUAUUAUAAAAAUAAAAAUAAAACAAUUUAAGUCUACCGACUUACCAUUUUGGAUUGCAAUAAAGUGAAAACAGUAUACUACCAAUCUCCUGUUUUGGAUUGCAAUAAAGUGUAAAUGGGUUACUUUCAAAAAAGAAAAGGUCACAGUGAGUUGUCAAUUUCAUCCUUGUCGGCCAAUAAUACAUCAACCUUUUGCUGGAUUUUUAUCACCGACAAAGACAAAUUAUUGAGUCGGGUCCCGCUGACUUACAGCUUGUGUAAAGUUACAUUCAUAACAAAUUGAUACUUGUCUUUAUUAUAAAUUAUUCUUCUAUUCAAAUAUGCGUUCAUGUCUUCAAUCAAGUCCUCAUAUUCGCUCAAUUUAUGAUAAGAUCCUUGUAUGGGAGCAUAUCUGCAUAUGUAAUAAUUAUUCUUCUAUUUCAGAUAGUUUUUGUGAAAAAAAUACUUUUAUCAAUUAUUUAUGUUUACUAAUUCUUAAGUCUUUUUUUAUUACUUUUCAUAGCUCUAUACAAAUGUUUGCUAUAGAAUUUGUGUUAUUUCGCUAUAAUAUAAUUUAUAUUGUAAACCUCUAUUCAUCUGUAAAUAAAAUGACAAUUUUUUUGUUUACUCCUAAAAAAUAUGAAAAUAUCAAUUUACUCUCAUAUUUAUUUAGAAGACAAUGGCAAAUAAGGCGGCAUUGAUAAUUUUUUUAAUUUACUUAUUAAUUAAUUAGAGUAAAUUAAUAUUUUCAUAAUGAGAGAUACAUUGAAGAUUGUCAUUCUUAGUAGAGGAUAAAUUAAAGUUUACCUAAUUAAUUUAAAAUAUCAUUAAAAUUUAACAUUCUAAUCUGGAUUAGAUGGGGGGGGGGGGGGACGUCCUUAUUCGGAUUAGACUCAGCUGGAAGAGGCAUAUCCUUAGCUGGAUCAAUUUGUUCAAGAUUGGAUGCAUCCAUCGAUUUCAAAUUAAGAUCUUGGAAGUAUCAUUAAAUUUUUUUACAAAAAUUUAGAUUAUCAAUCCCAUCCAAAACUUAUUGAAAGGGACAUUUCCUUUCUAUAAAAUUGGGUUACUAUUACCCCCCCCCAUCUUAAAAAUUCUAAAAAAAAAUCAAGGGUUGGCAUAUUUUUUUUUUUGCAAAAGCAUAAGAAAAUAAUUCAAAAGACUAAUUAGGGCACUAUUACUCAAAAUUCUAGAAUAGAUUUGCUAGUUCUCUUUAGCCAUAGAUUGGUCCAUGAUUGGCACCGCAAUAGCUCAGAAUCACCUCAAUGAUUGUUCCACACAGCCAAACAUGACACACUGUAAACUAGUCUAAGAUGAACUUUUCUGAGUGGCUUUCUAACAAUAGUCUUAGAGAAAGUGUUUAGUAGUAUAAAGUAUUCUUUUUUUAACAUAAAUGUUGGCAUGAUAUUCUUAAUAUAUUUCUAAAAUCAAAAUAAGAUGCAUAGAGGACGAUAAUAAUUUUAUUUUAUAAUUGAAUUUUUUACAAAGAAAGUUUGAACAUGAGAGUGAUGAGAGAUGAGAAUAUUGAUGAUGGUGUGUACUUUAGAUGGAAAAAUAGAUUGGAAAUAUGGAUCAGGCUACGGUACCACAGUGGUACCGUGCCACAUCCUUUGUCUUUUAUGGCUCCAAUAUUGUAAAUUUUCAUAUAACCCCCUUUUAUUCGUUUUUAUUUAAACUUUAAUUCACAAAUAUUAAGUUAAUAUCUAUUACAUCCACAUAGACAUUUUAGUUAGCACCUUAUACUAUUUAUUAUUUACAAAUUCUUAUUAUAUAUUGCACUUAUAUCACAAUACCCCCUCUGUGAACCGAAAUGCCCAUGCCGAACCCACAACCCGACCCGGAUGCUAUUUCCAUUUCCGGCCACUUCACCGGCCAAGGUUGGUACCGAUCGGAAGAUCGUGCGAUGCCGGUCAUCUCCAUGCCAAUCUUGUCGCCGAAAAGCGUUCGGAAAGCUCCCGAUUGAAGCCGUGAAAAGCCGCGGAACCGCCGCUUCAAUUCGCCGCGAUUUCUCCGGUUUCCGGUGAUGCUAUCACUUGAGUUUUGCUCCCCACGAUCCCUCUGUAUUUUCCGACCAAUCACAGCCACCGGAGGGAGCCGAUUUGCCGUUGAUCGGUCAUUAAAGGAUUCACGGCUUUGGGAGCUCGAUCCGGCGCCAUCACCACGCGUGAGAGGUCACCACCACCACCGUUGGACUCAGCUCGGCCAAAAGUGUCUAACUCGAGUUUCCCGUCGCCGUCAGUUGAAAUCCGGUCACCGUUGGUCGGCAUGGGUAUUUCGGUAAUGUUUAUAUGGAUGCAGUUGAAAUUAAUUUAAUAUUUACAAAGUAAAGUUUAAAUAAAAAAGAGUGAAAGGGGUUAUAUGAUAAUUUGCCACAAAAGACAAAAGGAAGUGGCAUGGUGCCACUGUGGUACUGCAGGCUGAUCCUGGAAAUAUAUAUAGACAUAUUAAAAGAAAAAAAUUUGGUCUAUUUCAUAAGAGAAACAAAAAAUUAUAAACGCGGAUGUUAAAAUAUAUUCAGAGUUUAUAAAUUUUUAUAAAUAUGAUAAUCAUUAGACCCUUAUAAAAGUAUAGCAAAAAGUUUAAAUUUUUUUAAUAAAUGUCGAAGAGAUGGACGAAGAAAUCAUCCACUAGUUCAGAAUUAACAAUCAAAGAUAUGAGGACUUGAUUGAAGAAAUGGUGAAAAAUAAAAGGACACUGAGUUGGUUAGCGGGACCCUAAUAUUAAUGGUGAAAAAUAAAAGGUCACUGGGUUGGUUGGCAGAACCCUAAUAUUAAUGGUGAAAAAUAAAAGGACACUGGGUUGCUAUCAAUUUCUAUCGUGUAGGUUCAUAGCCGGGGAAGUAAUUGGGCACAAAUAUCUCGGAUGAGAAAUAACCAUUUUAUCCCGCAACCAUAUGUUUAUGGCCUAAAAAAUUUUCACCUCUUUCACUUCUGGAACCCGUGCUUUCUGGCACAUGCACAAUACUUGGUUGCUACUUAUAGAGCGUUUUUAGAAUUUCAACGACAUGGUGCUCUUUGAUAAUUAAAAAAAUCCAAUAUAAUUUAUAGAGAAUUACAUAGUUGUGUGGGGCCGAAAUUCUUAUACAUGUGAUUUAAGUUAUAUAUGUAUAAUUAAGUAAUUAGAAAAUACUAGUUGGGGGUAUUUGUAUCCAUGAAAAUUUACAGCUGGUUGUUGACAUUACACUGCGGGUGUGUAAGUGUAAUCAUGGAUCUGACCAUUCAAAUUAAAAAAUGGGGGUCCCGCUAACUUACGGAGUCAGUAAUUAUUACAUAUGCAGAUAUGGUCACAUACGAUAAUCUUAUGAUAAAUUUAAAGGAUACAAGGACUUGAUUGAAGAAAUGAACGAAUAUUUGAAUAAAAACAAAUUUUAGAAUAAAGACAAGUAUUAAUUUUCUAUGAAUGCAACUUACAUAAGCUGUAAGUUAGCGGGAUUAGACAUGUAUUCACCUAGUUGAAGUAAUGAAAGUCUUAUUUUCCUAACAAAAAAAAAGUUAGCGGGACACUAUUGAAUCACAAGCUUGUCUUCUUCUUGAUUCUGUAAUUUGGCUGUCAAAAUGCAAUAUAUAAAGAUUACGAUAUCUCAAUUCAAAAAAUGCUAUUUAUGAUGAAAUAAAUGAAAAUUGAACGUACAAUCUGCCACGAACACCCUUGAUUCAAAAAAAUAUUGUUUCAGAUUAAAUAAAUGAAAAUUAAACGUACAAUCUGCCACGAACACUAUUCAAUUAACCGUUUAUUUAUCAAUGGGCUUUUAAUUUAUAAGGAGAACCCUUGCGCUUAAAAUAAUAAGGGUUCGAGUCUCCAUAAAAAAAUUUAUACGAUAUAUUUAUAUAUUUUUUAAUUAUUAAAUAAUUGAGUAGAAUUAGUAUAUUCUUCACGAAAUAUGAGUAAAGUGGACAAUUUUCGAAUAUUUGAGAGGGUUUGAAGAAUUUGGGCAGUGCUUCAGAGGAGUACAUGCCACGAAAAAGGUUCCAAUUGUAAAAUCUGUUUAUAAAUAUUAAUUAUUAUACCUACAGUCAUGUAUAACAGUAUUAAAAAAAAAUUAACCGUUUAUUUCCCCUUAAAUUUUUAAUCUCAAUGAAACAUAGAUCUAAUGGGAACUACAUAUAUAUAAAAAUACUAUAGAUUGAAGAAGUUGAAUUUUUCUUGUGUGUUAAGUAUUUUUAGUUAAUACGAAAGGAUUCUAGCAAGUUAAUACAAAAAUAUCAUAAAUUCAUUGUAGUACAAGAGAUUUUUUUUCCUUUGAUGUUAAGAGUUUUGGAGAUAAAAAAAAAAAUAGGUGAAAGAAGAAGAUGAGAUAAGAAAAAAUAUUAAGAAUAGUUUUGGCAUUUUGAUGCGUUUUAUAGUGUAAAAUCUAUAUUUUAUAGUAUAAAAUGAUACAGCCAAAAUUUAAUGAUAAAAUUUUAGGAAAAAAUUACACUCGUCAAAAAAAAAAAAAAAGGCUCAGCUUAGCCCAAAAUUUUUUUAUUAAUCGUCUAGCCUUAAUCUCUUUUUUAUGAGAUUCUUUGGCGUUUUAAUUUAGUCCAUUGUUAGCGAUCCUAAUAACUUUUAUGUGCAUCUAUUUUUAAUUGAAAUAUGUUUCAAGCUUGAAUAAAAUCUGCGGGACAACUGGUAAGUAAUAAAGCUCAUAUUUUUUUUUUAUUUUGAAAAUAAAGGGAAUCACUUACACUUAGCAUGAUAUUAUUUUUGAUAAGUCAUUUUUUUGUAGAUUAUUUUUUCUGACACGCUCUUAGAUUUAGUGAAAAUAAAUUGUAUACUUUUAAUGAAGAAAAGUAAAGAUCAACAAAAUAUUUUGUUGUUGGAAAAUGCUACUUUCCCUGGGUCAAACCCCGAAACUCAUCCAAACGACGCCGUUUCAUCUUUUUUUUUCCUCUUUCAUCUUUUUUUUUCCUCUUUCAUUCUCCCUAAACGACGCCGUUUUGGCUAAGGCAAAACCAUUGCUCUCUCUUUCUCUUCCGUCUUCCCCUUCCUCUCACAGCCAUUGAAUGCCCAGCAAAUUCAUAUCUCACUGCCAAAUUCAGUGACAUACACUUAGUAGGUACAAUCGCAAAGCAUCUGAUUUUGUUCCUCUCAAUGUUCCCCAACUUGUCCAGAUUCUGAACCACAAUCAACACCAACAAUGCCACCACCCCUGCCCCCAAUGAAUGCCCAGCAAAUGUCAAAGUAUAAUUUGGGUUCCUGUCAACCAAGCCCCUUAAAAAUUCACAUUGGGCAUCGAAAACCCACCUUCCAGCCUUCAAUGACCCAUUGUGAACAUAUCCACCAUCAAACUUUGUCUGCCCAAGUUUGUUAUCCACAACCCAAUUUGGAUUGAUUAUAGAAGAGAAGAGAACGAGGAGACUAUGCAGGUAUCCUGUAUUUUAGUUUGAUGAAGGAAAAUGGAACGAGGCAAACGAAGGGGCAGCUGGGUUCUGAAGAGAAUGAAGAGAAGAGAACGAAGCAAUGGGUCUGUAGUUGGGUUAAAUGAAGAGAAGGAAGAAAUCAGAACAAAGAAAAAAAAAAAAAGCAAAACGAUGUCGUUUGAAGACGAAUCAAAACAAAAAAAAUAAGAGUUGAAAACGACGAACUAUGCUGCCGUUUCGGAGUUUGACCCGGGAUUUGACCCGGAACUCUUUGUUGUUUUCGACAACUUUUGCGUUGUCAAGUGCGCCUGAUACCCUUUUUUUUUUUUUUUUACUUUUGAGUUGUUGUUUAUUUUGUAUUAUAAUUAAUUAUCAUGGACUCACGUGUCAUUGUUUUCAUUUCAAGUUCAUAAUUUAACAGUAGAAAUGGGUUCCACAAAUAAUUUAUUUUAUAAUUUUUUAAAAAAUUACCAAAAUAUAAUAAAUAAGGUAAUAAUAAUUAAUAAAAAAGUAGAUUUUAAGAUGGAAAAAUCUUUUUGUGUACUUAAUAAAGAGAUGAUAAGAAUGGGAUGCUUUUGGUUUACAUUCUCAUAGCUAUUCAUACUGAAAAAUUACAUCAAAAUUUAAUUAAUAAAUCAGUGAACUGCAGACUUAUUAAAUUUAAGCUAUUUUACUUCUCAAAAAAAAAAUUUAAGCUAUUUUAAUAAGUCAUAAAUAUACUAAGUUAAAAUUGUAGUAAACCCAUUGUUACAGAAUACUCUCCAUUGAGUGUUCUCCAUAGACUAGCUUUUCAAAGGUUGAAGUGGGUAUACUUUUAGUAAAAAGACCUGCAAAAUUAUAGUGUACCUAUUUGACAUCAACUUUUUUUAUCUGGUUUCGUAUUAUCAAAUACCUUCCCUACCCAUUUGUAUUCCAUUUGAUAUUUUCUAAAUGGUUGAAGGUAAAUUAGUAAAAAUUCAUUUUAAAAAAAAAUCAAAGAAAUUCAAGAAGAAGUUUUGUAUCUGCCAUUUGUAUUUGGGGUAUCUUUUUUUGGUUGUUGAGAGAAUGAGCUUAAAUCUAAAAUAUUUAUUUUCUUAUUAUAUAUUUUUCGUUGGAAAGAAUUUAAAUCUUAUUCUUAUUAGAUUUAUUCUCUUUAAAAAAAGGUAGGUUUUUCUACAUGUAUUUAGCGUGUAUUUUAAAACUAUUGUUCAACAUAUCUUUAGAUUCUAUUAUAAAUAUUCAUAUCUAAAAUCUCAAUAAUUUCCAACAUAUAAAUAUAUAUAAAGGGAGAUAGUAACAUUCUAAUAAGAAAUUUCUUAAGUUAUCAAGUUAAAAAAUAAUUUAAAAGAUAAAAAAAUACACAUUCUAAUAUAUUAUAUAACAAAAUAUAUUGUAUCAGAAUAUAUAUUUUGCUUACUUUUUUAAUAUAUCCCAUAUUAACUUAACAAAUCCUUUAUUUAACUGAUUAUAUAUAUUAUAUAAUAUAUAUAUAAUAAUAAUAAUAUAUUAUAGUAGUUUUCUGAUAAAAAAUUUUAAAAUGUGAGAAAGUUUGGAAAAAUUUUAAAACCGUACGACUUUAAAAAUUUUAAGUUUGCUUUUAAAAUCAUAUGAUUUUAAAAUUUUAUUAUAUUUUUUUGUACUUUAGAAAUUUAGACUGAAAUAUAUAUAUAUAUAUAUAUAUAUAUAUAUAUAUAUAUAUAUAUAUAUAUAAUUUUUUAAAAAUAAACAAUUUAGAGUAAAACAAAGGACAUUCUCCGGGCCUUUUACCUGACUAGCAAUCAACCGUUUUGGAAUGCAAUAAAGUGAAAAUACUAGACUACCAGUCUACUAUUUUGGAUUGCAAUAAAGUUAAAAUGGGUUACAGCAAAGACGUUAGAAAAAGAAAAAAGUGACAAUCAAUCUUGCCGGCAACAUAUCAACUUUUUUGCUGGAUUAGUAUCACUGUCAAACACAAAUUAUUGCAAGCACUAGCAAAAAGCAAUCUAUGAUUUCGCAAUUUGGCUGUCAAAUUGAAUAACAAUAUGAAACAUAACUAGAAAUAUAAGCAAGACAGGAUUUCGAAAUCACCCAAAACUUUUUUAAUAGUUUGUUUUCUUCCAAUACCAACCACUUCAAACGUGGUAAUAGUUUGUUUUCUUCUCCUUCAGCGAUAAUAGCUUCCAAUUGAAAUACCACCUGUACUCCAAGAUCUCCAAUACGCAAAUAUUCCAAAUUUUUUAAUCCGUGCUUCAACAGUGCUGGAAUCGUGUCACUCAAAUGGGAACAAUUGUCCACAAAUAGAAUUUUUAAGUUCUGAGACAAAUAAAUAAAUAACUUGAUGCAAUUAAAAUCUAUUAGCAGCUAGGAUUAUCAGAUGAUAAGUGAUGAAAACCGCAAAAAACAAAAACAGAAAACAAAAUCCAUACAAAAAUAUCAUAAUACAUAUGUAAACUAAUAAAAUAAUUAAAAAGUAAUGGAUUUAAAAAAAAUUAAAUUAGUUAAAAGAGAUCAUAUGAAGUGAUACAAAUGUGACAGUAGAUUGUUUUAGAAAAAUUAUUAUUCUAUUAAUUUAUAUGGCUUGAUCAACUAUUUAAUUGAAUUUGAAUAAUAUUAUAUACACUUCAGAAGUAUUUGCAUCAAUUCUUUCUAAACCAAAAUGAGAUAUGACUUUCAUUUGAAGAAUGGUUUUAGGCCCUAGAAUAAAAAAAUUUCCCUAAGAUAUCUGAGCAUUAUUAUUAUCACCGCCACAUCCACCACCAUCAUCAUCUCUAUAGGAUCAAAAAAUUAAUGGCUGAUCAUAAAAUUUAUUGCUAAUCUAUCAUUUUGAGUAAAAUUGAAUGAAAAGAAAAAAACAUGAACCCAAACAAACAUACCUCUUCAAGAUACUGCAAAUUGGCUUCAAGUUCAGUACUGCUGACAGUCAAGUUGGGACAGUGCUUAAGGUAUAACUCUUCCAAUGCCGGCCAAGUUGAAUAAUAAUUUUCUGAACAGAAGCUGAUGAGUUCUUGGAGAUCAUAAAGUGUUAAUUUUCUCAAUAAAGGGAGCACAAGUAUUGUAUUUCCAUCUCCUACACUUAUUUCCCUUUCAUUAUGAUCAGAUUUUGCUUCGACGAUACAUUUCAGUCUCUCGCAUCCACUUACAUGGAGACUUUUAAGCUGCUCCAAACUUCUAGCUUGUGACAACGUGAAGAUAUAUGUCAACUUGUUGCACCUAUGCACAUUCAAUUCUAUAAGAGUUUGGAGACUGAUCACAUGUUGGGCCGGCGCCUUCCAUAUCCACUUCAGUUCUGGUAAGUCCCACAUAGAUAACUCUGCUAAUCUUGAGAGACUCUUUCCAUGCGGCGACUUAGAGGCUUCCAUUAUGCAUUCUAAAUCUUCGCAAUCACGGACAUCAAGACAAGUUAACUCAUUGAAGCCCCUUUCAUCUAUGCUUGGCACAAUAUUGUAACAACCUAUAAUCCCACUUAAAUAAAGAAUUUCCAGUUCUUGAUACAAUGCCGAAAAAAUACCGAGCGAGGUCGCUUCAGGAGGGUCGUUACCAAUCAUUAAGAUCCUUGCCUUAUCACCUUCUUCCAUUUCAUCAUCAACUCCUUCACCUUUACGGAUGAUGUAUCUUUGCAAUUUCGGGAAUGUAAAGUCUUUUGGAAGACAUACAACAGAUCCGUCGACUUGGGAGUUCAACUCAGCAAGCCUAGCAUUACUUUCUUCUGAACUCAUCCCUUCAACCUCCCAAUUUUUUAUCCGACCAUAAAAUUCUUCUAAUUGAGGAAAGUUUUUUAUCGUAAUAGGAGAAACAGAACUGGUAUCAAUAUAUAGAAGUUUCAAUCUACUAAGUUCAUCCCCCAAUUCUUCUGGAAUUUUAAUGGGAGACUUCUUGAGAAAAAGAAUUUGAAGCCUCUUCAACUUUCCAAGGAAAGACGCAUCACUCACCUUACAUCGAAUCAACUGCAGAACCUGGAGGUUGGUGAGGCUCUGAAGCGAUUUAAGUGAAAGAACUCCACCUAUUAUAGUGACAACUUUCAAUGCUGGCAUCCCUUUAAAAAAAUGUUCUGGCAUUUGCAAUUCGUAAUUAUAUACGGUGUUCUCCAAUCGCAGAAUAUGAAGCUUAGGGCAUAUCAAACUACUAGGAAGCUCUUCUUCUUUUUUAUCUACGACCAAAGACAUUCCCCUGCACUGUUCCAGGCCAUCUUCCAUCGCCCGUUCCACCAUUUCGAUGCCAGUUAUACUAAAAAAUCUCUCCUCUUCCUCUUCCUUCUUUUUGCUUAUCCAUAUGGCUACAUCACGGACUACGUCAUGCAUUUUCACAGAUCUGUCAUUGCCAGUGUCUAACAGCAAUGAAGAAGCUUUGACCUCUUUCAUCGUUCCACUCAGUAGGCUCCUGACUUUUUCAAUUGACUCAGCUCGAUACCAUCUCAACCCCACUGCAUAUGCAACCAAAUCAUCCAAAUAUAUCUCAUAAUCCUCUGGAAACAAAGAACACAACAAGAAGCACGACCUGGAAUCCUCACCAUUCAAAUAAUCGUAACUAAAUUUGAGACAAUGGUAAACGCCUUGGUCUUCCUUGCCAACACCUUCUAUUGUAUUGAGUUUUGCAUCUCGUAGUUUAUUUAGAGCUAGGUUCCACUCAUCAAAUCUUUUAUCUCUUAGUGCACUUCCAACAGCUUUAAUAGCUAAAGGAAGCCCCUUACAUUCAUCAGCAACUCGUUCUGAAACACCAAUCAAGGUUGAAUCAGCAACAUCAAUGCCGGCAUGCUUUCUUAGUAAAGCCAAUCCUUCUUCUGGCUUUAGAACACCUAAUUGAAUCCGCUUGUCACAACCCAUGCGAUCACAAACUGGCUGCAGGCGAGUGGUUAGAAGGAUUUUGCAACAAUUGUCUCCAUCACCAACAGGAAUACCCACUGUCUUCAAGUCAAGUUCAUUCCAGACAUCGUCAAGUAUUAUGAGUAUCUUGCUGCUUUUACUCUCAGAAAACAUCAAGCGCAAUCGGUCUGCUCUCUCUUUUUCAUCUUUCUCCAUUAAUUUCCAGCCUAACGAGUUUGCCAGCUCACCUUGAACCUUUAUUAUAUCUGGAUCCUGAGACACAGUGGCUAUCCCCACCUCAUCGAAAAUCUUUUCUUGCCGAAGUUGAUUGCCCACAAAGUUUGCCAAAGUCGUCUUUCCGACACCACCGACACCAUACAAUCCCACCAUCGUUGUGCUAUCUCUUUUUAGUGCUUCAAUAAUCUGAUUGCAAGUCGAUUCUGUAGUCCCGAAAGACAUAAAAUGUCUUGGCAUAUGCAAUUCUUUGUCUGAUGGUAGAGGUUUAGGACCGGCAACUGAGCUGAAUUUGCAACGAUGUUGUAGUUCGGACAACUUGCUACUCUUCUUUGAUGCUUUUCUACCCAGCCAGUAUCGCCAACCCCAAUUAGGACACCAUCCAUUAAGACAACUCUUCUUUUCAUCUAUCUUUGCUUUCAAAUUUCGAACGUCGGCCAUUUCUUUGUCUACAUCCUCAAGCCAUGUCUUGACACCUUCCUCGACUUCUAUAGCACGGUGUAUUUGUCGUUCUUGUUCUACUCUUUUAUUGAUGCCAUCUUGUGCCUCCUUCAAUUUGGUUUCUUUAACCUUAAGUUCUUUAUUUAUGCUGUUGAACAGAGCAGAUAACGAGCUUGGUUUAUGGUUGCAUCCACCAACAACUCUCCAAGCUUUGAUGCAACACCUGACAAAAUUUCCAUGCUAUUUAUCUGCAAUUAAUAAAGUUGAUCUCAGUAAGCUAUAAGCAAAACAAUGAGGCUUGAUCACAAGAUCGAACGAGAAAGUUUAAUUACCUUUUUCCUAUUCUGUGAAUGCACGUUUAUUGAUACUAGCUUUGACCAGUAAGAGCAAAAUGCAAACGCCGAACUUUAAGUGGCCAUUAGCUGCAAAACAGAAGAGAGGAAAUAAGGUAAUUUAUUAUUAUUAUUAUUACUUUUAAGGACGGAUAUAGGUUAGCUAGCUUGCAGACAAAUUUACUAAAAUCAAGACAAACCUAAGAGUUUUCCUAAUUUGUUCAAACAUGGAAUAAGCGUUUCACAACAGUAUAUCCAUAAAGGCCCCAGCGAACGUAAUAUGUGCUGGACUAUAUUGAAAUUAGAUUAUUUUAGAAAAUUUUAAAUAAAAAAUAUCAAACAACAAAGAAAUCUAAUAGAAUCUGGAUAAAUAGCAUGGGAGAAUAUGGUAAAAUUGAUCAACUUGGUUCAAAAAUUACAAUUCUUUUUUAGAUUUGAACCAACGAUUUUGACUAAGGUCUCCUAAGCCAUAAAGCAUAACUCUUCCUACUAAAUUACACGCAUUUUGUUACAUUUAAAUGUGGUCAUAUUCUUUUUAUUAUAUUUUUUUAGAAGGACUCAUGGUAUGCUUAAAAGAAAUAAUAAUGAUUUAGAUGGGGCUGAAGCCCACUCAUGAAAAAAUUUAAAGGUUUUCAAGAUAAUUACCGAUUUUUUUCCAUCCAAUAUUCUAAUAGAAUGGUGCCAGAAUUCUCAAAUAAUAUCUUAAUAUUAUUCAAUUAGUUGGCACCCACCUAUUGGAUGAUUAAUUUAAUAAUUUGUUAAAUUAUUUAAUACUCCAUCUCACUAUCUAAUGAUGUAAAUGGUGGAGAAGGAUCGUCUCCUAGACUUUUUUCUCUCACUAAUCUCUUAGUGAAAUAAGUGGCCGAAAUUGAAUUUUAAUUUUUGAUAUUGACAAUUAAAUUGGCUUGUUUCACAUUAUUAACAAUUAAGCCAACUUUUUUCUCAUUUUUUCAAUUAGAUUUGGAAGGCUAUAAGAGAGUAGGAGAGAAAAAACACUAGAAGGAGAUCUUAAUCCAUAAAUAGUACCUUAUUUGGGAUGGUAAAGAUUGAGAUAAAUUUCCUCUUAGUCUCUAAAGUUUUGGCCUAUGCCCAGCCAUAAUUUUAGUAUUUUUAAAAAGAAUGAGAUUAGUUACAUUCUAAAAUUUAUUUUAAAUACUCUUUUACUCAACACACUCAUUCAAUAAAUAAAUUUAAAAAAUAAUUUUUACUUUACACACUAUUUCAAUUGUCAAAACUAUCCUUCAUUAGGACCAUUUCAUUAACUAAUUAUUUUCUAUUGACACCCAUAAAAUAUUCAUCAUUCUUGAACCAUGUGGCGUUAAUUAAUGAUUCCGAAGCAUUAUCAAGAUUCAAGAUUUAUGUUGAAAUUCUUUCAUCUGACAUUUGAACCCAGCCACUAGCUAUAUACAUAUAUACUUUCAAAUGCAGCUCUGGGAAUAUUUUGUGACUGAUUUUAUAAAGUGUUUUAGUUACAUUAAUGCAAUGAAACAAUAAAGAGUACGCGGCUUGCUGAUUUCCAAAUCAAGUUGCGGGGAAAAACAGAGCAUUUUUCUUUUAUAAUGGAUUAGAUUAGACGAUGAAGGAAAAAUUAUUAGCGAUUAUUAGUACUUUUGUGUGUGUUAAGAGUAAUGAUAUUAUUUUAAAUUAUAUUAAUGCCUUUGGUAGUGAAUUCAAUUAGGGUUAUUUUAGUAAUAUAGAUUUUCAUUAAAAUUAAAGUGUCCAAAUUAUAAUUUAGAUUUUUCAAAUGUAAAAUAAUAUUUUUUUAUCUGAUAUAAAUUAAAAUUCAAACAAAUGUAUAAUGCAACAAAUGAAAAGUAAAGAAUAUUAAUUAGGUUUUAAUAGAAACAAAUAUAAAUAGAUGUUUUGAGCAGUUAAUUUUUGUUAUUUUAUGCUAUUGGUAGUUUGUGGAUUAAAUAAUUUGUAUAAGGAUAAAUGGGGGUUUGUAUAAUUUAUACGAAGAUAAUCUCCAAAAUAAGCUUAUAUGUCGAAUUUAAAAGUGUUAUAUAAGUAGUAAUAGUAUAUGCAUCAAUAUUUUUAAUAAAAUUUAUUUAGAAAUUGGCCAAUUGGGUUUUAUGAAGAAAAUAGACGGGCAAGUAAUUAUGUAACAAGUAAUUUGUAGGUUGUGGUACUUCUCCAUACUUCAAAUCACUUUUAUCUAAUCAAUUGAUAAAUAUUUUUUGGGCACCAACAAAAUGAAAAGAAAAAGUUAAAAAUAAUUCUGAAAUUAAAAACGUUAGGUACUGCCUAUAAGCUAUACAAUUUUACCUUUUCUUCUAUCACAAUUAGUAUUAGAAAUAAAAAUAGUUUCGAAAUAAAUGUAAUUAGGAGGUAAUAUUAUCUCAACAAUACCUUAUAGGGAAAAAGACAUCUACAUCCUAAAGUUUGGAGAAAUGGUCUUAAAGACCCUAGGUUUUCAGAAAGGGAUAUCAAGACCCUUUUUUUUAACCGUAAUACCCUUUAAAUCUAGUAAUUAGAAAAUUGACUUUAAGAUUUUUUAAUUGACAAAUUUAAUAUAAAUAAUAUAAUCUAUCUAGUAGAUUAAUAAUAUUAACAAUAAAAAUAAUAUUAAAAUUUAAAUUCUUAUAUUUAUUUUAAUAAUAUAUUUUUAUUUAUUAUAAAGAUUUUAAAUAAAUCUUUGGGUUAAAUUGGUUUUCUAGUUAACAAAAUAUACCCCUAUUAAUAAUAUUGAAAUUACUUUCUACAUAAUAUUUAAAAUAAUUAUAAUUUAUUUAUUUCAAUAUUAUGUUUCUAUUUAUUUUUAAAAAUUACUUUAUUAGAGUAAAUUUUUAUUAAUUGAAGCUUUAAAAUCAAUUUUCUAAUUACUAAAUUAAAAGGGUAUUAUGGUCAAAAGGGGUCUUUCCUUUUUGAGUAUUUUGGAGUAUAGGUGUCCUUUUCCCUACUUCAUAUAAAGAUAUUCCAUAAGGUCUUAUAAUAACUUAUAUUAUAUGAAUUUAAUUAAAAUAUCAUUAAUACUUAAAUAAUAAUAAUUAUAGAAGACAUUGUAAAAAUUAUUUGAUAUAUAUUAUUAAUGAUACUAUAUAUAUGUGUAUAUAACUACAUGAUGGCUUGGAUAUAUAUUGUUAGUGUUAAUAAAUUUUUUUAAAAAAAUUUAAACUAUUGAUUUCAUGUAAUUCAAUGGUGGAUGAUUUAAAAUCAUAAAAUAUUGUUUUGACUUUCAAUAUCAACCGUUAGACUGUGAGAAAUUAAUUGCUCAAUAUUUUGUGUUAAAGUUUUAAAUUAAAAUAUCCCAAACCAUUUGUUUUACUUAAAAUACAAAAAAUAUAUAAAGAAAAUUUCUCAUUAAUUUUCAUAUUUUUAUUAGAGGUAAUAUUUUAUGUAUCGUCACCAUUAAUUGCCAUCAUUAAAGUAGUGACUCUUAGUAAUAUAAAAUUUUAUAAUUAGUUAAUUGCAAUCAAAGGAUAUCAAUAAAUAUUUCAUAAUUCAUAAAUUAAAGCUAAUUAAGAAUAUAUGAUAGUUUUAACUUUUAUGAAAUCAACUAAGUGAUAUUAGAAAAUAAAAUGAAAAUAAACUAGUGAAACUUAAAUUUUAUAAGGUUUGAAUAAUUUUCUACCAUGUAAGAAUAUUAAUUGUGACAUAAACCAUAGUUUCAUGGUAUACGUAUGCCGAAUGGGGUAACAAAUAAUAUAUACUUCACGAUCAUGAUAGUAUAUAAAGUAGUGGAUAUUUUAAUAUAUAACAUAAAAUUCUUUUAAGACAUAGGUGGUCAAUUAUAUAUAUUUUAGGACAUAGACAAUCUCAAUCAAGAGUUUAUUGAUGUGAAUAGAUGGCAUUCACUUAAAUGUAUGCACUUAAUUGUGUUGUUUAUUGGUAUUAGAUAUUCACUUAAAUGUAUAUACUUAAUUGUGUUGUUUAUUGGUAUUACACGUAACAAAAUUUUAUAUUAAAUUUUAAAGUUUUAUAUUGUUGUUUCUAUUGAAUUUAUAAAUACAAUAAAAUUAUGGCCAUCAACAAUCACAACCAACUGCCACAACAAUUAGAUUCUCAUAUCCGUUGACGACAAUUUUUUAUACUAUUGGAACUCCAAUCUUUGAAGCUACACAAUAGUUAAAAGUACCGACAUCAAUAGAACUUCCGUUCAUUGUAGAUCUAUAGUCAAAGUUUCGAAUCUUAAAAAUUUGACAGCAGAUUUAUGUCAUAUGAAAGCUUGUUACUAGUAAUUCUUAUACAAUUAUGUUGUUAUAGUUAUAAGGAUUCUAAUGGUACUAAAAUGCACUCCAUUAGACAUAAAGAUCCGACGACUAGUGGCGACAAUAACUAUCAUUAGUGACUUGGAGGUAAUUGCCGUUAAUAAAUUAUUUUUAACAUAAUAAUUAAUACAAACAAAUAAAAAAGUAAUUUAAGGAAAAUUAAUGUAAUAAAUAAUUGAAUUAAAAAAAAUAAAACCUAAAUUCUCGACCAUUUAUCCGUAUGUUUCGAAUCCAACGUUCAAAAUUGGAAUAAAACAUAGUAUAGCCAUUGGAAGUAAAACAAACAUUAAAGAGACUGGGAAAAAAUAUCUCAUACCUUCUAUAAUGAUACAUCCUCAAUCACUGCAGAAAGCUCCAAUUAAAAAGUCGCACAAGUUCGGAGAAAAUUACCUAACAACACAAAUAAACAUCAAAUCAAAGCAACAUAGGAUCCAGCUAACUAACAUCAUAAGUAAGUCCUUGUUCUCAGUCAAAUCUUGCAUUCUUAGGAUAAAAAAAAAAAAAAUUGAAAGAAUAACGGUAACUGGAAAGUUUGACGACAUAAAGAUCUAGCUAAAUUUUAAGAAGCAAAAGUAAAUAAUGAAAGCUCAAUAAAAGAUCAUCAGCAUUAACAUACCGAAAUGAGAGCAGCUCACAGAACUGGUAAUUUCCAAGAACAGGAAAAAUAAGUGAGCUGAUAUUGAGGACAACUAAAGUAGUCAUGGAGUAAUUUGCUAUUGAGGACACCUAAAAUAAGAAAAUUAAUUAACAUUGCUCUAUACACCAUUUCAAUAAUUUGACUAUUAAAAAAAAAUCCUAUCUAGAUCACGAUUUCUCAAAAUGAUGCUUUUUCUAAUUAAAUAAAUCAAAAUGCUUGCUUCUUUCUUUUUCAGAAAAGAAAAAGUGGCAAUGGCAUCAAUUUUUUGCUAGAUUAUUAUCACCAAAAGCACAAGCAAGAAAUAAGAAUACUCUCUGAAACCAACCAUGUAAAGAGUAGAAGUAAGUGGUCAAUUGUAAAUUAGUCUUUCUUUUUUCUUUGUUAUUUUUUCAUUUUUUGAAUGUGAACUAAAUAAAUUUAAGGGUGAAGCUAUUACACCUUGAAAACUAUAACUGAACACCCAUUUUUUUUAAUUAAAUUUUUAUUACUAAAAUAACCAUGGAGUAAUUUGCUACUAAGGAAAACUAGAAUAAUAAAAUGAAUAAUGAUUGCUCUAUACACCCUUUUCUAAGUCUAUCGUCUUCUUAAUUUCAUAAUUUGGCUGUCAAAAAGUAAUCUAUCUAGAUCACGAUUUCUCAAAAUGAUGCUUUUUCUAUCUAAAUAAAUGAAAAUGCUUGUUUCUUUCUUUCUCGAAAAGAAAAAGUGGCAAUGGCAUCAAUUUUUGCUUGCAAGCACAGCGAGGAAUCAGUAUACUCUCGGAAACUAACCAUAUUAAGAGUAGAAAUAUUUAUUGGGUUAUCACGAAGUAAGUUAGAAAUCAAUUAUAAAUGGUCUUUUUUUUAUUUUUUAAUGUGAACUAUAUAAAUUUAAGGUGAGGUUAUUUACACUUUGAAAAACAUUCUGAAAACCAUUAUUUCAUUAAAUUUUUUAUUACUAAAGGUCCGUUUGCUGCCCCAAACGCUCUCUAAAAUAGCCAUGGAGUAAUUUCUUACUGAGGAAAACUAGAAUAAUAAAAUCAAUUAUCAUUCUUCCAUGAACCCGUUUCUAGAUGUAUCUUCUUCUUGAUUUGGUAACUUGGCUGUCAAAAAGAAACCUAUCUAGAUCACGAUUCCUCAAAAUGAUGCUUUUUCGGAUGAAAUAAAUGAAAUUGAACCUACAAUCUGUCACAAACACGUUAUAAUGAGCCUAAUGAAAAGCAGUAUGAGAAAUUUUGCUUCCAUGUUGUUUCUUCCAUAUGUAAAGGUAGUAAAAAGAAAUUUAAGUCCUAGAAACAAAUGGAUGAAGAAUUAUCAAUAAUUAAAAAUUAAAAAAAAAAAACAGAGUUAUAAAAGAAUCACAGUUCCACCAAAAAUUAAGAGUUAUUUUAUUUGGUGGUUUCCUAUCCCGAAAGCAUUACUUGUAAAUAUGUGCUAACAAGUAAUAAUUAAGAAAGUUAAGGCCAAUCAUUUAGAAGGGAGAAAAAUGGAAACAUCCGGAAUAUUGUUAUGUGUUUUCAGUGCGUAUCUACCAAUCAAUAAUGAAAAAUUAAAUACGCAUGUUACGAAAAUUUAAUAAAGAGAACUGGAGGUGACAAAAUUUUUAUUAUUCUAUCUUUCUCUCCUCUGAAACUUCCUUAAUUUGGUUGGGAAGUGCUUUGUCUUAGGCAGCGGAUCUGUUAUAAAUACCCUAUCCUAAAGUUAAUAUUUUGAUUGAAGAAAAAAAUAGAGGACAAAAUUUUUAUUAAAGUAUAACAGAAUUUGGUAAAUUUAGAAUUGAGGAGAGAAAAUGAGUCUAAAUUCGAAAAUUUUGGCACUAUUUACAUAUCAUUAUUUGGGCAAAAAUUCAUUUCUCUGCUUUCAUAUGAUUUGGUCUUUCAUUGUUACGGUGCCAAUUUUUUAUUUGAAGAUGUAAGAUAGUGGUACUAUAGCUUAGAUUUUCCGUAAUUACUAUAUGGUAAGUACAAAAUAAAAUACCAGUUUAAAAUAUAAAAAUGAAAAACUAUUUUUAUAACCAAUAUUCAAUUAAAUACACUUGAAACUCUAUUUUUUCUUAAUAAAAAAAAUUCUAAUUUAUUUUCUCAAUUUAUCUAAACAACUUUACCUAAUCAAGCUAAAUCUACAUAUUACCCUAAACCUUAAUUCAUAAACACCCAAUCAAUCCAAUUGUUAAAUCCGAUUUCAUAAUUAAAAAAGCUAAAUUCUAUUUUAUUAUUUAUGGUGCAAAGUAAAAAAUGCCCUUGAAGUUAAGGGUAAAAUUGAUAUUUUAUUUAAAUUUUGUUAAUAUUCUAAUAAUGUUAAUGUCUUAGUGGUUAAUAAAAUCACAAAGUCAAACUUUUGUAGUAUUUUUUAUAAUAAGGUAAAGAUAUAUGUUUGAUAAUUUUCUUACGUCUUUUUACGUUAAAUUGAGUCUCAAGGGAAAAAUGGUUAAUUUGCUACAAUUCUGUCAGUUUUCUGAUGGAAGAUAAUUUUGAAACAUAGAAUGAAAGAAUAAGUCAAAACUAGAAUCAAACGUAGAAUUUUGAAAUCCAUACGAACUCUAACGUAUUAGAAUGAAAGAAUAAGGACGAUCGAUAAACUAGACUCAAACAAAAACAUGCCCAGUUAAAAAACGAAGGUAAAUAAAUAAAAAUGGUAUAAAAUUGCGAACAAAAUUAAUGAAAUGAAGAGAAAAUCACAGGAAUUCUAUGAAGAGGAAGGUAAACGAAACCUUCGGGAGCUGAGAAGAUGCCUUUUUUGUUGAUGUUUGUGCCUAUACAUACAUUUUUUUUUUAAUUUUGAAGAAAGUAUUGGUUAACAGAACGAACUAUUAAUAAUAGAUGCUGACAAUUUCAACAAGGACAAUCUUCGAUUCAAAUGUACCCCUAUGAUAAAGAAAAAGCCAGCUUGGCUAAAUUUUGAGCUCCACAUUACAAGAUCUAGGUGUAUGUUUAACUAUGCAAAAUGAAACAUCUAUUAAUUGUAAGUCCCUUGACCUCUGGAACCAGACAACUAGUCUCUUUCCUACUAGACAACCUUCCAUCGAUCAGACUAAUAAUAUUUACUAAAUCAUGUUCUACAGUUAAUGAUGGUUGUCGAAGCCAACAAAAAUAAAUUCCUACUCUAAAUAAAUUGUGUGUCGUGAUUGAGCAGGGUCGUGUUCACAGAGAUCGGUAAUUAUUUAAAUCCUUUUAAAAUGCAAAACAUAAAAUGGGGGAAUUGUUGACAAUAAUAAAAAUCAAAUUAAAAUAACAAGAAUGCAAAUUAAAGUUGUAAUUCAAAUUGGAGAAAGCUCUGGUUGAAGGAAUUAACUCAGCUUGAUUCGACUACUGAUCAUUGAUUCAAAUAUAGAUUAUUAUUACUUAUGAAUAGACCGGUUAUAGCUAUUGAGACCCUCUAAUAGCCAAUCUCUCCUUAACUAGUCGAUAACCAAGGUACGACCGUUGGAUAUUUCCCUAAUCAAUAGACAACCCUAGAUACGAUCAUAGGAUUUAAUCAAUUGACAGCCUGAAAAAUCAGAGAGACCCAAAUCCUAAUCAACACAUAUGAUGAUUCAUUUAAAUUAGAUUGUUUAUUCUCAUAACACAACUCACUGCUGUGUUAUUUGUCACAAACAUUAAAAUCUUCAUACGAUGAAUCCUUUAAUUGACAAUAGUUUAAGUUGAUAAUUAAAUAGUGGCCAAUUACCUAAUUAACAAACAUAAUCAUGAAACUAAUUCAGAGAAUAAACAAAUACCCAAAAAGUAAUAAAACAAUUAAAGCAUAAGAAAGAUCUCACAGUAGUAAUGAAUCAAAGCUUCAUUAACCUUCAAUCAGAAAAAUAAGUUUAGUUCUUCAUAGAGAGAAAAGAAAAAUUAGAUCUAGGGUUUCUUUCUUUUUCUCCAAUCCAAAAUCCCCUCUUUUCACAAUAGAUUCCUCCCUUAAAUACUCUCUCUCUUCUCUUUUAGAGUUCUAUUUAAAAUAAAAUACUAAUAUCUGAAAUAUUAAAUUCGUAAUUACAAAAAUAACCAAAAAUACAAAACACGUUAAACUAAAAACUGCAGGUCCGCAGUUGACAACACGCGCCCACGCCUUAUCAACAAAGUUCUUCUGACGCUCAUAAUUUUUCCAAGAGAACAAUCAUCUUUAAACAUCAUCUUAUAGCUCAAUUUUAUCACCAAUCAAUAGAAUUGCACCUACAAAAGUAAAACACAAGUAAAUCACUAUUAUUAAGUGCAAAACAUCCAUAUUAAGGGAAGUAAACAAUGCAAAACUAAUGUAUAAAUUGCACUCUAACAGUUAAUGAAGUUGGACCCAAGGCAAUGUCACAGGCCACUCAAAUUUCCCGUAAUUGGAGGAUAAUUAUGUGCACAUGAGUUUGCUUAGCAAAAAUCCGUCUAGGCGUGGAGUGCGCUUAAAAGCGGGAUGCACUUAGAAGUGGGAUGCGCUUAGCAAAUCAUCGAAGCCCGACCCAAGAUCUAGAACUCUCUGCAAAUUAUAAAUAAGCUAAAAGUUUCUAUGUUUCUCCACAUAGUUCCCUAGGAUAUUUAUGGAAGUUGCUAGGAAGUUUCCUCCCCAAGAACUCUAAUACCUAUAAAUAGGGGUGGGCCCCCUCAUUUGCCCAUCAACCACACCACACACACAAACACUUCAGCACACACACAAGCUCUCUAGAUUUUGUAAAAAGCUCUCUUGUAUAUUCUCUCUUUGAGAGUAAUAAAAUCAUAUUCAGCCAUAUUGCUCUACUUCUCUCUAGCAUUUUCCGCAAGUGUUCUUGCUUCGCUAGUUUGAGGAGUGGUCUAGGCUUGCUUAGCAACUUGUUUGCUACAAGGACAUCUUGGUCACAAAACAUGGACAUGCAAGGAAAAAAAAAUAUUGAUACAUUCUAAAAAUAAUACGCAUUCUUCUACAGUGAACCAAAAAAUUUAGGCUAAUGGUAGCAAGUGAAGGAGUUGUGAUUUCACGUGCAUUUUGUUGACAUGAACCUAAAGAACUUUUUUAUAGUUUAUAUUGUUUAAUAUAACAUUUGAAUUGCAAAAUAUGGGUACAAAAUGGAUACAUGAAGUGAUAAAACUAAGCUGAUUCUGAUAAAGAUUGAAUUAUAAGAUUUACGUUUAAUCAUAAAGACAUAAGUGGCGCACAAAGUCACGAAUUAUCAUCCAUGAUGCCAUAAACAUUAAAAUUGAGGUGCAUGUAAUGGUUUUCGACUAUCGGUGUAUAUCAAGAGGUCAAUUGAAAGCACAUGGAGAUAAGAGGUCAAUUGAAAGCACAUGGAGAUAAGUUAAAUUUUUAGAAUUCAUUGUCUCUAGAAUAUCUAUACAUACUAUAUUCUUUAGUUUUGCUUCAAUUGUUGAAAUUCCCGUGAUAAACAUGAACAACAACGGGAUUCCGAAAAUCGAAAUCAACACAAGGUCUGUAACAUUCUUUAUGUUCCACACGCUUCGAUGGCAGCAGCCACCAGCCAAUAACAAAUGAGGAUCAGCAAAAUUUCGGAGCGGCUACCAGAUUAUUAAAUAAGUUUUUGCUGUUAAUUAAGGAAUUAAUUGAACAACGUUAAAUUAUGGAGAAAAUCUUUCGUGAUGCAAGCACAUGCUUUUGCCCUCCAAAUCAAACACUCACCAUUGUAGGCCCCAAUGUCGUCUUUAUAGAUUUUCCAUCUUUAUGAUAUGUGCUCUUCUUAUCAGGAAAAAAAAAAAAAUUUCCAGCCGCAAACAUCGCCGAAAUUUCACAUUAUUAAAUCUAAAUUCAUUCAUUUCUUGACAAGGCAUAUCUCCUGCCUCUUCAACUUGCUUCUUGCAUCUAGCCAGCUAUAUAUCAACAAAAUUUACGCCUCGAAUCCGUUCCUAUUAACUACAAAUCCAAAAUAAUAAUAAUAAUAGUAAUAAAAAAAAAUCUUGAAGUAAGAGAGCGUAAAUACUAUUUUAAACAAUGUAAUCCAAUGUUAUUCUCUUAAGAACAUGAUGAAUAUUUGUUAGCACGGACAAUUUUUUUUUAAUGAUUAUGUUGAUGUUUCCUAAAACAUUGAGGGGCAGCUUGAAAUUAACCUUUUCGAAUACCCUAAACCCUCAACUCAAACCAGGUCCAGUUGUGUGCUUUGUUCCCUCCAUCAGUCUUAAUUUUUAUUUAAGUGGUACUGUACCACUGUUGCAACAUAGCUGAAUCCAUUAUAAACACCUGAAGUCAAAGUUAAUGUUUUAAUUGUUAAGAAAAGUUAGAAGAAGAAAUUUUUUUAUAAGAGAAUUGGGUUUAAAUUUAGAAUUCUUUGGAGGAAAUGAGUCUAAAUUCCAAUAAUAUAAUUCAGCACUAUUUAUAUAUACCAUUAGUUGGGUGAAAAUUUAAUUUCUCUCCUUUGAUGUGAUUUUCAUCAUUUAUUUUUAUAUGAUGGUAAUUUUUUGUUUAGAGUGAAGUUAUUGGCACCCUUUCAUUAUCCUUAUAAAAUCCUACUUCAAAUAAAAUUACACUUAAAGACAAUAGAAUUAAAUAACAUAGUUUUUUUUUCAAACAAAUUACUCACAUUCAUAAUUUUUUUUCUUCUAAUUUUCUGCAGGUUGCUUUGUAUCUAACUAAAAUAAAUUGUAUAAAUUUAGAAUAAUCUAUUAUUCUUUUUAAAUUCCUUAUUGAUUAAAUAUUUGUGUGCUUAAGAUAGCUUUAAAAUUAUAAGAUAAAAUAUAUAUAAUUUAAGCCAAUGAUUAACAUUAAAAUACUUAUCUCUCAUAAAAGUUUUUAAUUUGUGCAUAGGAUAAUAAUAAAAUUGCAAAAGAAAUGAAAAAUAGCAUAGCACUAUUUUGAGUUUAAACAAUAAAAAAUUAAAUGAAAAAUUAGAAGUGUAUUUAAAAAAAGGUUAUUUUUGAAAAUAAAAUAAAUAUAAUUAAAAAAAAAAGAGUUUCAUGAGGGGUGCAAUAGUUCAACUCUUUUGUUUAUAAGUUUUAAGAUGUUGGUAUCCGUAGCUUAGCUUUUCCCUAAUUAUUAUAUUAAAAUGUAACAACAAUGAUGAUCAACCCUAAUUUCAUGGAGGUCAAAGAUUUUGGUCAUGCCGCAUGAAUUAGUUGGUGGGAAACACUUUAUAUAAAUUUAUUUACAUUCAAUAAUUUGACUAAGACUGGGUAAGGUGCUGCCUGGAGUCAUAGAAUUUUUUAUGUCAAAAGCGCGUUUCACUUCAAUUAAGCCAUAAAUGUUGUUUAAUAUGCUCAUUUUGUAUUUUUUUUUUAAAAAAGUUUUAUUAAUUUUUUUGUUUUUAAAAAUAUCAUUUAUUUAUUUUUUUUAAUUUUUUUAAAGGUAAAGAAGUGGGUAAAGUUCAAAUUUAAUUUUUAUUCCUUACGUCAUGACCCCUAAGAUUUGAACUUAGGUGACCAAAUGUAUAAUAAUAGGCAUCUCAAAUUUCAUUUCUAAUGAUAUGCAAUUUAUUAAGAGAUUGUUAAUCUUUACAAGAUUCGAGUGAAUUAAUUGUAUUAUUUCACUAUUAAUUGAUGAGUAUCAUAUUAUUUGGAAUAACUUUUGAAUAAAAAAAUUGUGAUGGAUGAAAUAUUCUUUUGAGAAUUUAUUGACUUAUCUCAUUUAAGUGAUAUUGCAAAUAAUAUUAUUGUUUUGACGAGUAAGUUUGGAGUAAAUAUUACAUAUGGCAAGUGUGAGGUUUGUUAUUGCAUAUAUUUUGUGGAUCCAUUUUAAAGCCAAAAAAAAGGCAUUUUGAUUCAUUAUGAUUCUAGAUAAUUUCAAGCCAUAUGUCAUUAUUGGGAUAAAAAUAAAGUAAAAUGGUUAAAACUAUUUUUAUGUAAUUUAUAAAAAUUAAUGAAGCAACUACAAAAUUUUUUAACACAAAAAAAAAUUGAAAUGUGUGUGGAAAAAGAAGAAAAAAAAUAAGGCAUUUAAAUAUCUUCUUAAAAAAUACGAUUGAGUAAAAUCAUUUUAACAGAAUGCUCUUCCAAAUACAAUUCCACAUUUUUUUUAUUGCAGUGGGAUAUUCCAAAAUUGGCACAACUCAUUAAGAAUUCGGCAACUCAAAUUUUAUUUAUCUCUCUAUGCAUUUGACAAAUUAAAAAGAAAAAAAUCCAUAUAUUUUCUGUUCAAAAGAAACCUUGGUAAAUAUUGUAAAACAAAUUACCAAUUUUUUUUUUUAAUAUAUGCCAUUAUAUCGUCGCUAUUUUCUCGCCCACUUUCUUAAAAUAGAAUCAAUAUUUAUUGAUAGGUUGGGUUCCAAAGUAAGCACCAAUUCAGCAAAAUGGUUUUAUAGCAGAAAAAGCACUUGUAAGACAUUAUAUGAGUGUGUAAUUUGUAUAUAUAUCCCCAUUAAUUGUUGAUAGUCCAAUGGGUAUAUGCAAAAGGAAAAAAUUGGCUUUCCUUUUAAGACAAAAUUGACUGUCACAUGAAAAUGUUUGUAUAUAUAUCCCCAUUAAUUGUUGAUAGUCCAAUGGGUAUAUGCAAAAGGAAAAAAUUUGUAUAUAUAUCCCCACACACACAAAGCUCUCUAGCUUUUGUAAAAAACUCUCUUGUAUAUUUUCUCUUUGUGAGUAAUAAAAUCAUAUUCAGCCAUAUUGCUCUACUUCUCUAUAGCAUUUUCUGCAAGUGUUCUUACUUCGCUAGUUUGAGGAGUGUUCUAGGCUUGCUUAACAACUUGUUCGCUAUAAGGACAUCUUAGUCACAAAACAUGGACAUGCAAGAAAAAAUUAAUAUUGAUACAUGCGUUCUAAAAAUAAUACGCGUUCUUCUACAGUGAACCAAAAAAUUUAGGCUAAUGGUAGCAAGUGAAGGAAUUGUGAUUUCACGUGCAUUUUGUUGACGUGAACGUAAAGGACUUUUUUUUAUAGUUUAUAUUGUUUAAUAUAACAUUUGAAUUGCAAAAUAGGGGUACAAAAUAGAUACACGAAGUGAUAAAACUAAGUUGAUUAUAAUAAAUAUUGAAUUAUAAGAUUUAGGUUUAAUCAGAAAGACAUAAGUGGCGCACAAAGUCACGAAUUGAUAUGAUCCACGAUGCAAGUUCAAACAACUGCAUAAUAAGUUGCCCUAAGCUAAACUAUUAAUCUAGUAACUAUUCUAGUUGAUGUGGGAUAAUUUUCCUAUCAUCAUCUAUCACGUGCAAGCCGAAUUUGUUGCUUGGUCCUUACAUGUGGUAAGGUAAUAUGAAUCCACUUGUGCAUAAAUUUGGCUCCGAUAUUAUAUAGAAGCCUAUGAUCCAAAAUUAUACUUAAAGGUUAUUUCAAGAUUUGAGGGUUGCCUCAAGCUAAUAUUAUUAUUAGCCUGGUAACCUUUUUUUUGUUUGUUGAUAUGUGAUAUUUUCCCUAUAACUUUUAUUAAUCUUUAUGCUUAUGUUUUGUCAUUUAUCCCAAAAUAUAACAUUAACAAAAGUUCCAAAAUUUCCUUCAAGAGAUAUAUUUGAGACAAGUAAUUUGUGCAAUAACUUUGUGAAUUGAUGAGCAAAUUCAGAGAAAAGAAUAUAUGUGCCAAACGUAACGUUUAUUAUUGUGUUUAUUUGUAGAGCUAUUUAAAGCCCAAAAAAAAAGCACUGAUCCGCUAUUAUUUCAAAUAAGUUCAAGCCCUAUGUCAUUAUUCGUACAAAAAUGUAUUAGAAUGGUUAAAAGCUAUUUUUAUUUAACUUAUAAACUUAGGAAAUUAUCAACUGUCCGCCCUUAAAUUGCAUUGUUAUAAAAAAUAUUAUAACAUUUUCAGGUUGUAUCAUUCAUCUACUAUAAAUUUACAAUCUGCAUCAUUUAUCCACCAAAUCAUUAACUUCGUUAAAAAGUGAUAGACAUCACAAGGGUAAUUUAGACAUUUAACACACAAAAAAAAUAAAAGAGAAAUUAUCUAAGCUUACCAUGUUAUCAAAAUUGCUACAAAAUUUUAAAUUUGUUCAAUUUUCCAUUCUAAGUUUAGACCUCCAAGAUGUUAAUUGCAGUUUGUAAUUAAUGAGUUCAUAAGGAUAAUUUAGACACUCAAUAUGCAAAAUAAAACAUAAAAUAAUGGCUUAAAACAUUAAAACAAAAAACUACUUUUUAUAAUUGAUAUUCAAUUAAAUACAUAUAAACUCUAUUUUUUUCUUAAUUAAAAAUAUUCUAAUUUAUUUUCUCAAUUUAUCAUCAUAAAUUUACAUUAAUAAACUAAAUCCACAAAUUACCCUAAACCCUAAUUCAUAAAUGCCCAAUCAAUCUAAUAGUUUAAUUCGAUUUCAUAAUUAAAAAAGCUAAAUUUAUUAUAUUAGUUAUGGUGCAAAGUAAAAAAUGCCCUUAAAUUCAAGGGUAAAAUAACAUUUUAUUUAAAUUCUAUAAAUUAUUCUAACAAUGUUAACAUUUUGGUGGACUGUUAAUAUAAGUUACAAACUUAAAAUAGAAAAUCAAAUAAAUUCAAAAUUUCAAACUAUUUAGGGCAAAUUUAGGACAUAUGGUUAAUAAUUUUCCCAUGUCUUUUUACAUUGGUUGGUAUAAGUUACAAACUUAAAAUAGAAAAUCAAAUAAAUUUAUAUUUUCAAACUAUUUAGGGCAAACUUAGGGUAUAUGGUUAAUAAUUUUCCUUUAUCUUUUACGUUAAAUUGAGUUUCAAAGGUAAAAUGGUUAAUUUAUUAUAAUUCUGUUAAUUUUUUAGUGGAAGCAAACGAUAUAAUGGAUGAAUGAUAUAAAUUGUAAAAUUAAGGUGCAUGAAUGAUACAACUUUAAAGUAUUGUAGUAAUUUUAAUAAUAGAACAAUUUAAGGGUGGAUUGGCAAUAAUUUAAACUUUAAGCAACCAAAAAAAUUUUUUUAACAAAAGAAAAAUAAUUGAAAUGCUUUAAGAAAAAUAAAGGAAUUAAAUAUCUUUAUAAAAACAUAAUUGAGUAAAAUCAUUUUACAAAAUGCUCUUUCAAAUGCACGUUCCACAAGCCAGGGAGAACGGGUGGCUAACAAAAAUCUCACUUUUUAUGAGUUUAUAAAAUCUCACUUUCGCAGAAUCAAAAAAUAAACAUUAUUGCUGUCACGACAUUACGCACUUUCUUUGCCAUCUAGAAAGGUAGAACAUUUUGAAGUUCCUCAAUACAAAAUGCGUGCUACUACUAAAUUGGCCCAAUUAAUGCCAUCGAAAAGGCCAUCAAUUUAGCCAUCAAUUUUGUCAAAAUUUCAACAAUUAAAGAAACAAUUAAAUCUUGAGAUACAUACAACAAAGCCUUGAAACUUUAUUCUUCACAAUUUUAGCUCCUUGCGCGAACUGAACAAGUUGAACGAAGCUUUUUUUUUUUUUUUGGAUUUUUGGAAUUUUUUAAAAUCAUUUAUGUUCGCUACCAUCUUUUUCUUCGCUGGCGUCUUCAUUGGCAUCUCCUCGUCUGUAGUUUGCUGUGCCUAUACAUCCAACCAAUAAAUUGGGCAUUAAAUACGAAUGAUGAAUAAAAUGAUAAAAAAAAAAACAAACAGAGAAAACUAUAAUAUAACACAUAUAUAUAUAUUGAAAGAGAAAUUUUGAUUUUAGGAUAGAUCAAUUAGCUAUCACAAACGAAAACAUGAACCAACUAUGUAUAGAGUCAAUUAACUAAAGUUCUCAAGAGUUGACCUGUGCUCCAGAAUUCUUGGACUCAUCUAUCUCCUUCUGAAUUUCCACGAAGCUUGGGACAAUUAAGAACAUCUUCAUUGGAUGCAGAUGGAAAUGGGAUCUGAUAACCCGCAGGCCAAAAAUUGGUGAGGUUUGGUAAACCAAACAAUUUCAAGUCCCGAAGUUCAUUCAUAACAAUUUCAUUGUAAUCCGUGACGUCUGCUCCAUCUUUAUGCCAGAAUACUUCUUCUAAUUCAUCAUUAGCUAUUAUCCAUAGGUACUUCAGUUUUUGAAGACUUGGAGCUACGCUGAUAUGAAAUAGAUGCUUUAGUUUGGGGCAAUAACCGACAGAGAUAACUGUGAGUUUUGGGAAACAAACAGGUUGGAGAUGAUCCUCAUCCUCAUCCUCAUCAAUGAUUUGCUCUAAUUCCAAGCAAUCUUGAAUUUCCAGCUUCUCCAAUUGCAACAGAUUUCGAGCAAGUGUUGAUGAGAAAAGACGUCUCAGCAUAUUGCACCCGUCCACUCUUAAAUAGGUAAGACUUUGCAGGCUAAAAUUAUGCGUGGGACCUACAGGUUGGAGAUGAUCCUCAUCCUCAUCCUCAUCAAUGAUUUGCUCUAGUUCCAAGCAAUCAUGAAUUUCCAACUCCUCCAAUUGCAACAGAUUUCGAGCAAGUGUUGAUGAGAAGAGACGUCUCAGCAUAGUGCAACCGUCCACUCUUAAAUAGGUAAGACUUUGCAGGCUAAAAUUAUGCGUGGGACCUACGUGAUAUAAUAAUACUUGCAGUUCUCGAAGAUCGCGCAAGCUCAAUCCCUUCAAACAUGGGAAUAGUUUAUUUUCUUGUCCCUCAGCGAUAAUAGCUUCCAAUUGAAAUACCACUUGUACUCUAAGUUGUCUAAUACGCAAAUAUUCCAAAUUUUUUAAUCCAUGCUUCAACAGUGCUGGAAUCGUGUCACUCAAAUGGGAACAACUUUCCACAUUUAGAAUUCUUAAUUUCUGAGCCAAAUAAAUAAAUAACUUGAUGCAAUUAAAAUCUAUUAGCAGCUAGGAUUAUCACAUGAUAAGUGAUGAACACCGCAAAAAACAAAAACAGAAAACAAAAUCCAAACAAAAAUAUCAUAAUACAUAUGUAAACUAAUAAAAUAAUUAAAAAGUAAUGGAUUUUAAAAAAAAUGAAAUUAGUUAAAAGAGAUCAUGUGAAGUGAUAUAAAUGUGACAUUAGAUUGUUUUAGAAAAAUUAUUAUUCUAUUAAUUUAUAUAGCUUGAUCAACUAUUUAAUUGAAUUUGAAUAAUAUUAUAUACACUUCAGAAGUAUUUACAUCAAUUCUUUCUAAACCAAAAUGAGAUAUGACUUUCAUUUGAAGAAUGGUUUUAGGCCCUAUAAUAAAGAAAUUUCCCUAAGAUAUCUGAGCAUUAUUAUUAUCAUUACCACAUCCACCACCACCAUCAUCAUCUCCAUAGGAUCAAAUAAUUAAUGGCUGAUCAUAAAAUUUAUUGCUAAACUACCAUUUUCAGUAAAAUUAAAGGAAAAGAGAAAAAAACAUAAAUACAAAUAAACAUACCUUUUCAAGAUACUGCAAAUUAGCUUCAAGUUCAGUACUGUUGACGGUCAAGUUGGGACAAUAAUGAAGCCGUAACUCUUCCAAUGCUGGCCAAAUUGAACAAUAAUUUUCUGAACAGAAGCUGGUGAGUUCUGGGAGAUCAUCAAGUGUUAAUUUUCUCAAUAAAGGGAGGGCGAGCAUCGUAUUUCCAUCUCCGACACUUAUUUCCCCUUCAUUAUGAUCAAACUUUGCUUCGACAAUAUAUUCCAGUCUCUCGCAUCCACUUACAUAGAGACUUUUAAGCUGCUCCAAACUUCUAGCUUGUGACAACGUGAAGAUAUAUGUCAACUUGUUGCAGCUAUGCACAUUCAAUUUUGUAAGAGUUUGGAGACUGAUCACAUGUUGGGCGGGCGCCUUCCAUAUCCACUUCAGUUCUGGUAAGUCCCACAUAGAUAACUCUGCUAAUCUUGAGAGACUCUUUCCAUGCGGCGACUUAGAGGCUUCCAUUAUGCAUUCUAAAUCUUCGCAAUCGUGGACAUCAAGACAAGUCAACUCAUUUAAGCCCCUUUCAUCUAUGCUUGGCACAAUAUUAUGACAACCUAUUAACCCCCUCAAACAAAGAAAUUCCAGAUUUUGAUACAAUGCUGAAAAAAUAACGAGCGAGGUCGCUUCAGGAGGGUCAUUCUCAAUGAUUAAUCUCCUUGUCUCAUCACCAUCUUCCAUUACAUCAUCAACUCCUUCACCUUUACGGAUGAUGUAUCUUUGCAAUUUCGGAAAUGUAAAGUCUUUUGGAAGACAUACAACAGAUCUGUCGGCUUGGGAGUUCAACUCAGCAAGCCUAGCAUUACUUUCUUCUGAACUCAUCCCCUCAACCUCCCAAUUUUUUAUCCGACCAUAAAAUUCUUCUAAUUUUUUUAUCGUAAUGGGAGAAACAGAACCAGUAUCAAUAUAUAGAAGUUUCAAUCUACGAAGUUCAUCCGACAAAUCUUCAGGAAUUUCAAUGGGAGAAUCCUCGAGAUAAAGAAGUUCAAGUCUCUUCAACUCUCCAAGAAAAGAAGCGUCACUCACAUCACACCGAAUCAACUGCAGAACUCGGAGGUUAUUGUCUAGGAAUCGAAGUGAUUUUAGUGAAAGGACUCCAUUUAUUAUAGUAACAACUUUCAAUGCUGGCAUCCCUUCAAAAAAAUUUUCUGGAACUUGCAAUUUGUAGUCACAUAGAGUGUUGUCCAGUCGCAAAAUAUGAAGGUUAGGGCAUAUAAAACUACUAGGAAGCUCUUCUUCUUUAUUUCCCAUUACAGAGAUUCCUCUGCACUGUUCCAGGCCUUUUUCCACCGCCUGUUCCAGCAAUCCGAUGCCAUUUAUACUAAACAAUCUCUCCUCCUUCUCCUUCUUCUCUGUGCUUAUCCAUAUGGCUACAUCACGAACUAUGUCAUGCAUUUUCACAGAUCUGUCAUUACCAGUGUCUAACAGCAGUGAAGCAGCUUUGAGUCCUUCAAUUGUUCCACGCAGUAGGCUUCUGGCGUGCUCUAUUGAUUCAGCUUGAUACCAAGUCAACCCCACUACAUAUCCAACCAAAUCCUCCAAAUUAAUCUCAUAAUCUUCUGGAAACAUCGAACACAACAAGAAGCAUAACUUGGAAUCCUCACCAUUCAAAUUGUCGUAACUAAAUUUAAGACAACCAUAAACAUCUCGCUCAUCCUUAUCAAUCCCUUCGAUUGCAUAGAGUUUUGCUUCCCUUAGGUUAUGUAGAGCUAGAUUCCAUUCAUCAAAUCCUUUUCCUCUUAGUGCACUUCCAACAGCUUCAAUAGCUAAAGGCAGCCCGUUACAUUCUCCAGCAACUUCUUUGGAAACAUCAUUCAGGGUGGAGUCAUUUACAUCAAUGCCGGCAUUUUUUCGCAGUAAAGCCAAUCCUUCUUCUGGCGUUAGUGUACCCAGUGGAAUCUGCGAGUCACAACGCAUGCGUUCACAAACUGACUGCAGGCGAGUGGUUAGAAGGAUUUUGCAGCGAUUGUCUCUAUCACCAAUGGGAAUACCUAAUUUUUCCUUCAAGUUGAGUUCAUUCCAGACAUCAUCGAGGAUUAUGAGGAUCUUGGUGCUUUUGCUCGCAGAAAACAUCGAGCGCAGUUGGUCUGCUCCAUCUUUUUCAUCUUUCUGCUUUAAUUCCCAACCUAAUGAAUUUACCAGCUCAUUUUGAACAUUUAUUAUGUUUGGAUGCUGAGAUACAGUGGCUAGCCCCACCUUAUCGAAAAUCUUUUGUUGCCGAAGUUGACUGCCCACAAAUUUUGCCAAGGUCGUCUUUCCUACACCACCGAGGCCAUGCAAUCCCACCUUCUUUGUGCUCUCUUUUUUCAGCGCGUCAAUGAUCAGAUUGUAAGCUGAUUCUGUGGUCUUGUAAGUAGAAGAAAAAUAACUUGGUAAACUUAAUUCUCUUUCUAAUGGUGGAGGUUUAGCAAGGGCAGCUGUGUUGAUUUGGCUGUAGUAUUGUAGCAGAUCAAACAACUUCCUAGUCUUCUCUAAUGUUUUUCCGCCCAGACUAUAUCGGCAACACCAAUCAGGACACAAUCCAUGAAGACUACUAUCCUUUUCAUCUAUCUCUUCUUUCAACUUUCGAAUAUCGCCCAAUUCCCUGUCUACAUUCUUCAGCCACUCCGUUACAUUUUGAUCGACUACUAUGUCGGGGCGUUUUUGUCGUUGAUCUUCUAUUCUUUUAUUGAUGUCAUCUAGUGCCUUCUUCAACUUAGUUUUUUCAUCCUCAAGCUUUCUCACAAUGCAGUCGAAACAGAAUAGAUAGGAAGCUUGUUCUUCAAUUACAUUAGCCAAACAUUUUCCAAUCCGUUCUAAAAGUGGCUUUAGAAGUUCUUUUAAAAUAUCCAUGCUAUUUAUCUGCAAAUAAAAAAGUUGAUCUCAGUACGCUAUAAGCAAAACAACGAGGCUUGAUCACAAGAUCGAAGGAGGACGGUUAAUUACCUUUUUCUUUUCUAUGAUGCACGUCUAUUAACACCGGCUUUGAUCAAUAAGAGCAAAAUGCAAACGCUGGGCUUCAAGAGUUUUAGUGGCCUUUAGCUGCAAAAUAGAAGAUGACAAAUAAGGUAAAACGUUCCCAGCAAACGUGAUAUAUGGCGGACUUAAAAUGAUACCUUAUUUGCAUGAUAUGCAUGGGGUAGCUCACCCCCGCCUAGUGCCUUUGUCAAAAAAAAAAAAUGAUACCUUAUUUGGGAUGAUAAAGAUUGGGGUAAAUUUUCUUUUAUUCUUAAAAUUUUAAACUUAUUAUCAAUUAUAGUAUUUAUAUUUUUAUAAAUUAAAAAUCAAACAAAUCUGUCAUGCAACAAACAAAAAUAAUGUAAUAAAUUAUUAAAUGGUUAAUUUUAUUGAUAAAUUAUUAAAUUACAAGUAAUGAAAAUUUAAUCUCAAGAGUUAGUAGAAGAUCAUAGAUAAUACAUAAAAAAAAUAAAUUUUAAGUAAAUCAUAAUAAAAAAAUAAUUAUUCAAUCAAUUAAUAUUAGGUGUAAAUAAAAAAAAUGACAUAAACAAAAGUGUCAUAAAUCGACAACUUUUUUCUUUAAUCUUAUCCCAACUAAACCCAUGUGUAAAUUAGGAUUAUUAAUCUCAUGAUUUUAAGAUUAAACUCAAAUUUAGUCCCCCUUAAUUCAAUUAAACUAAACUUGCCAAACAUGGGAUAAAUAUUUAAUUCCAAAAUUAGUCCAAUCUCAUGCUUAGGACCAGUCCAGGAAUGUUGUACCUUUUAAAAUAAUUAUUAUUAACUGUGUGGUAGAAAUAAUCAACUGUGAAGAGAAUCAAAUAAAUGUUUGGUAAAUUUUAUUUUUAGAAGUACGGUGAGUUUUGAAAUCAGUUAUGAGAAUUUGUUAAAUUUUAUUAUUAAACUACUGAGAGAAAUCAAAUGACUAAAAUGUACAUUAUGUAGGAUAAAAUUUACUUAUACAUAUAAAAAUAUGUAUAUAUAAUAUUUUUAAUUUUGUACUUUAAUAAUUUUUACUAAAAAUAAAAUUUAUAAUAUAUUUGUUUUAUUUCUUUAUUUCUUUAUCUUAAAACAAUUGAUAAUUAAAUUUAUAAUAUGGUGAAACAAAUUUAAUAAUAAUUCGACCAACAAAUUGAUAUUAAUAAAUUUAUAUUGAUAAAUUAUAAUAAAAAUUUAUUAAAACAUUGAUUUUGUUUCCAAUUUGAAUAAAGAUAAUUUUGGGUUUAGAUAAUAAUUUUAAGGAUAUUUAUAGAAUUGUAUUAAAGAAUAAAAUUGAUUUUCAAAAUCAGAAUCUAAAAAUUACUUCUUCUCUACUUUUUAAAAUCAGUUAUGUGAGAAGUUAAUUUUGACAAAAUUUAUUUCAAUUAUUUCCACCAAACACUAAAAUUAAUUUUUAAAUUUUCAAAAUCACUUUUAAACCUCUAAAAAAACAAUUCCAAAUGGGCGCUUAAUCCUGGCAUCCAAAAUCCGUCUAAAAAGUUGCACUAAAAACAAGCUCGUAUAGCCAUUGGAAGUAAAACAAACAUCAAAUUAAGAGCCUAUGAAACAAUAAUAUCUCAUACCUUCUUCCGUUUAUAUCUUCAAUUACUGCUGAAAGCUCUAGCUAGAGAGUCGCACAAGCUCGGAGAAAAUUAAAAGCUGCAUCUAGCAAUAUAAAUAAACAUCAGAUCAAACCAACAUAGGAUAUAUCAAGCUAAUUAACAUCAUAUAUAACUCAUUGUUCUCAGUCAAAUCUUUCAUUCUUAGGAGAUAAAAAAAAGAUUGAAAUAAUAACUGCAAGUGAUAUAGGAAGCAACAGUAACAUACCAAAACGAGAGCAGCUAGCUCACAGAUCUGGUGACUUCCAAGACAAUGAGAAAUGAAUGAGGUUUAAUAGCAAGAUCCGAAUCAUGUAUCACAAAUUGCUAUUGACUUCGUGGCUUCACUUUUCUUUGUUUUUUUUCGUUUUUUUAAAUUCUAUAUCAGUGAGAAUUGAAAUGUGGAAAGUGGAAUGAUACACAUGCCUUAUCAUCUAUCAUGAGGGGUGAUUUGGUAAAACCGAUUUAAAAUAAAAAAGUUUAAAAAAAUUUAAAAAGAUGCUUUGUGUCUGACUGCUUGUAUUUGGGGUAUUUUUCGGGUUGUUGAGAGUGAGUUUAAUUAAAUAUAAGAUUUUCAUUUUUCUUAUUAUAUUUUUCUCUUUAGAAUGAAUUUAAAUCUCAUUCUUAUUAAAUUCAUUUUUUUUAAAUGAAAGUAGAUUUCUCUCCACACAUUUGAGAUAUAUUUUAAAAUUAAUGUUCAGUAUAUCUCUAAAUUAUAUUAUAAAUAUUUUUAUUCAAAAUCUUAACAAAUUUCAUAACACACAAAAAGAAAUACAUAUAUAUGUUGUAAUGUUUUAAUGAUGGAUCUCUAAAGUUAUCAAGUUAAAAAAUAAAUUAAAAAAUAAAAGAUACACACUUCAACUUAUUAUAUGAUAAAAUAUAAUAAAUUAAAGUGAGUAUUAUAUUUAUUUUUUAUUUUAUUUCUUAACUUAAUAACCUAAAAUAUAUUUAUUUAAUAAUGAUGAUAUAUAUAUAUAUAUAUUAUUUUUAAAAAAAUAAACAACUUAAGUGAAGCAAAGGACAUUUUAGAGGCAUUGCAAGACUACCAAUUUACCAUUUUGGGUUGCAAUAAAGUGAAAACUGUAGACUACCAAUCUACUGUUUUGGAUUGCAAUAAAGUGAAAAUAAGGUUAAUUUCAAAAAAGAAAAGGUGACAGUGAGUUGUCAAUUUCAUCCUUGUCGGCCAAUAAUACAUCAACCUUUUGCUGAAUUAUUAUGACCGACAAAAACAAAUUAUUGAAUCGGGUCCCGCUGACCUAAUGUAAAGUUACAUUCAUAACAAAUUAAUACUUGUCUUUAUUAUAAAUUGUUCUUUUAUUCAAAUAUGCAUUCAUUUCUUCAAUCAAGUCCUCAUAUUCGUUCAAUUUAUGAUAAGAUCCUUGUAUGGGAGCAUAUCUGCAUAUGUAAUAAUUAUUCUUCUAUUUCAGACAGUUUUUGUGAAAAAAAUACUUUUAUCAAUUAUUUAUGUUUACUAAUUCUUAUGUCUUUUUUUUAUUACUUUUCAUAGCUCUAUACAAAUGUUUGCUAUAAAUUUUGUGUUAUUUCGUUAUAAUAUAAUUUAUAUUGUAAACCUCUGUUCAUCUGUAAAUAAAAUGACAAUUUUUUUGUUUACUCCUAAAAAAUAUGAAAAUAUUAAUUUACUCUCAUAUUUAUUUAGAAGACAAUGGCAAAUAAGAUCGCAUUGAUAAAUUUUUUUAUUUACUUAUUAAUUAAUUAGAGUAAAUUAAUAUUUUCACAAUGAAAGAUACAUUGAAGAUUGUCAUUCUUAGUAGAGGGUAAAUUAAAAUUUACCUAAUUAAUUUAAAAUAUCAUUAAAAUUUUACAUUCUAAUCUGGAUUAGAUUAAAUGGGGGGGGGGGGGGGGGGAUGUCCUUAUUUGGAUUAGACUCAACUGGAAGAGGCAUAUCCUUAGCUGGAUCAAUUUGUUCAAGAUUGGAUGCAUCCAUCGGUUUCAAAUUAGUCUCUUGUAAGUAUAAUCGGAUUUCUUGACUAAAAUUUAGAUUAUCAAUCACAUCUAAAACUUAUUGAAUGGUACAUUUUAUUUCUAUAAAAUUGAGUUACUAUUAUCACCUCACAUCUUAUAAAUUCUAGAAAAUAAUCAAGGCUUGACAUACUUUUAUUUAUGCAAAAGCAUAAGAAAAUAAUUCAAAGUACUAAUUAGUGUACUAUUCCUCAAAAUUCUAGAAUAGAUUUGCUAGUUCUCUUUAGCCAUAGAUUGGUCCAUGAUUGGCACCGCAAUAGCUCAGAAUCACCUCAACGAUUGUUCAUGACACACUGUAAACUAAUCUAACAAGAACUUUAUGAGUGGCUUUCUAGCAAUAGUCUUAGAGAAAGCAUUUAGUAGUAUGAAGUCUUCUUUUUUUAACACAAAUGUUGGCAUGAUAUUCUUAAUAUAUUUGUAAAAUCACAAUAAAAUGCAUAGAGGAUGAUAAUUUUAUUUCAUAAUUGAAUUUUUUACAAAGAAAGUUUGAACAUGAGAGUGAUGAGAGGUGAGAAUAUUGAUGAUGGUGUGUACUUUAGAUGGAAAAAUAGAUUGAAAAUAUAUAUAGACAUAUUAAAAGAAAAAAAAUUUGGUCUAUUUCUUAAGAGAAACAAAAAAUUAUAAACGCGGGUGUUAAAAUGUAUUCAGAAUUUAUAAAUUUUUAAAAAUAAAAGGACACUGGGUUGCUAUCAAUUUCGACCGUGUAGGUUCAUAGCCGGGGAAGUAAUUGGGCACAAAUAUCUCGGAUGAGAAAUAACCAUUUUAUCCCGCAACCAUAUGUUUAUGGCCUCUAAAAAUUUUCACCUCUUUCACUUCUGGAACCCGUGCUACUUAAUUAUAGAGCGUUUUUAGAAUUGCAACGACAUGGUGCUCUUUGAUAAUUCAAAAAUCCAAUAUAAUUUAUAGAGAAUUACAGAAUUGUUUGGUGCGUGAUAAUUUGCUGAUGCAAUGAGGCGCCGAAAUUCUUAUACAUGUGAUUUAAGUUAUAUAUGUAUAGUUAAGUACUUAGCAAGCACUAGUUGGGGGUAUUUGUGUCCAUGGAAAUUUACAGCUGGUUGUUGGCAUUACACUGCGGGUGUGUAAUUAUUACAGAUGCAGAUAUUCUCCCAUGCGAGGAUCUUAUCAUAAAUUUAAAGGAUACGAGGACUUGAUUGAAGAAAUGAACGAAUAUUUGAAUAAAAAAAAAUUUUAGAAUAAAGACAAGUAUUAAUUUACUAUGAAUGCAACUUACAUAAGUUAGCGGGACACUAUUGAAUCACACGCAAAAAACAAUCUGUCUUCUUCUUGAUUUCGUAAUUUAGCUGUCAAAAUGUAAUCUAUAAAGAUUACGAUACCUCGAUUCAAAAAAUGAUGUAUCUGAUGAAAUAAAUGAAAAUUGAAUCUGCCACGAACACUAUUCAAUUAACCGUUUAUUUCCCCUUAAAUUUUUAAUUUCAAUGAAACAUAGAUCUAAUAGGAACUACAUAUAUAUAAAAAUACUAUAGAUUGAAGAAGUUGAAUUUUUCUUGUGUGUUAAGUAUUUUUAGUUAAUACGAAAGGAUUCUAGCAAGUUAAUACAAAAGUAUCAUAAAUUCAUAGUAGUACAAGAGAUUUUUUUUUCUUUUGAUAUUAAGAGUUUUCGAGAUAAAAAAAAAAAGGUGAAAGAAGAAGAUGAGAGAAGAAAAAAUAUUAAGAAUAGUUUUGACAUUUUGAUGCGCUUUAUAGAAUAAAAUCUAUAUUUUAUAGUAUAAAAUGGUACACCCAGAAUUUAAUGAUAAAAUUUUAAGAAAAAAUUGCACUCGUCAGAAAAAAAAUAAAGGCUCAGCUUAGCCCAAAAUUUUUUUAUUAAUUGUCUAGUCGCUAAUGUAAUCUCUUUUUAAUGAGAUUCUUUGGUGUUUUAAUUUAGUCCAUUGUUAGCAAUCUAAUAGUUUUUAUGUGAAAUAUGUUUCAAGCUUGAAUAAAAUCUGCGGGACAACUGGUAAGUAAUAAAGCUCAUCAUUUUUUAUUUUAAUUUUGAAAAUAAAAGGGAAUCACUUACACUUAGCAUGAUAUUAUUUUUGAUAAGUCAUUUUUUUGGUAGAUUAUUUUUUCUGACACGCUCUUAGAUUUAGUGAAAAUAAAUUGUAUACUUUUAAUGAAGAAAAGUAAAGAUCAACCAAAUAUUUUGUUGUUUUCGACAACUUUUGCGUUGUCAACUGCGCCGGGUACCUUUUUUUUUUUUUAAACUUUUGAGUUGUUGUUUAAUUUGUAUUAUAAUUAAGGAAAAAUAUCCACCGUUCACUUGAUUUUGUCUAUUUUUUUAAAAAUACACAAAUUUUAAUUUUUUUAGCUACACUCUAUCUGAACUUAUAAUUUUUUUUACAUUUCCACCUCCGCCUGUAAACCGUCAAUAAAACUAACGGAAUUUUAUCCAAAUUACUCUUUAACCCCAAAAAUAAAAAAUUACAUAUUUAUCCUAAAUAAACUUUAAAAUAUUAGCUUUGUGAGUAUUGUAGCCCUAAAUAAAGACUAAAAAUCUUUAAAUCCUUUCAAAAAUUUUAUUUUUUAAACAAAUAUUAUAAAAUCUCGCAAUCUCGCAACACAAAAGGACCCCACAUUUUCUCGGGAACCAAACAGGAACAGACGGAAGAAAGCGAACCUGCCAGAGAACGAUAGGAUUGGAAGUCCGCCUGGCGGGCUCUUUGGCCUCAAGCUCAAUCGGCGGCGGAAGAAUCGGACGCGUGGCGUCCGGAAACCUAGCCAAGCUCGGCUUCACACUCCUAGCAUUACCGUCAUCGGCUUCACUAACCGUUGACGUUUUGGCAGUCCCUUUAGAAACAACAGUUUCUUCUGCUUUCUUAGGUUGCUGAUUAAAGAAGAAAGGGCGAUUGAGUUGGAAUUUCGGCAACAGCGAGAGUAUGCUUUUGUUUUCUUGUUUUCUGGGACUGGAAGCAAUUUUUGUGUUUUCCGCCAUGACUACGGUCAAUCACUUUCAGAGUAGAAGAUUUUGGCUUUGCCUUUGCUUUUUCUUUCUUUUUUUUUAUUUUUUUAAAAGCAAGUUUUGAAGCGGCGGAGAAAGCAGUGUGGACUGUGGCGUCUUCAUAAUUAUUAAUUAUAUAAUUUUGUUUACAAAAACAAAUAAAAAUAAUUUAAGUCUAUUUUUGCCUACAUUAAAUUAUAUAUAUAACCCUUAAUAAUAAAAUUUUUAUUUGUAUAAAAUAUUAGUUUAUUACUGUUAGCAGGUGUGGAGGGCGUUUCUUUCAUGCAUGUGAUAUGUAAAAACAACAAUAAAAAUUCAGAAAAAAAGAGUUUAUUAUUUAUUGGUCCUCAGUCAUGCAUAAAGAACUAAAAUUAAUUAAUUGAUAAAGAAGAUUAAUCACCAAGUAGCGGGCAGCAGGAUUCUGCUCAGAAUCUUCAACCUCGAGCUUCAUCGGCGGCGGAGCAAUCGGCUUAGGAUCCGAAAAUUUCACCAUCUCUCGUUUCUUGCUUGCUUCUGCAGCUUCUCUUUCUUCACCUUCACUUUUAUUUCUCUCUUGCUUAUUAUUAAAUAUUGGAGCAGAAAAUAAUAAGUUUGUAAAGUGUGCGAACAGGUUUUUGGGUUCUUUUGAGUCUUUAUUUUCGCUCUCAAUUUGUGUGUCUUGUGCAGCCAUGAAUGCGAAUGUGGUGAGUAGAGACCAGAGAAUAAUUAAGCUUUGAGCUUCGAGUUUAUCAAAGCUUUUGUUUGGGUUCUUGAAACUGAAAUAACUUUUUUUUUUGCUUAUUACAGAUCUUAAACGACGUCGUUUUUUAAGCCCAAGUGAAAUUAUCAUUUUAGCCUUAUGACGUCAGCAACGUCUUGACGGUUUGCAGACGGAGGUGGAAAUGUGAAAAAAAUUAUAAGUUCAGGUGGAGCGCAGCUAAAAAAAUUAGGAUUUGUGUAUUUUUGAAAAAGUUGUCAAAAUCAGGUGGACGGUGGAUAUUUUUCCUUUUUUUAAUUAUGUCCUAUCUAUGAACUAAUUAAAUAGAAAAAUUAAUAUAAAAAUAAUUUUACUGCCGAUCAAAUUCAAAAUUAAAUAACAUUUAAAUAAAUUAAUUUUCUAAAUAAAGUUAAAAAUAAAUUCAAAAUUUCAAAAUAUAAUACACUAAAAAGAAAAAAAAUAUCAUUUGUUUAGAUCAAUAUAUAAAAAAUAACUACUUAGAAAGCUAUAUUUUUUAUUUAAUUACUUUAUUUUAUAUUAUUAUUGGAUAAACUAUAAUAAUGGUGUUAAUGUAACUAUAUUUUAACUUAUUUAUUUAUUAAUAAGUAUAAUGCCAUAUUUACAAGUUUAAUUUUUUAUUAAAUAAAUAAAUAUAUUUUUUUUACAGAUUCGCAGAAUUUUACGAAUUUAUAAAAGUAAAUUCAUAUCCAAUUCAUCAACUGUAGAUUUUUAAUUUUAAUCUAAUGUAAUCCAUCAAUCUAUAAAUUAGAUUUUUAUGCAUCAAAUUUCUACGAAUUAGCGGAUUGCGCGGAUUAAAUUAAAAUUUGAACACCUCCAACAUGAAGUUGCUGGCAGCUGCCUGCAAACUCUGAAUUAUUUCAAAACAACUUCCAGCCGCUGAUUGUACAAAGCAUCAAAUCCAGUGGUCUAUAUUUUUUUAAAAAUAUUUUAUUACAUGCGAUCUUUUAAUAGAUCCAGUGCAUGGCAGUCGUAGCCUUUGUUGUGGGUUUCCGACCACUUUUGCCUUGUAAGUGCACCUGGCCGACAUUUUUUGUUGUUUUAUUUGUAUGAUAAUUAUCAUGGACCUGCGUGCCUUUUUUUUUUUUUCAUUUAAAAUUUCUUAAUAAUUUAAGUAAGACAAAGAAAUGGGUCUCACAUAUAAUUGAUUGUAUAAUUUUUCAAACAAUAUUAUUUUAAUACCUGAGCGUUUUUUGUUGUUGUUUUAUUUGUAUGAUAAUUACAUGGACCUACGUGCCUUUCUUUUGCUUUUAAAAUCUCAUAAUAAUUAAAACAAGACAAAAAAAUCGGUCUCACACAUAAUUUAUUUAAAAAAUUUUUCAAACUAUACUAUUUUAAUACGUAGGUGACUUUUUUGUUGUUGUUUUAUUUAUACAAUAAUUACAUGGAUCUACGUAAGGAUGAAAAUUGCGCCUGCAAACUCACAAAUUCGUCCAAAUCUACCUGUCAAAUCCGCCCGCUAUGGAUAAUGUUACAGGUUGCAGGCGGAUUUGGUAUUACAAAUUGAAACCCGCACUUGGAUGAGGGUAGGUUUGGUAUUAGCUCAAUAUCUGGCGGAUACCCGUAUGGAUACCCACUAGACCCGCAAUAUUUUUUUUGAAAAUAUUUUUAAUUUAAUUUUAAUUAAAAAUAUUUAAAUCUAAAAAAUAUAUAAAGAAAAUAAUACAAUUAUGUAAGGUGUCAAAUAACUAAAGUGUUUUUGUAUGGUCUAUUUUCUUUUAACUUAAUGCAUGAAUUAUUUCAUUAUUAUAAUUUUUUUCAUUGAAUUAAUAUUUAAAAAGUAUUAUUCUUUGAAAAAUAUUAAUUUUAAUCAUUAGGCAUCAUGUUGGAUGGGUGUUAAUGGUGGUGAAUUAAAUAAAUAUCUUUCUCUUGGAGCUUGUGUUGAAUGAUAAUAUGAAAUAUAAUUAUUAUUUUUAGAUACUAGUUUGUGAUUUUUUUUAAAGGAUUUGUGUAUUUUAUACUUAAAUUUAAGAAUUUAUGUUAGAUUGAUGUUGGAAUUUUAAUUUUUCAUUUACAUUGGAUAAAUUUAAAAUUGAGUAUGUUAUGUGGAAUUUGAGGUUAUUAUUGUAAAUUUAUACAUUGAACAUUUAUAAUUUUAAAUAUAUAAACCCGCAAAAAAUCCGUCAUAUACUAUUGUGAGUUUGGUAAUUGCCAAAACCCGCUGUGGGUGGAUUUGUUUUUAAAAAAAUUAAAACCUGAUGUGGAUGAAUUUGGUAAUUUAAAUUUUGUGCGGGUUUAAGUUUGGUAAUGACAAACUUGCUGUGGAUGGUGCCCAUUGCCAUCCUAAAUCUACAUGCCUUUCUUUUGUAUUUAAAAUUGGGGAAUUGCCACUUUCCCCCAUACAGUAAUCAACAUAUACCAUGUAUCCCCCUGUUGUUUUCAUAAUGGCCAAAAACCCCCCUGACACCAUAAGUUUACAAUAUUACCCUUAUUUUUAGCUACUUUUUAUUUACAUUUAUUAUAAAUUACAUGAAUAGAAACUAAAUAAAAAAAUUAAGUAUUAAAAAUAAGAAAUAUAUGUUUUGAUAUGAGCAAAAUAAUAAUAAUAUUUUUUUUCUUGUAAUUAUUUAUUUUGUGAACAUUUUCUUAUAAUAAACAUUUUGUAAUAUUUUAAAAUUAAAUGUAAAAAGUAUAGGCAAAAUAUUUUAUUAUUUAUUUUAUAAUAAAUUUUUAUUUGUCAUUCAAGUUUUCUUAUAAUAAUUUUUUAUCAUUUUAUAAUAAUUUUCUUAUAUAUUUAUUAUAAGAAAUUUUCACAAAAUAAAUAAGUACAAGAAAAAAAUUUAUUAUUAAUUUUUUUGCUCAUAUCAAAACAUAUAUUUCUUGUUUUUCAUAUUUAAUUUUUUAUUUAGUUUCUAUUCAUGUGAUUUAUUUAAUUUAUAAUAAAUAUAAAUAAAAAAGUAGUUGAAAAUAAGGGUAAUAUUGUAAACUUAUGCUGUCAUGGGGUUUUUGGCCAUUAUAAAAACAGUAAGGAAGAAAAUGGUAUAUGUUGAUUACUAUAGGGGAGAAAUUGGUAAUCGCCCUUUAAAAUUUCAUAAUAAUUUAAACAAGACAAAAGAAAUAGUCUCACAUAUAAUUUAUUUUAUAAUUUUUUCAAACAAUACUAUUUUAUUACCUGGGUAACUUUUUUUUUGGUUGUUUUAUUUGUAUGAUAAUUGUGAUGGAUCUACGUGCCUUUUUUUUUUUUUGCAUUUAAAGUUUCAUAAUAAUUUAAAUAAAACAAAAGAAAUGGGUGCCACAUAUAAUUUAGUUUAUAUUUUUUUCAGACAAUAUUAUUUUAAUACAAAUGACCAAAACAAAUUUAAUAUUGACUAAAAUUAAUCAUAAAUUUCUAUAUUAUGACAUAAAAUAUAAAAAAAACAUUUGAAGAAAAAAACAAAGGCACCCUUAAAUUUGAAUUGGCGCUAAGUUACGUUUAAAGUAACUUGUGCCUCUCACAACAGUAACAUUGGCCCCACCUAAAACUGUGACUUAGGCCCUCCCUUAAAUUUGAUGUAGGACACUACAAGACUCUUUGACAAAGAUGUUGCGACCUAAAGCAUGGAAGGGUCUAAAGUUUUCGGGUGAACAUGGUCCAAACAAUGACACGACGUGUGUUACAGCUCCACGUCACUCAUUAAUAUGAGUAAUGGCAAUCUCUACAUUAAGCAUGCACUGCCUCAAAUUGCACGCGAAUACGAAAACACACUUCUGAGUUUUUUUUUUCGUUUUAAGUUAACAAUUAAUUUUUUAUUUUUAUUUAACACUUAAUUUUCAUCAAAUCUUAAACUGUCAUAAUCAAUUAUUUUUUUCAUUGCGACUCCUUAACUAAAUUUUGAUCUGUAAUAAAUAGAAUUUGGCAAUAUUUGUUCCUUUAAAGAUAUAAAAUAACCGUAACAUUGUUUUUACAUUUUGAAUUUUUCUUGCAUUGCUAUUUAGAAAAAUAAUGUUAAAUCAAUCUCAUAAAAUAUAUCAACCCAUCUGAAACCCGAAUAUUGCUUACAUUUGUUUUGUAUUGUUGGAAUGACGCCAAAGCAAUUGAAAAGAUAUUGAAAAAAUAAUAAUUGUAAAGAUUGGCUACGGGAUUUCACUGAAGCUAAGUUGUGACUUGUGACUGUGCAAAUGUUGCGUAACAAGAUAUGAUUAUUCUUGCAGCACAAAUCCAGUAGCAUGCAACAAAAACUACUCUCCAACACUGCCUGUGAAGAAAAUAAAACAAGAGUAAAAAGAGCAACCAUACCUGUGAAUCUCUUUACUUCUCCCCCUUUUCUGGGUAAACUCUAUCAAAUGAAAACGCAGCACGAUCACAUUGGUCACUGCCACAGUGCCACUGCCAUUACUUCGUCAACUGUGCCUCUUGCUGCAAGAAAUCUUCAACUGGAAGAUGGACUGUAUAAUUCAAGAUAAAAAAUACACCUAACCUGCAAAUGUUGCCAUCCACUAGCCUAUUAAAGACUCUGCUUUAUAUUUUCCUAGUUUUUUAAUCAAAAUUUUGCAAGAUUUAUUUUGGAAAAGUUCGACAAAGUUUUAUGUAAUAUACCGUAAAGCCAAAUACAAUCUUUUUAAUUCUCAGCAGCAACAUAUAUGGAAAAAAAUUGGAAGCGAUAUAAAUAUAACUUUGUUUGGUACAAGGAACAAUUAUUUCAUGCUUUCAGGUAUUACAACUUCCAGAAGUGCUAGCCAGAAAUUGUAAGGGAACUUUAACUAGCCACAGAAUAUGUCAAACAUAUUACCAGCAACCGUCUUUAGCACAAUUGUUCUGAAGUGGCUUCUGCAUCAGAAGAAUCCAGCUUCCAUCAAAGCACCACCAUCUUCCUUCUGGAUAAAAUCUGCAUCACUGGCAAGAGUUAUAUCAUCAACAUCUGCACCCUCGGUCCCAUCAUCCCAAUCAAGUGCUUUCUUCUCCACCUCUGGAUCAUAAGUCCACUCCAACCUCUUCAAAACAUCUCCGUCCUUCCAUUUGCCAACAACCGAUACGGCUUCCUUUCUUGCCUUCCCCAUUAAUAUAUCCCACCAAGAAAAACAAGCAUAAGAAAUUCUCUUCAAUGCCCCAUCAUUUAUGUCCCCCACAACUACCGUCUUAAGACACCUUAAAUUUGCCUCCAACAAAACCUCCACAAAAUCUGAAUCAUCCGACACAACAACCAAAUACUCAAUCCUUCUUUUGUGCGUUAUCACCAAAUGAUUCCUUAACAAAACAUCAGUAGCUUGUGGCUUAUCUGACGCUGUCCUGACCCAAAGCCCCCCUCUUUUCAACUCACCUAUCAAACCAUUACCCACUUCUGGAGUCAAAACUGCCCUUGCAGCCCUUUUAUAUUUCUCCAUCUUAAUUGAAUACUUGCCGACCCAAUGCACUCUCUUCCCUCUGGCUGAUUCUAUUUGAUUCAACAUUCAACCUCUUUUUAUGUUUACACUCAUAAAUUUGCAUAAAAUAAUUAACAAGUUUGACAUCAUCAUAAAAACUCCUUCCACAGACACCACAUACAUACGGCUCAGCAGGCCUAAUUACACCCUUGUUUCCAAUUGGUUAAACUAUUUUUUCUCUUCUCUUUGCUCCCUUACAACUUGAGGCACAUAACUAAAUGCAUGGCUAUUAGCAUAUGCCAUAAUGAAUUUAACAACCCCAAAUGAAGAUACUGAUUUUUCAGUUUAAUGGCCGCUUCAAAUGGGGGAACUGAAUUUGCGGGUUUGCUGUUUAAAUCCCGAAAAAUUCCACAUUAUGUUGGACAGUUUUUGGUUCUACAGUUGGUGAUCGGUUUUGUGAAUAAGGCUCCAAAAGAAAAAAAUCUAAACAAUGAGACAAAUGGGUUCUGGAUUUCUAAUCUUGUAAACAUUGUCCUGUCGCAUAAGUUAUGAAAUUUCUGAAGCAUCACUAUCCCGCAGUUCCUGGGAGAAAAAUAAGUCGAAGAACUACUCGUGGAACAAAAUUAAAAAGUUUAAACUAUGUUGAGAGACUUUCCCUUCGACUAAACGUUUUUAAAAAGAAAAAGUAUCAGAUAAGCAUUUUCAAGGGAAAAUGAUCAUCCAUUUGUUGUACUUAGGCAGGAAAAUAAAUAUAUCAACCCAACUAAACCCUCACAUCUACUGACUAAUAAUGCAUGGACUAACUUUAAGUAAGGAUGUAAAACUUACAAGAACAAGAAAACUACUGUUUAUUAAUUUCAAAUUUUACACAAAAUUACAAAUAAUUUUAUAAGUUGCACCAAAAAAAUAUUUUGCGGAUAGCAUAAACUAAUACUAGAAUAACCAUUCGUUAACGAUGCGGGCAGCACCAUGAAGCGGUGAGCCCCGUUUGGUGAAAACAAAAAAAAAAAAAAAUUAAAACAAAGCACUAUACAUUCUAAUCAAAUUGUUAACAUUAGCUAAAUACACAGCAAGAAGCCAGAAUAAAUUCGUUAUCUAAACCAAAUAAUAAAAAAAAAGAGGCAGUUUAGUCCCCAUCAUUUUCAGUUACAAACAAACUAAAGCACAAAUUAAGAACAAAGGUUGAAGCAAAGCAUGAUUGUACCUUGAGGUACUUGAGCUUAGUGUUCCCAUAAACGAGACCGAGCGAAAAAGCCGAAACCAGAGCAACCUAUUAUUAUUACUCAAAAAUUCAGAUCAGAAAAUAAAUGAUCUUUCAAUAACAAUUCAUAAGAACUCCAUCCCAUCGUAUAUAAAACAAAACAAAGAAAAUAUUGAAUUGAAAAAAAAUUACAUACAUGGAUUAAAAGAAGAUAAAAAUGGAAUUACCAGAGGGAGCUGGUGCCGGAGUAGGAACCAGGACGCAACGCCAUAUGAUGCUUUGUCAUGCUUUUCCUUCUUGUGGGUCUGCGCCGAAGUCGAAGAUAAAGAAAUAAGAAAGAGCUAGCAGCCUAGCACAUUGAAAAAUCGACUCAUAUAUUCGAUUCCGACUCGUAUGGCUAUUUUUAUUUGAUGAAUGAAAUAUUAUUUUACUCCCUAAUUUUUUUACAAAAUUACAAGUUUUGACUUUUGUUCAUAUGUUCUUUUUUACGGGAUCCUAUUCUAGGAGGAAUAACAAAUAGGCCGGAUAUGUGGCUAAGCCCGAGCGUGGUGUUGAUUGCCAAUUUUAUUUUAUUUAUUUUUUAUUAAUGAAGGGUUCACAAAGAGCUAGUGCAACACUAAACGAGAGUGUGAUCGUAAUUAUAACACUUCACUUUUAUUUUAAGUAUAAUUCUUAUAACACUUCACUUAUGUGAUCGUAAUUAUAUUGUACUGAAAAUUAUAUAAAGGAUAAAUAUGAAUUUAAUUAAACUAACAAGUCUUCACAAACUCGUGCAAACUUACUAUUUCUAAUCUUAAUAUGUGAUAUAAUUAAUUUUAUUGAUAAAGUCAAAAUAAUUUUUAACAAUGAAGAAAUAAAUUAUAAUAACAAUAAAUUUAUGACGAAAAAUGUAUACAAAAUUUAUUCUAAAUUAUAUGAAAUUUAAUUAAAAUUUUAUUGAAAUUUUAUGUCUUUUUUAAAAUUUUAUUAAAAAGUGGGAUUUCUUAAGAGUUUAAAAGGCGUGUUGGAGGCUUUACUCUUAUAUUUUUCUAGCUUUGAAUUUCAGUGGCCUUUACUUGGUUUAAAUUUUUGUUAUAAACCUGCAAGUAAGUGCAUUUAGGUGCAUUUAGGAUGCCUUUUGGUGAAGCUGGAUUGUAACAAUAAUUUUAUUUAUUAAAAUCAUUAAAAAUUUUAAUUAAUUAAAGUUUACGUAUCCUCUUGUCUAACCAAUCAAAUACUUUCUCUCAAGACAAUACCAGUGUGCUUAAAAAAAUGGUGAGAUUGGUUCUUGCCUAUUAGUUAAUGAGAAAAUUAUUGAAGAAAUAUGUAUCUCAUUUUCUUAUUCUUUACAAUAGGAUUACAUAAUACAUAUAUAGAUUCUAAACUACAUAACGUGCACAACUAACUGCAGACCAAGAAACUAGGAAACAAACUCUAUCAAAAAACUGAAAUUCUAUCCCUAUCUUUUUUUUUUCUAUCCCUAUCUUUUUUCCUUAAAAAUAGGAUAGAAAACAUGUGACUUUUCCACACUCCCCCUCAAGCUGGUUCGAAGAUAUCAAUCAUUCCCAGCUUGCUAGUUAGUGACUCAAAGCUUGAUUUAAGAAGUCCUUUAGUAAGAAUAUCGGCUAGCUGCUUUGUUGUUGGAACAAAGGUCAUGCAUAUCAAACCACUUUCUAUUUUCUCCUUGAUAAAAUGACGAUCCACUUCAACAUGUUUAGUUCUGUCAUGAUGAACAGGGUUAUGAGCAAUGUUUAUUGCUGCCUUGUUGUCACAAUACAACUUCAUAGGAACAUCAAUAAUAAUCUUCAAUUCUUCAAGUAGCUUAUUUAACCACAAAAGUUCACAAAUACCAUGUGCUACUGCUUUAAAUUCAGCUUCGGCACUGCUUCUUGCAACCACUGAUUGCUUCUUACUCCUCUAAGUUACCAAGUUUCCUCCCACAAAUGUGCAAUACCCUGAAGUUGACCUUCUAUCAAUAACAGAUCCAGCCCAAUCUGCAUCAGUAUAUACUUCAACUUGCAGAUUGUUAUUUUUCUUGAAUAACAGACCUUUUCCUGGAGUUUUUUUCAGGUACUUGAGAACCUUGUAAACAGCUUCCAAGUGCUCUUUACAUGGAGAGUGCAUAAAUUGACUAAUAACACUUACUGCAAAGGCUAUGUCUGGCCUAGUAUGAGACAAGUAUAUCAACUUACCAACCAACCUUUGGUAACUUUCUCUAUCCACUGAUUUUCCUUCAAUUGCAUAUCCCAAUUUGUGAUAAGGAUCAAUAGGAGUGUCUCCAGGUUUGCAUCCCAACAUGCCAGUUUCCUUGAGCAAGUCUAAAGUAUAUUUCCUUUGAGAGACAAAAAUGCCUUUACUGGAUCUUGCAAUUUCCAUGCCCAAAAAGUAUCUUAAGGAUCCAAGAUCCUUCAUCUCAAAUUCUCUAGCAAGAACCUUCUUGAGAUUUUCCAUUUCUAUUACAUUGCUUCCAGUCAAGAUGAUAUCGUCUACAUAUACAAUGACGAUCACAACACUACCAUCAGUGAAGUGUUUAAAAAACAUUGUAUGAUCUGCUUGACUCUGUAAAUAGCCAAAGCUAUAAACAGAUUUCGUAAAUCUGUCAAACCAAGCUCGAGGAGAUUGUUUUAAGCCGUAAAGUGAUCUCUUCAGCUUGCACACUUUUUCAAUACCAUAUUCAUUCUCAAAACCUGGUGGUAGAUCCAUAUAUACCUCCUCUUCAAGCUCUCCAUUAAGGAACGCAUUCUUAAGAUCUAACUGUUGUAGUUGCCAACCUAGGCUUGCUGCAAGAGACAACAAAACCCGAAUGGAAUUCAUCUUUGCCACGGGAGCAAAUGUUUCUUGGUAGUCAAUGCCGUAUGUUUGUGUAAAACCUUUCGCGACGAGCCUAGCUUUAUACCGCUCAAGUGACCCAUCUGCUCUGUAUUUAACUGUAAAAAUCCACUUGCAACCCACUGGUUUUUUUCCUUCUGGUAACUUGACUAGUUCCCAAGUUUUGUUUUUUUCUAGAGCUCUCAUCUCUGCAUACACAGCAUCUCUCCAUUCUGGAAUAGAAAGAGCAUCUUGUACAGAUUUUGGAAUUGCUAUAACAGACAGGUUAGCUGUAAAAGCUCUAAAAAAUGGAGAUAAUCUAUGAUAUGACACAUACUUAGAAAUUGGAUGAAGAGUACAAGACCUAGUUCCUUUCCGUUGUGCAAUUGGAACAUCUAGAUCAUUUGUAGUUUCUAAAACAGAUUCUGAAAUAGGAUUAGAAUGAAUGUUACCUACAAGUUCCAAGUUGCCUGUGUUUGGAUCCGAGUCUUGGCAGUGAGGAGAGGAAUGAUGAUUUAACCUUUUCGAAUUCCGUCGUGUGUAGACUUGAAGCUCUGGUUCUGGAACUCUCUCUAAUGAUUUUUCAUUAUUCACAAUUGAUGGCAUUGUAGAAGGAACAGGAGGUACACAAGACAUAAUAGGCAUUGGAAGAGAUAAUUCCCAAAAAUGAUCUUCCUGAGUAUGAUCCUCCCCCUGAAGAGAAGUUUUGGGAAGGAAAGACCUAUUUUCAAAAAAUGUAACAUCCAUUGUGACGAAGAAUUUUUUAGACAAUGGAUCAUAACAUUUGUAGCCUUUUCGAGUAGGAGAAUAGCCAAGAAAUACACAUUUUAAAGCCCUAGGAUCAAGUUUGCUUCUGUUCUGUUUAUGAACGUGAACAAAAGCAAUGCACCCAAAAAUCUUUGGUGGUAAAGAUGUGAAAACCUUAGCAUAGGGAUAGAAUUUUGUGAAAACAUUUAAUGGAGACUGAAAAUUAAAGAUUCGGGUAGGCAUACGAUUUAUCAAGUAUGAUGCUGUGAGAAUGGCUUCACCCCAAAACUGUUUUGGCACUCUAUUUGUGAACAUAAGAGAGCGUGCAACUUCUAAUAGGUGUCGAUUUUUUCGUUCAGCAACACCAUUUUGCUGAGGAGUAUCUACACAAGAGGAUUGGUGCACAAUGCCAUUUUCCAUGAAAUAAUGACCAAGGGCAGUAGCAAAAUAUUCUCUCCCAUUAUCAGUUCUAAAGACUUGGAUUUUUGCUUGAAAUUGUGUUUGAAUCAUGGUAUGAAAGGUUUUAAAAACUGUUGUAGUUUCUGAUUUUUCUUUAAGCAAGUACACCCAACAAACACGAGUGUGGUCAUCAAUAAAAGUUAUGAACCAUUUAGCCCCCGAAAUGUUUGUAACACGUGAGGGUCCCUAAAUAUCACUGUGUAUAAGAGAAAAAGGUGCAGAUUUUUUAUACGGCUGUAAAGGAAAAGAUGCACGAUGAUGUUUGGACAAUACACAAAUUUCACACUGAAACAAAGAAGGAUUUUUAUUCUUGAACAGUAAAGGAAACAAAUGUUGUAAAUAAGAAAAACUAGGAUGACCUAAUCGGAGAUGCCACAACAUUAUUUCAUCUUCAAUAGAGAAAGUUACUUUAUUAUUUGCUGCCUGAGCUUCUCCACACAAACUAACAUCCUCCUCGAAGUAGUACAAACCAUCUACCUCUCUAGCACUGCCAAUCUUCUUCCCCGAACACAUGUCUUGAAAUUCAAGAUAGGAAGGAGAGAAUUUAGCAAUGCAAUGAAGAUCCUUGGUAAUUUUGCUAAUAAAUAAAAGAUUACAAGACAAAUUAGGAACAUGAAGAACAUAUGUUAACACCAAAUUUGUGGAGAUAGGAAUAGAUCCUUUUCCUGCUACGGAAGAUAGUGAACCAUCAGCAAUUUUAAUUUUUUGACUACCAGAACAUGGAAUAUAUGAAGAAAAUAAUUUAGAAUGGCUGGUCAUAUGAUCGGUUGCUCCUGAAUCGAUGAUCCAUGGAUCUUGUUUCUCAUAAACAACUCCUAAAGUAGUGAAAUUAUUACCUUUUUGGGCUAAAGAACUAAAGGAUGAAGGAUUUGGGAGAGAUUGUGACUGAUUUAGAAACCUGUACAGUUGCUCUAACUGCUCUUUAGUGAAGAGUUGAGAUUCGGUUUCUCCAGUAUUGGUUGUCGGCUGAUUCUCCCCAACAACUUGGAAACCACGACUAUGUUUACCAGAGAAUUUAUUGUUUUUCAGAUUUGGAGGUUUUCCAUGAAGCUUCCAACAUGCAUCUCUGGUAUGUCUUGGCUUAUGGCAAUAAUCACACCAAACUCUAUCCUUCUCAUCACUCUUCUUCAGGCUUUUUAUUCCACCAACCAAUGGAGCUUCUGGUGUAACAGAGAUCAAGGCUGAGUUCUCUGCUGAAGAACCUCCCAUCAUCACAUUCUUUCUACUUUCCUCUCUUCUUACAUAAGAAAACACUUCCCUGGUAGAAGGAAGAGGUUCCUUGCCAAGUACUCGCCCACGAACUUCAUCAAGGUCUGAACUCAAACCUGCUAAGAAUUCAAAUACACGCUCUUUUUCUAACAUCUUCUUGUAUUUAGCACUAUCAGCAGCACAUUCCCACUCGCCAUCAUAGUACUGAUCUAACUCUUGCCAUAAGCCCUUCAAAAUAUUGUAGUAUUUAGUCACUCCUUGACUACCUUGUUUGGUUUCUCGAAUUCUGGUUUUUAGAUCAUAAAUCUGAGCAGAAUUUCCCAAAUCAGAAUAGGUCUCAGUGACAACAUCCCACAAAUCUUUUGCUGUUGGCAGAAACAAGUAAGUUUGACCUAUUUCUUGUUCCAUUGAAUUCACUAACCAUGACAUGAUCAUUGAGUUGUCAGCAUCCCAAGUUUGAAACUUUGGGUCGUCUUCAGUUGGUUCUUUAAUUGAACCAGUAAGGUAACCAAUCUUCCAUUUACCUCUGAUAAACAUCUUCACAGAUUGGGACCACUGAAGAAAAUUUUGACCAUUCAAUUUAUGGGUUGUGAUCUGAAGUGAUGGACUAUCAUUAGAAACAUAACUUGAUGGUUGUAGAUGCCGUUGCAACUGCUCUGAAGAUAACUCAGAAGUUUCUUGGUCGCUAUUCUUUGACAUUAGUAUUCAAAUAGAAUUGAAAACUAAACCCAAGAAUCAAAGAGCGGCUCUAAUACCAUGAGAAAAUUAUUGAAGAAAUAUGUAUCUCAUUUUCUUAUUCUUUACAAUAGGAUUACAUAAUACAUAUAUAGAUUCUAAACUACAUAACGUGCACUAGUAGGAAAGUAAACAACUAACUGCAGACCAAGAAACUAGGAAACAAACUCUAUCAAAACACUGAAAUUCUAUCCCUAUCUUUUUUUUUUUUUUCUAUCCCUAUCUUUUUUCCUUAAAAAUAGGAUAGAAAACAUGUGACUUUUCCACAGUUAAUAUACAUGUAUUAAUUCAUCAUUGCCUUUUAGUUGAAGCCAUUCAAUAGUGUAGAAGAAGAAGAAGGAGGAGGAGGAGGAGGAGGAGGAGGGGAGGAGGAGGAGGAGGAGGAGGAGGAGGAGGAGGAGGAGGAGGAGGAGGAGGAGGAAGGAGGAGGAGGAGGAGGAGGAGGAGGAGGAGGAGGAGGAGGAGGAGGAGGAGGAGGAGAAAAAUAUAUUAGUAUGGAAAGAACACAAGUUUAUUUAUAAUGCAGUCCCUCCCAAGUCCCUACAUGGGCACAAGCACUGAAGCAAACACACUGACACAACAUAUAUAUUACCAAGAAGAAAAGAAAUUAGUAGCCAGCUAGUAGCACAUUCAACAUACAUAUAUACAGAACUUGAACAUAAUUGACAACAUCUGGAGGGAGAGGGAUAUAUAUCGAUGCUGCAGCCUGCAAUUCAUAGCAUGUCAUCGAUCAUUUAAUUGCUUAUCAAAUGGUGUCCUUGAAUGUUUUGAUCAAGAAAACGGUGAUGAUGAUCAUUCUAAUGGUGAUGAUCUUCAAGGGGCCUGGGAAAUUUGUGAAACAACGCCCUAGCCGUAGUGUGUGUAUUUAUAACUUGAUGAUAGAGAGUACGGUGGUUGUCCAAAUUCACACAGUCACCAAACUUUUCCCAUGAAAUUAUAUGUUCGUAUAUGGCAGCAACCCUGCACACAAAUCAUCACAACCAAAAGCUCACGUUUUGCAUGCAAACGCCUGUCUAUAGUCAUUCACCAACCACAAAUUACUCAAGUAAGUACUCGUGUCGUCAACACUUACCCUUUACUCCAUCUACGCAAACAAGAAUUCAACUCGCUUAUUAGCGCUAUAUAUAUAUAAUAUAAUAUAAUAUAUUAAAGAGAAAGCAAACCAAAAUAAAUUCUACACUCAUGUGGACGUUUUGUUCACAAAAUCUGGACAAGAAAAAAUAAUAUUGAUACAAUCUCCAAAUAUAAAGCGUUCCUCUUGGUAAAACAAACAAUUCCUAUAAAUUUUGAUUAAUGGUGCCAAAUGAAAGAGUUGUAAUUUCAUGUAUAUUUUGUUAACAUGAAUAAGGAUACAAAAUAGAUUACGAAAUGACAAAAACAAAGCUAAUCACUAUGAAUGAUAGGUUUAGAGUAAACAUAAAGUUAUAAUCUUGGACAUAAGUGGUGCUUAAAGUCAUGAAUUUGAUAUCACCCAUGAGGGAAGUUCAAACAACGGUAUAUAAUAAGCAACAAAUGUUGGGAAAAAAAAUUCAUUGCAACACAACAUAAUAAAUUGUAAAGAAAUCCCAGUUUGCAUAAAAGAAAGGAAAAAAAUUAAGGAAAACAUAAGCACAACAAAAUUGGACUGAUCAUUAAAAAUGAGAAAUGAGUUAUAAUGAGAAUUUUGGUUUUGUAAUGAACUAAAUUGGGAAGUAUCAGAAGUUCGCAUGAAUACAAUAUAAAUGAUAAGAAGACGAAGGGAACAUAAUGAUAAUAAGCAAGCCAAAUAUUAAAAUGCAGAUUCUACGCUUCCACCCCCACACUUCAAUUUAGUGUCUCGCUGAUCAUUUCAGAUAUAUCAAUUACAAAGGGAGACCAUUUAUUUAUAUUAAGCGUACGCCUCUAAUGCUUUGCCAAGUGUCCAUUGAUAAUAUCACAAGGGCAAUUAAAUUGGUGUAUGUGCAUUACACCUCCAAAGUCAUGUUAAGAUAGUUAGUGAGCUGAUAAAAUUUGUUUCACGUGUGAGUUAGCUAAGUCUGUUAGAAAUGCAGACGUGUAAAGCUGAGUCAACAAGUUACUUAAGGUUGUUACGAAUGCUUAGAUUCAGCUCAUGUGUAUUGUAUGUAAUGCUUAGAUUCAGCUCAGAUUGUGUAUACAACUUUCUAAUAUUCUUUAGAUCUCAACAUAAAUACUUGUGAUCAACAAAUACAAUAAUAAGAAUCAUUAUUCUUCAUUUUCUCUCUGUUUCUCUCAUAUUUUCUCUGCAUCCAAACACAAUAUUUUCAGUUCUUGACUUGGUAUCACUACUACAAUAAACGAUAAAGAUGACUCUUAAAAUAAGUAUUAAAUGACGUGAUAAAAAAAGUCAUCUUUGUAACAGUCAUCUAAAGUGGGUAAUAAUAGAUGACGUCUUUUACGAGUUAUCUAUAUUGCUUUAUAGAUGACUCAUAUUAUAAAAUACCAGUCAUCAAAUUAUAUAUUUGUACUCCAUAAUUCCUAAAGAGAUGACUCUUUUUUAUUUAGCAGCUGUCAACUUUAUUUGAACAAAUGACUAGCUUUUGUAUUGGGAGUCAUCUUUGAAUAAUGAAUGUAAUAUUUCUGAAUUAAUUAAUAUCAUUUGAAACUAGAAAAUAUUUUGAAAUAUCUGAAUCUAUGAAUGUAAUAUUUCUGAAUUAAUUAAUGUCAUUUGAAACUAGAAAAUAUUUUGAAAUAUCUGAAUCUACUGCCUAAUUUUCAUAUUAAGCUAAUAUGGAUUAGCAAAAACUGCAUUAUCAAGCCUAUGGAGAAGUACAUAUAUUUAUUGUACAACAAAUAGUAUUUAAGAUUCAAAUUACUAGUAUUUCCUGUAUCACAAUAAAAAGUCUAUCAUUUUAACACAUCCCAAAUUGGGUAUCCAUUACAUUGUACAUUAAAAAAAAAUUCUUUACAACGAAAAUUACAUUCUUCACAAGCAUCAAAACUCCAUCUCCGAGGCAACUAUCAACAUUCUUAAUCCAGCAACAAUACUACAAUACUAAAUUAAAAUAGUUAAAAAUAAUGCAACAAUUAUGUGUGCACAUAACCAAUAUGAAAGAUACAACUAAAUAAAAAUUACUUAUAAUUUAUAUACAUAUCUUGCCAAACUCAUUGAACUAUCUGUUGAAUUUAGCCAAAACUAUUCUUCUAUAUCUACUUUGCUCGUUAGGUUGCUAUUGACUUUAUUAACAUUGUCUUGAGGUGCAAGCAUCUUAUCCAACCAACUACCUUAUACAAAAUAGCCAAUAUCAAUGGACACAACACUAUUAAAGUUUUCAAAACAUUUUAAAUAAAUACCUUAUCCAACCAAGUACAAUAUACAUAAAAGUGCAUUAUGAUUAACAAUAGAAUUAUUAAAAAAAAAAAAAGAAAAAGGGAUGAUUAGAACUUACAAUAAUACAAAGUUCUUCAAACAUUGGUUAAGUUCAUAAAGAGAUGUGCACUAUAUAUGUCAAAAUAUAAUAGCAUUUCUUUAUAACAAAAAUUUAAAUGCUAAGCAUAAUUAAUCAAAUAAUAAACUUGAUAUUGUUAUAAUGCGAUUUCUUGCUUUUACCUCUUAGAGACUAGACUUACCAAAUCCGAUAAUCAUUAGUAACCUGAAUUUAAUUUUUUCUAGUAUUGCGAAGUUAGUUAUUCAACUAGUCUCAUAAUUUUUGUUUCUCUUUUCAACUUAAGUGAUAACAAUGGCAUGAUAAAACUAUUCUUAGCAAGGAUUUCAUUAUCUCGAGAGUCAUAAAUCAUGUACUAAAUCAAAGUAGAUUUCAUUUGUAUGAAACUAUGACUACUUGCACUAAAGAAUCAACAUACGGAUUGUUAUAAUUUAUAAACAAUUAAUCAAUUUUUACUACAGUAUAAUAAAUAUCUAAAUAUCCAAUUUUCUCCUUUCCCUUUAAAUAUAUAUCCAAAUUUCAAUCAAUCUAAAUAAUAAUAAUUAUAGCAACAACAAUAACAAUAAUAAUAAAUGAAAAACCCCAACCUUGAAAUACCUGGCAUUUACUCAAAUUUUCAAAAUCUUCUAUUUCUAUUUCACUGUAUUGAUUCCAGAUCUAACAUUCAAACAUGAAUUAUGAAAAAAAGGAAAAACAAAGAUCUCAUUCACAUGAACUAUCCCCAAAUAAACGAAUCAUCAUUAUUUUUCAAUGAAUUAAACAAAUUAAAGAAAUAGAAAACACCUCAUUGUAAGGAUCCAAGCUUUUUAAAAACAGAAGUGUCAAAUGCUUUAUUCCUUUUCUGGAAGAUGUGAACCCAAACUUCCAAAUCUUCAAUUUUUGACUUGUUCUUCGCGGUUCGUGAUUGCGAUUGACUUCACGAUUUUCUCUCUCUUCACUCCCACUUUGCGUUUCUUCACUCUUCAAGAGCGGCGGCUGUAAAUUUAGAAUAAUAACUGUAGAAGAGAUGAAAUUAGGGUUGAUUAUUUGGGGACAAUUGCAAAAGGGUGGUAUUUUUAGUGAUAAGUUUGGAGAAGGAAUUUUGAGAAGAGGAAAAUGAAAGAGAGAGAGAGAGAGGUACAACUUGAAGAAAUUAGGGAUUUGAGGGAACUUAGGGUGAUUUUUUUAUUUAUACAUCUAUAUAAAAAUGCCGUUUUUUAAAUUACGAGUCAUAUGUUUACCUUAUAAAAUAUGACGUGUUUUUGUAUAACGAGUCAUCUUUUAACUUCCUAUCAAAUUAAAAUUAUCAUAGAUGACUCUCUAACUAUAGAAAAAGUCAUCUAAAAGAAAAGAUAACAAUUGUUUAGAUGUGAAUCGUCUAUUGAAUGUCAUCUAUCUCACUUACUGUAGUAGUGGAAUUUGUAUUUGAUGUUUAAUUAUAAUUUCUUGAAGUUUUUAUGUGUUUCAUUGAGUUAUAAUCUUUCUAAUGCCUUGCUUUCUUCUAUUUUAGAACUAGUUUUGAGAUGGAUACCCGUAUUGCAUCUGACAAAAUUUGAGUGUUGUUACAAAUACUUUAUUUGUGAAUAUGGUUUUGUAAUUUUUAUGCGUUGGCUUGCGGUAAAAUUACUAAUGUUAAAAUAUAGUGGAGAUAGAGUUCUUAAGAAAAUGUGUUGAUUACAUUUAUUGGCAAUAUAGUAACAUGUGAUGAACUUUUUUCUCCUUUUAUUAAAUUAGGCAAUUAAAUUGUCAAUUUUGCUUUCUUUUACCUUCUAUGUUCUUUUUUUCUUUGGGGCUACGAUAGAUAUUUUCAUUGGAUAGUUCAACUUAUAAAAAAAUAGCUAUGCACAAUUAUUAGACUGUAAACUAUUAUUAAGGUAUGCAUGUUCGUUCAUAGUUAAAUUGAUUAUUGCUCUAAUUCUUUUCUUGAACAUGAAUAAGAUGCAGAGUUACGGGACUAGUAUUCUAAGGCCAACAAUUGAGGGCAUGGCAAAAGAAUGGAGAGGCUGUUUAGGAUAUUUUGUGAAAUUUUGGGUUGUUGUUGCUUGAAUACCUCAAUGAUAUGGAUUAUAUGGUUAAAUGGAUAUCCAUGUUUUAUUAAUUGGAUUCUUUAAUUUUUUGUAUCAUAUUUUGUAUUUAUUUUAGAUUUAUAAAUUUAUUCUAAAAACAAAUUUUCUGAGAAUUCUAAUAAUAAUAAUAAUUCAACACAAAUAAUAAUAACAAUACAAUUCAAAAAUAAUGCUUUUAAGUAAUUUUAAUAUUCAGAUAAUACCAAUUUACAGCCAAAAAGUUUAAAAAUGCCAAAAAUUUUAAUAAUUUUAAUUUCUCAUUAAAAUAUUGUGUGACAGAUAUGUGACUGUGAAAAAUCAUCAUGAAUUCAUGAUGGAAAAUAUUCUGUCAUGAAUUAAUGACAGUGACAAAAAUGACAGAUAAUUUGUCUGUCAUACAUCCCCUUAUAUGACAAUUAUUUACUGUCAUCUAUUGCCUAUUUUCUUGUAGUGUGGAGCUAUCAACUCAAUUCCAAGAUCAACAAACCACCUAAUAAUGGUUUAAUUUAGAUAAAAAAACCACCUAUCAACACUUGGUGAGUUUAUAAUAAGUUGGUGGCAAUCACUAAGAUGGAGUCUCAUAUUGUGUAAGGUUUCAACAUGUUGUAAUCUCUUGAGCCUAGCAAAUUACUCAAUAUUUGAGUGUGGCUCCAUGGAUGCAGUGAAUAACGUAAAAAUCUUCUUGUGUACUUUAAAAGUUUUUGUCUUACUAGGAAUACAUCUUUGUAUUGGCUUUUGAAUUAAGGAUGUUCUAAUUUCUAUGGCCAAGUUUUGCAUCUGCUUUUGAUUUAGAUGUUCCAACUAUAAAAGCCUAGUGUAUUAAAAAAGAAAAAACUAUGAAGGCCUAAGAAUCUAAUUAUCUCGUUUAGAGUAUUGAUAUUUGAUUAUCUCAUUUUAUCUCACCAAACCCUAUUAAUGAUUCCAAUUUUAUCUUGUACAAAAAUACUAAAAAGUACAUAAGAUUUUUCUCUUUAGACUCUAUCAUUUCGCAAACUUAUAUAUAUUAUAAAUUUCAUGUCACCAAACAACUAAACUAUUUCAAAAGAAAAAAAUAACAAUUUUAUUCUUUUAGAAACAAUUUGAUCAAAUCUCUUCAUUGGCAGCAAACAAAAUCAAUUCCAUAUCCAAAACCAAAUAAAUGAUCAAGUUUAGAAAGGUCUAUCCAUCGCUUGGAUUGCUAAAAUCAUUCCCUUGAUAGCUUUUAACAAGAGAAAGAACAUUAUGGAGAUUGACCAAUUAGCAAAUGCAAAAGAUUAAAAUUACUAAAAGUGAGCAAUUAAGCUUUUUCAACAUGUGAUUUUUGCUUUCUCAUAUUGCUGAAACAAAUAACGUGAAACUGAGGAUUUUUUUCUUUUUUGUCUAAGCAUUUUUAUUGCAACUACCAAAAUGUUAGGACUUUUAUCAUUACAUCAGUGCGUCAAUAAUAUUGUUAUUUAUUUGUUCCUUGCAUUAGGGAUUUGUCUUGUCAUAGGUACUUAGAGAUUACUAUGUCUAUGGGUAGGAAUAUAGCAAGUAUAUUUAAUAUGUGGAAUGGGGUGAAAUCCAAUGAUCCUCUUUUAAAAAAGGAAAAACGCUAUGUUGGGAAAUUGAAACUUUAAACUGAACGUCGGUCUCAAAGUUUCACUGUGAGGCUGGCAUCAUCACUGUUGAUUGUGCGGAUGAUGCCAUGGGUUUAGGUGUUGUGAUGUGUGAUUGUCAUGGGUAUGUUAGGGUUGCUACUAUUUUUGCAAUUAGUAUUUUCUAAGUUAUUGCUAAUAUUUUACAACCCAUGGAACAACGAUAAGCUUUUCAAAUUCAUCAUAUUUUGUGUAAUUUUAAAUAGCUCAAGCCAUGUACUAGCCAAGUUAGCUCUUUUAAAUUCUGUUAUUUAGCUAGAUAACUUUUUAGAACGUUUGUGCGCACUUUAAUUAUAAUGAAGUUAUUGAUUGCUAAAAAAAAAGCGCACACAAAAGUUCUAAAUCUUAAUUAGAAGUAUUUGUUUUUCUUUUUUUCCUUUAUAACAUCAUUAUUAGGGUUAAAAGAAAAAUUAUUCGACCGGAUUUAUUCAAUAGUGUAUAAGUAAUUUUUCUCUUUUAGUAAUCCGACAUAGUAAUGAACUUACCCAUGUUUCAUAUACAUAUAUUUCUCAACCCUAGUAACUAAUUAGUUAAAUAUUUCUCGAACAUAGUAAGUAAAUAUUAUGAUUUAUUAUUACAAACCACCGUAUUAGUAUCUAUCUAUGAUUUAACAAUAGGUUAAUAUAGAUAUCGUGGAUUUAGUGAUCUUCAUUCUUCAUACUACCUUUCAGGACAUGGAGGUACAUCGUAUUGAUGUAAGUGGCACUUGUGGGAUAUAAUACAGUUCUUAGAAGAGGCAAAGAAAAGAGGAACUUAAAGUCAUCAUCAUAAUUCUCACUACCUAUCAGCCUAUAAAUCCCUAAUUAUUUCACAUAUCAUCAACAAUUUAAUAUAACACAUAAACCUGUAAUUCUUUCACAUAUCAUUUUCAAUAGUCACCAUAAAAACACAAGAAUCAUCAUUACCUUGUCUUUAACUAAAAAAUGAAAGAGACCAGCUCAAGAUGACACUAACUGAUUGAUGGAUUCAACUUGUUAUUUGCUGUGUGUUACAUGGUAGCUUCGAUUUUAUGUGAUUAGUAAACAAUCUAAGAGACAAAUCAAUAUUUCAGAGAGUGAUAGUAAGAGAGGUGAAAGAGAUGUUUGAGAUUUGAAGGAGGGAAAACGUAAUGGAUUUCAGCAACCAUUUAACAAGUAACCCGUUACUUUUUAUUUUUAAUUUAAUCUCAACCGUUGGACUCAUUUUACUUGAAUCCAACGGCUACAAAUAAAAAUUGGCACAAUGCUAGGCAUUNNNNNNNNNNNNNNNNNNNNNNNNNNNNNNNNNNNNNNNNNNNNNNNNNNNNNNNNNNNNNNNNNNNNNNNNNNNNNNNNNNNNNNNNNNNNNNNNNNNNNNNNNNNNNNNNNNNNNNNNNNNNNNNNNNNNNNNNNNNNNNNNNNNNNNNNNNNNNNNNNNNNNNNNNNNNNNNNNNNNNNNNNNNNNNNNNNNNNNNNNNNNNNNNNNNNNNNNNNNNNNNNNNNNNNNNNNNNNNNNNNNNNNNNNNNNNNNNNNNNNNNNNNNNNNNNNNNNNNNNNNNNNNNNNNNNNNNNNNNNNNNNNNNNNNNNNNNNNNNNNNNNNNNNNNNNNNNNNNNNNNNNNNNNNNNNNNNNNNNNNNNNNNNNNNNNNNNNNNNNNNNNNNNNNNNNNNNNNNNNNNNNNNNNNNNNNNNNNNNNNNNNNNNNNNNNNNNNNNNNNNNNNNNNNNNNNNNNNNNNNNNNNNNNNNNNNNNNNNNNNNNNNNNNNNNNNNNNNNNNNNNNNNNNNNNNNNNNNNNNNNNNNNNNNNNNNNNNNNNNNNNNNNNNNNNNNNNNNNNNNNNNNNNNNNNNNNNNNNNNNNNNNNNNNNNNNNNNNNNNNNNNNNNNNNNNNNNNNNNNNNNNNNNNNNNNNNNNNNNNNNNNNNNNNNNNNNNNNNNNNNNNNNNNNNNNNNNNNNNNNNNNNNNNNNNNNNNNNNNNNNNNNNNNNNNNNNNNNNNNNNNNNNNNNNNNNNNNNNNNNNNNNNNNNNNNNNNNNNNNNNNNNNNNNNNNNNNNNNNNNNNNNNNNNNNNNNNNNNNNNNNNNNNNNNNNNNNNNNNNNNNNNNNNNNNNNNNNNNNNNNNNNNNNNNNNNNNNNNNNNNNNNNNNNNNNNNNNNNNNNNNNNNNNNNNNNNNNNNNNNNNNNNNNNNNNNNNNNNNNNNNNNNNNNNNNNNNNNNNNNNNNNNNNNNNNNNNNNNNNNNNNNNNNNNNNNNNNNNNNNNNNNNNNNNNNNNNNNNNNNNNNNNNNNNNNNNNNNNNNNNNNNNNNNNNNNNNNNNNNNNNNNNNNNNNNNNNNNNNNNNNNNNNNNNNNNNNNNNNNNNNNNNNNNNNNNNNNNNNNNNNNNNNNNNNNNNNNNNNNNNNNNNNNNNNNNNNNNNNNNNNNNNNNNNNNNNNNNNNNNNNNNNNNNNNNNNNNNNNNNNNNNNNNNNNNNNNNNNNNNNNNNNNNNNNNNNNNNNNNNNNNNNNNNNNNNNNNNNNNNNNNNNNNNNNNNNNNNNNNNNNNNNNNNNNNNNNNNNNNNNNNNNNNNNNNNNNNNNNNNNNNNNNNNNNNNNNNNNNNNNNNNNNNNNNNNNNNNNNNNNNNNNNNNNNNNNNNNNNNNNNNNNNNNNNNNNNNNNNNNNNNNNNNNNNNNNNNNNNNNNNNNNNNNNNNNNNNNNNNNNNNNNNNNNNNNNNNNNNNNNNNNNNNNNNNNNNNNNNNNNNNNNNNNNNNNNNNNNNNNNNNNNNNNNNNNNNNNNNNNNNNNNNNNNNNNNNNNNNNNNNNNNNNNNNNNNNNNNNNNNNNNNNNNNNNNNNNNNNNNNNNNNNNNNNNNNNNNNNNNNNNNNNNNNNNNNNNNNNNNNNNNNNNNNNNNNNNNNNNNNNNNNNNNNNNNNNNNNNNNNNNNNNNNNNNNNNNNNNNNNNNNNNNNNNNNNNNNNNNNNNNNNNNNNNNNNNNNNNNNNNNNNNNNNNNNNNNNNNNNNNNNNNNNNNNNNNNNNNNNNNNNNNNNNNNNNNNNNNNNNNNNNNNNNNNNNNNNNNNNNNNNNNNNNNNNNNNNNNNNNNNNNNNNNNNNNNNNNNNNNNNNNNNNNNNNNNNNNNNNNNNNNNNNNNNNNNNNNNNNNNNNNNNNNNNNNNNNNNNNNNNNNNNNNNNNNNNNNNNNNNNNNNNNNNNNNNNNNNNNNNNNNNNNNNNNNNNNNNNNNNNNNNNNNNNNNNNNNNNNNNNNNNNNNNNNNNNNNNNNNNNNNNNNNNNNNNNNNNNNNNNNNNNNNNNNNNNNNNNNNNNNNNNNNNNNNNNNNNNNNNNNNNNNNNNNNNNNNNNNNNNNNNNNNNNNNNNNNNNNNNNNNNNNNNNNNNNNNNNNNNNNNNNNNNNNNNNNNNNNNNNNNNNNNNNNNNNNNNNNNNNNNNNNNNNNNNNNNNNNNNNNNNNNNNNNNNNNNNNNNNNNNNNNNNNNNNNNNNNNNNNNNNNNNNNNNNNNNNNNNNNNNNNNNNNNNNNNNNNNNNNNNNNNNNNNNNNNNNNNNNNNNNNNNNNNNNNNNNNNNNNNNNNNNNNNNNNNNNNNNNNNNNNNNNNNNNNNNNNNNNNNNNNNNNNNNNNNNNNNNNNNNNNNNNNNNNNNNNNNNNNNNNNNNNNNNNNNNNNNNNNNNNNNNNNNNNNNNNNNNNNNNNNNNNNNNNNNNNNNNNNNNNNNNNNNNNNNNNNNNNNNNNNNNNNNNNNNNNNNNNNNNNNNNNNNNNNNNNNNNNNNNNNNNNNNNNNNNNNNNNNNNNNNNNNNNNNNNNNNNNNNNNNNNNNNNNNNNNNNNNNNNNNNNNNNNNNNNNNNNNNNNNNNNNNNNNNNNNNNNNNNNNNNNNNNNNNNNNNNNNNNNNNNNNNNNNNNNNNNNNNNNNNNNNNNNNNNNNNNNNNNNNNNNNNNNNNNNNNNNNNNNNNNNNNNNNNNNNNNNNNNNNNNNNNNNNNNNNNNNNNNNNNNNNNNNNNNNNNNNNNNNNNNNNNNNNNNNNNNNNNNNNNNNNNNNNNNNNNNNNNNNNNNNNNNNNNNNNNNNNNNNNNNNNNNNNNNNNNNNNNNNNNNNNNNNNNNNNNNNNNNNNNNNNNNNNNNNNNNNNNNNNNNNNNNNNNNNNNNNNNNNNNNNNNNNNNNNNNNNNNNNNNNNNNNNNNNNNNNNNNNNNNNNNNNNNNNNNNNNNNNNNNNNNNNNNNNNNNNNNNNNNNNNNNNNNNNNNNNNNNNNNNNNNNNNNNNNNNNNNNNNNNNNNNNNNNNNNNNNNNNNNNNNNNNNNNNNNNNNNNNNNNNNNNNNNNNNNNNNNNNNNNNNNNNNNNNNNNNNNNNNNNNNNNNNNNNNNNNNNNNNNNNNNNNNNNNNNNNNNNNNNNNNNNNNNNNNNNNNNNNNNNNNNNNNNNNNNNNNNNNNNNNNNNNNNNNNNNNNNNNNNNNNNNNNNNNNNNNNNNNNNNNNNNNNNNNNNNNNNNNNNNNNNNNNNNNNNNNNNNNNNNNNNNNNNNNNNNNNNNNNNNNNNNNNNNNNNNNNNNNNNNNNNNNNNNNNNNNNNNNNNNNNNNNNNNNNNNNNNNCCUCACUCUCACCAUCAAAAUUUAGUAGUAGAAAGAAAACAUAAGUAUAUUGUUGAAACAUGAUCAACUCUCCUUGCACGUGCACAAAUGCCAAUUUCUUUUUGGUGGGAAGCCUUCCACACAACCUCAUUUCUUAUCAAUAGACUCCCAAUACAUACUUUAAACAAUCUUUCACUCUUUGAAAAACUUCAUGGUAGAAAAUCAUAUUUUAUUUCUUAAAACAUUUGGUUGUUCAUGCUUUCCUUUACUCAAACCUUACAAUAAACACAAGCUAGACUUUCAUACACAAAAGUGUUUGAUGAUUGGUUACAGUCCAAUUCACAAAGGUUACACAUGUUUGUCACCUACUGAAAAGACAUACAUUGCCAAGCAUGUACAAUUUAAUAAAUCUGAGUUUCUAUUUCUUUAACUCUUUCCUUCUCACAAGUCUAAUACUUUUGCAUCUUUAAUUUCACGGUCUUCUAAUCCUUUUAUAAUUGUCCCUAGUAUGUCAGUCAUUUAAGGCAGUAACUCUGCAUAUCCUUCUGUUAAUACUCUUGUUUCAUGUAUAAAACUGCUUCAAAUACCUCACCCUCACGUUCUAUUCCUAUUCAACAUACUAUAAUACCUGAUCAACACACCCCAAACAGUCAACACUCCCCAAAUACUUACUUUACAGUAUCUCAAUCUUCUUCACCUAAAUAAUCGCUUCACCUUGCUCAAAACAUUCAUCCAAUGGUUACAAGGUCUAAAGUUAGUGUGUUCAAGCUUAAAGACCUAUUUAGCUGUUUCUCAAGAUCUUGAACCAACCUCUAUCAAAAUGGCCUUACAUGAUCUAAAAUGGAGGGAAGCAAUGCAGGCUAAGUUUGAUGCUCUACAAGAAAAUUAAAAUUGGGUUUUGGUUCUAAAAGAAGUUGCACAGAAAAUUACUACACAGAAAAUUAUUGGCAAUAAAUGAGUGUUCAGAAUCAAAUAUAACCCUGAUGGUAGUAUAUCCAAGUACGAAGCUAGACUUAUUGCAAAGGGUUUUCAUUAGACUCCAAGUGUGGAUUUUUUUUAAACCUUUAGUCUAGUUGUUAAGCCUUGUACGAUCAGGGUAAUUCUAAGUCUUGCAGUCAUGAAUCACUGGUCCAUUACACAACUUAAUGUUAACAAUGCUUUUUAUAAUAGUAUUCUCACUGAAGAUGUGUUUAUGUCACAAUCUGAAGGAUUUCUUUAUCCUCAGUAUCCUUUUCAUGUAUGUAAACUUAAAAAGGCUCUUUAGGGACUCAAACAAGCCCUAAGGGCUUGGUAUGAUAAACUGAAAGGUUCUAUGCUGCAAUGGGGAUUCCACACUUCCAGAUCAAACACUUCUUUGUUUAUGCAACAUGUGGCAGGGGAAUUAGUUAUGGUUCUUAUAUAUGUUGAUGAUAUAUUAGUAACUGGUUCCAAUGCUAAACUUAUUGAAAGAAUUGUUCAACAGUUAAGGUCAGAAUAUGCUUUAAAAGAUCUGGGUGAGUUCAAUCUUGAAGUCACACCCACACAUGAAGGAAUUCAUCUCUCUUAAACAAAAUAUAUUAGGGGUUUGCUUAAGAAAUCUCAGAUGUUUGAGAGUAAAGGCUUUCAAACUCCCAUGAGCUCCAUUGAAAAAUUGGUAAAAAAUAAAGUUGCUGCAUUUAAGAAUUCUUAUCUACACAAAAGUAUAGUUGGAUCUUAUAAUAUGUAACCUUAACCAGGCCUGAAAAAUUGAAUUCACAGUCAAUAAGCUUAGUCAAUUCCUUGUUGCUCCUUCUGUAUUUCAUUGGCAAGCUUGCUAACAUAUAUUGAGAUAGCUCCAAUACACAACCAAUUAUGGAUUAUAAUUCCACAACAUAAGAUCUAUCACACUUACAGCUUUUUCAAAUGUAGAUUGAGGACCAGAUUUGAAUGAUAGAAAGUCAGUGGGAGACUACUAUGUUUACUUAGGUAAUAACCUUUUAUCAUGGUCAUCAAAGAAGCAGCAAUUUGUUUCAAGAAGCAUAGUAGAAUCUAAAUACAUAGCUUUAGCUUUGACUGCCUUUGAAGUGCUCUGGAUAAUAUAAUUUCUUAAAGAGUUGCAAAUAAAAUUGUUGCAAACCCCAAUUCUUAACUGCGAUAACAAGAGUGCAGAAACACUAACUAGCAAUCCAAGAUAUCACUCCAAAACUAAACAUAUUGAACUUGAUCUACACUUUGCUAGAGAGUACAUAGCAUAGAAAGAGAUCCAAGUUCAUCAUGUUCCAAGCUAUGAUCAAUUGCAAAUAUACUCACUAAGCCAUUAGCUCUAGAUCAAUUUAACUAUCUUAGAUCCAACCUCAAUGUUCUUCCCAAACCUUGAGCUUGAGAGGGCCUGUUAAGAUAGUUAAUGAGCUGAUAAAAUUUGUUGCACGUGUGAGUUAGUUAAGUCUGUUAGAAAUACAAAUGUUUAAAGCUGAGUCAGCAAAUUAGUUAAGGUUGUUAAGAAUGCAUAGAUUCAGCUCAUGUCUAUUGUAUGUAGUGCUUAGAUUUAGUUAAUGUAGAUUGUGUGUACAACUUCUAGAAUUAUUUAGAUCUCAUUAUAAAUAUUGUAAUCAAUAAAUACAAUAAUAAGAAUCAUCAUUCUUUAUUUUCUCUCUAUUUCUCUCAUAUUUUCUCUGCAUCCAAACACAAUAUUUGCAGUUCUUGACUAGUCAUAAGUGUGUGAUAUAGUGUGCUUUGAAUGACCAAGUGUAAAACACAAUACAAAAACCUCCAUUGGUGGAGACUGGAGAGCUAUAUUCACAAACAAGCUUUGAUUUAUUUAAAUUUUAAGAAAUGACGAGGAGCUUACAAUAUAAAUCAAUGGUAUUGGCCCAUUUUUCACUUAGCCAAUAAAAGAGAUGAAUGUGAUUGUGUGCUUUUAGGAGAUAUCGAAGGGCUCACUUCGACUAUAAUGAUAUAGAAGUUUAUGGACUUAAACUCAUACUCAAACUUUGUCUUGAGAUUAAUAGUUGCCUUAAGUUUAUAUUAUUAGUUCGAUAACUAUUUCAACCAAUGUUGGAUAAUUUUCCUAUUAAACCUCGUCAGGUGUAUGCCAAUUAUUGUAUGUUUUCUAAUGCUAUUGGUGUCAAUGUGCAAGUGUACACAACAAGUAAUAUAAUGAUAAAUAUUCAAGAUCGUCUCCACAUGGAUUGUUAUUAUAGGAAUUGCUACAACAAUUUUAUCAGUGCAAUUUUUAUUCUAAAUUAAAAUUAAAACAAAUUAUGAAACUAAUGAACUAAUUAAGAUAAAAAUGCAAUAAGAAAAAAAUACAAUAAAGUAAAUUAUCAUGGCAAAUAUAAGGAUGUAACCAAGGGGAAUGAAGUAGUUGAGUGAUUAAACUCACUUAGUGGUUUUGACUGACUAUUUCCCUAAUGUUUGGCUCGGUUGUUGCAGCAUCUGUUACAGCAUUGGGUAGAAUGCUUAUGUAUCCUCAGUUGUUGCAUGUUGGAUGUCUUAUAUCUAAAUGCAACAUAAUAGUGACCAAUCAUUAUACUAAUAUCAUAUAUAACAUUACACGUUUUAGAUUUUAAUUACCCUACAAGGUGAAUCUGUAUAUCUAGUUUAUCACUAAUUUUAUAUUAAACAUGACUAUUUUCGAAUCAAGUUAAACCUAACUCAGGAAACUCAAUCUAAAAUCAAGUAUUACUCUGAUAUGUUCCACUAAAACAGGCCUUUUUGAUGCUCUCUCUUAACUAAUAUCAUGAAAUAGGUGGUCAGCUAAAAUAAUGAAUUGAAAUAAAUAUUAUCAAAACAAUAUGCUAUAGCAAAUAUGCAGCAACAUAGUAUAUCAGUCAAUUAACCAUCAAGUUUGUUCAUCACUCAACCAUAAGUAAAUUUAGUUUAAUCCGCGAUAAAACAAGAAUCAAAAUAGUUCUAGCCAUCAAACAAUUCAUCAUAACGAGAUAAAAACAAGAGAACAAGAAGUAAGAGUUGAGAUCCGCUUGAUGUUCUGCUGGAAUCCUUUGGUGCCGUCCUCCAUUCUCUCUUUUGAUUUUUGUUUUCUCUUGUUUUGUUUCUCUAUUUUUUUCUCUAAUGACAACCUCCUCUUUCUUUGUGUUUGUGCUUCUUCUAUAGCUUAGAAUUAAGGCAACCGGAAGUUUAGGGUUCACAUCUUCCAGUUUAGGAAACUCAAUAUCACAAUCUUCAAAGUAUCUCGCGCGAAUUCUUCUCUAUCAAUGCUCCAGGAUUGCUAUAACAACUGUGCUAUACCAACAUUGCUACAAAAACAACUUCAACAUCAACAAUGUUCCAGACUUAUUUCAAUUCUUUUCUAAGCAAAUUUUUUCCUUAUCUUUACAAGCCUAUUACAGCUGCAUUCCUUCCUUGAAAUUUAAACUUCUAGUCACCUAUCUAAGCACAUAAUUUAUUCUAAAUCAAACAAAACUUAUUAAAAGUAAACUAAAAUGGAUCAUACAAAAUAUUACUAAAAUGCAAUAAAAACAUAUCAUUUACUCUCUAAUUAAUCAUGAUUUAAGUCUAAAAGUGUCAUGAUAACUCUCAUUUGAUAGAGUUAUCACCAAUCUUUUUGUCCAGUCCUUAUCACGCGGUAUGGUAAUGAGGACUUACUUGUGCAUGACUUUGGUUCAACAUCAUAUAAAAGCUCGUGAGGGCUAACUCUUUCUUAACAGCAACCUUAAGAGUUAAGGGUUGUCUUAAGCUUAUAUUAUUUUUAUCCCAAUAACUAUUCUCAAUUGUUAAGUGAUGUUUUCUUUAUUAAGAGAGUUCCGUGAAUAUGUACUGCCUUUAGCACAAUUGUUAUGAAGUGGAUGAUCUGCAUAAGAAGAUUCCAACUCCCAACACAAGCACUGUUAUCUUUCUUCUGGAUACAAUCUUCAGCAUUGGCAUGAAUUAUAUCAUCAACAUAUGCAUAAAAUUACACUUAAGGACAAUAAAAUUAAUCAGACAUAGUUUUUUCUCCCAAAUAAAUUAUUCACAUUCAUAAUCAUUUUUUUUCACUUUUUUACAUGUUGCUUCUUAUCUAACUAAAAUAAAUUGUACAAAUUUAGAUAAUCUAUUAUUCUUUUCAAAUUUCUUAUUGAUUAUAUAUUUUUAUACUUAAGAUUGAUUUAAAAUUAUAUAGUAAAAUACGUGUAAUUUAAGCGAAUGAUUAACAUUAAAAAAUUUAUCACCCAGAAAAGUUUUUAAUUUGUUUGUUGGAUAAUAAUAAGAUUGCAAAGAAAUGAAAAAUAGCACAACACUACUUUGAGUUUUAACAAUAAAAAAAUUGAAUAAAAGAUUAGAAGUGUAUUUUAAAAAAAGAUAUUGUUGGAAAUAAAGUAAAUAUAAUUAAAAAAAGGUGUUUCAUGAAUAAAUGAGAGGGAUGUCAAUAGUCCAACUCUUUUGUUUAAAAUUUUAAGAUGUUGGUAUUUGAAACUUAGCUUUUUCCUAAUUAUUAUAUUAAAAUGUAAUAACAAUGAUGAUAAACCCUAGUUUCAUGGAGGUCAAAGAUUUUGGUCAUGCCCCAUGAAUUAGUUGGGACAUACUUUAUGUAAAUUUAUUUAGGUUUAAUAAUUUGAUCAAGACUAUAUAAGGCGCCGCCUGGAGUCAUAGAAUUUUAUAUGUCAAAAGUGCAUUUCACUUCAAUUAAGCCAUAAACGUCAUUUAAUAUACUCAAUUUGUAUUUUAAAAAAAAGUUUUAUUAAUUUUUUUUAUUUUAAAAAUAUCAUUUAUUUAUUUAUUUAUUUAUUUUAAACUUUUUUAAUGGUAAAGAGGUGAGUAAAGUCCAAAUUCAAUUUUUGUCCAUUAAGUAAUAGCCCCUGAGAUUUUGAACUCAGGUGACUAGCUAAAUGUAUAACAAUAGGCAUUUCGAAUUUCAUUUUAAAAUGAUAUGCAAUUCAUUAAGUGAUUAUUAAUUUUUCACAAGAUCUUAGUGAAUUAAUUGUAUUAUCUCACUAAUCAAUUGAUGAGUGCCAUAGUAUUUGGGAUAACUUUUGGAUAAAAAAAUUGCGAUGGAUGAAAUAUCCUUUUGAGAAUUUAAUGAUUUAUCUCAUUUAUGACUUAUUGUUGCAGUUAAGUGAUAUUACAAGUAAUUUUUGCAAUAAUAUUAUUGUUUUGAUGAGUAAGUUUGGAGUAAAUAAUACAUAUGACAAGCGUGAGGUUUGUUAUUGUGUUUAUUCUAUGGAUGUAUUUUAAAGCAAAAAAAGGCACCGAUUCAUUAUGAUUCCAGAUAAUUUCAACUCAUAAGUAAUUAUUGGGAUAAAAAUAAAGUAAAAUGGUUAAAACUAUUUUUAUGUAAUUUAUAAAAAUCAAUGAAGCAACUACAAAAAUUUUUAACAUGAAAAACAAUUAAAAUGUGUGUGGAAAAAAAAAAGAAGGCAUUUAAAUAUCUUUUAAAAAAAUAUGAUUGAGUAAAAUCAUUUUAAGGAAUGCUCUUCCAAAUGCAAUUCCACCCUUUUUUUAUUGCAUUGGGAUAUCCCAAAAUUGGCAAAACUCAUUAAGAAUUCGGCAAUUCAAUUUUUAUUUAUCUCUCUAUGCAUUUGACAAAUCAAAAAGAAAAAAAGUUCAUAUAUCUUCUGUUCAAAAGAAACCUUGUUAAAUAUUGUAAAACAAAUAACUAAUUUUUUUCAUUUAUGCCAUUAUAUUGUCACUAUUUACUCGCCCACUCUCUGAAAAUAGAAUCAAUAUUUAUUGAUGGGUUAGGUUCCAAAGUAAGCACCAAUUCAGCAAAAUGGUUUUAUAGCAGAAAAAGCACUUGUGGGACAUUCAGAACCCAUUUUUCCAUUUUGUCUUUUGAAAAUGAGUCUUGAGUUUCCACAAGCCAAGAAGAAUGGCUAACAAACGAAUGGUACCAAAGAAAGAGAAACACACAUACAGAGACAGAGAUUAUUGGGGAGAUAUAAAUGUUUGUUUAAUAUGUAUAUAUAUAUAUCCCCAUUAAUUGUUGAUAGUCCAAUGGGUAUGUGCAAAAGGAAAAAAAUUGACUGUCCUUUAAGACAAAAUUGAUUGUCACAAGAAAAUGUUUGCACUCUUGCACACAACAAAAAUAAAGAUUCCAAGAACAAAUUUAUGGUACUCGUUUUUGUCCAAACUUAUGCGAUAAAAAUUAGUUUAAAUGACGCUUGAAAUACGUAGACCUUCACAGAAUUGAUUAGAUAUUUAUAGUAGGAUGGAGUGAUAAAUAGUUUCACAAAAUUAUUGGAAUUAACUAAUUAAUACAUGAGAUCUAUCUCAUUAAGAAUAAAAGAUUAAGAUGUUACUUCAAAAGCGUGACAUUGCUGGCAACAAAUUUAACACAAAAGUUUAAUUAAUUUUCCUAGUUGACAUAGUAAAAUCUCAUGUUGAAAAAAAAAAAAAAGUUUCAGGUUUGAUCCUUCUCAUUCAAGAAAAUCAAGCCAAAAUCAGUACAUCGUCCAGCAUAUAUCAAAGAUUUUUUCAAAGGCAAACUAAUAAUUCACGGGAGGAAAAAAAGAAAAAAAGAGAAGGAACAUAUGCUAUUCAAGACAUGUAUAGUUUGGACAUGAAGUCUAAGCCCAGAACAAUAAGCACCUAGCUGAGUUUUCAAUUUCCAAAACCCAACAAAAUCUUUGUCAAAAUAUCUGAUCUAGUCCCAUAUUAAGCACAUUCAUAGCCGUAUCAACAGGUUCAAAAUAUUUUCCCCAAAAAGAGAUAGAGAUUCCAUUGAGUUGUGAUUGUCCAAACGUUCUGUAACAAGUUAUGGGAGCCCCUAUGUUACAAUUAAUGUAACAUACACACUCAACAACAACCACACAAGUUAUGGUUAUUCUUGUAACACAAAUCCAAUAUUGCGCAACAAAAUUUUUUUUCUAGCUCGAUGGAUUAGUUUUAAAUUAAAAAAAAAAGAGUAAAAAGACCAACCAUGCCUGUGAAUCCUUUUUUUUUUAAUUUUUCUAAAUCUAUCAAAUGAAAAUGUAAUUAUAUGGUUCAGGAUACCAAUAUGCCUGAUCUGCAAUGGUUGACUUGCACUAUCCUAGAGGGGCUAUACUUUAUGUUGAAUUUCCUUGUUUUUUUUUUUAAAAAGAAAAAAUUACUAGGUUUAUUAUUGAAAAUCUUCGACACAUUUUAUGUAAGAUACCAUAAAGCCAAAUACAACCUUUUUUAUUCUCAGCAGCAACUUUUUUUUUCCAUAUAAAUAAUGUGGAAAAUAGCACCACCUUUUCUAGAAGGUGGUGCCCACCACUUUUGAAGAAGAAUGCGGUUGUUACUGCAUUCUUUGAAUCAAAGAAAAUGUUAAAAGUCAUGGCUGGCACCGACCAUCUAGAUGGCCAGUGCCAUGCCAUUCAACACGGCCCGCCAUUGUUGGUGGUGCUGUGUUGACUUGUUAAAAGAAAAGAGCCAAAAUUUUGGCUAUAUAAAGAGGGGUUCCUACCCUCAUUUUAGUAUCCAAUUCCGUGGGAGCAGUUAGUCUAUACAUGGCGAAUCCGGGUGGAGAGCAUUGGAUAGCUGUGAAAAUGAUUCUGAGAUACAUCAGAGGAACCUCAGAUGUUGCAUUAUGUUAUUGAGGAUCAGAAUUUACUGUCAGAGGCUAUGUGGAUUCAGAUUUUGCAGGAGAUCUUGAUAAAAGAAAAUCCACUAUUGGUUAUGUGUUUACACUUGCGGGAGCAGCUGUAAGCUGGGUUUCUAAACUGCAGACCGUUGUGGCUUUAUCUAUAGCAGAAGCAUAAUACAUGGCAGCUAUACAAGCUUGCAAGGAAGCUAUUUGGAUACAAAGAUUAUCGGGCACAAACAACAGAAAAUUUCUGUAUUUUGUGACAGUCAGAGUGCUUUGCACAUUGCAAGGAAUCCAGUCUUUCAUUCCAGGACAAAGCACAUAGGAGUUCAGUAUCACUUCGUUCGAUAAGUAGUGGAAGAUGGAAGUGUGGAUUUACAGAAAAUCCAUACGAAGGAGAACCUAGCAGAUGUUUUGACCAAGCCGAUAAAUGCUGACAAGUUUAUCUGGAGUAGAUCUUCUUGUGGCCUAGUAGAAACGUAGGCAACAUGACUAUGGCGAAGCAGAAAGGAUGGUGUGGAGAUUAAUUGAUUCUCAAUCAAAUCUCCAAGUGGGAGAAUGUGGAAAAUAGCACCACCUUUUCUAGAAGGUGGUGCCCACCACUUUUGAAGAAGAAUGCGGUUGUUGCUGAAUUCUUUGAAUCAAAGAAAAUGUUGAAGGAUUUGGUGCCGCCUAAAGAAAACUUUGACAAAGAAGAAAGAAAAAUCUGCAAAAGGUGGUUGGUACACCAAAUGAAAGAAAAAAAUAAUAAUUAAAUUAUUAUUUUAAUAGCCAAUUUUGGCUAUAAAAAUGGAGAGCUCCAUUUUGAUUUUGGCAUCCAAUUUUGUAGAAAGAGUCGAGAAUUGUGAGAAGUAAUUCUUGCAGAGCAGAGAGUUUUGUGUACUUAGUGUUUUGAGAGUUUGGGUGUAUUGGGGUUUUGGGUAGUGAGCUAAAAUACUACAAUACUUGUAACUACUUUUCACUAGUAUAAUAUUUUCCUUCUGUUUUCGUACGUGGACGUAGGCUAAAAGUCGAACCACGUAAUUUCUGGUGUCCUCUAUUGUGCUUGUUCUUUAUUUUCUUUCAAUUUUACUUUAGCUACGGUUCUGCUUAACCCACCAAUUUACUAACAAAUAACGCUUUAAACAUUAUUUGCAACAAGGAAGAAUUAUUUCAUGCUUUCAGGUAUUACAAACUUUCCAGAAAGCCACGGUAGCCAAGAGGAGCACAAAUCGGGAGUUUUUUGGAGGUACUAUAAAACUACUUAUUUUUCUAAUUAUGAGAUCGCCAACCAACUGUUACAAUUAUUAUUAUUAUUUGGCAAACCUCUACAUGACAAUGGAGAUUUAUUAGAUUUAAAAUGGAUAAUUUCAAACAUCUCAUAUUAUAUUGAUCCUUUCAAAAUCAAAUUACACGCAAAGCUGUUAAAAAAUUAAUAAUAAUAAGUAAAUCAACGGCAAAGAGGGAAAAUUAUACAUUUAAAUCAUUAAUUUAUUAUGAAAAUUUUCGUUUUACACUGCGAGUUAAGGAUGGCAAUGGAUCGGAUCUGACCCAAGAUCCAUAUGAUCCAAAUCCAAUUGGAUCGGAUUUGGGUUGGAUUAAAGUGGAUUUGGAUGGAUUUGGAUGUCAAUGCGUGGAUCUAAGGCGGAUCUGGAGCAAAUUCAGAUUUAUCUUAAUAUCUAUAUCCAAAUCUAUAUUCACUCACCAUUUAAUGUAAUUUUAUUUUAAAAAAUUCUUAACAAUUAUGUAAUUAUAAAUGAUGAUAAAAUUUAUUCAUUAGCAUGUAUUUAAGAAUCUUAAAACUUAAAGGUACUUAAUUGAUAAUAAGACAAAAAAUUAUCAAGUGUAAAAUAAAACUAGGAUAGCCUGCCCUAAUUUUUUUAAGUUUUUCACUCUACAAUUUAGUCUCUUUUUUCCUCUUUAGUUUACUCUCGCUUCUCCACUUCAUUUGAAUGAUUGGAUCAGUUCUUUAAUUGUUAGGAAAAUCCAUAGACUUGGGUUUAUUUUUCUACCAUUUUCUCAUAAUCUUAUUUAUUUUGUAUAAUCACUAAUCAAUGGUGGCUAUCAACUAUAAAAUAAUUAUGUUAAUCAUAUAUUUCGUUAAAUAUGAUCAUAAUAAAAAUAAUAAAGCACUGAAUAUAAUAAAUCAUUUUUAACUUAUAUGUUAUUAUUUAAUGAUAUAGGAAUGAUGAUGGUGUGCAGUGGAUAUCAAGAUAGUAAAGGAGACAUUAGAAUAUUAUAAUGAUCUUAUUCCUUCAAUUACUUUUGAUCGAUAUUUUAUUGUCUUUCUUAUUUAUUUAUUUUGGUGUAAAAGUAGAAGCUGCAAUACUUAUUAGAUUUUUUGUACACAUUAUAUAAUUUAAUUGUUACCAGUGCAUUUUAGUCUUAAAUUUUAUUUCUAAAAAAAUUGAUCUCUUAUUAUUGAGAUUUAGAAUUCAUGAUGGAUCUAGAGCAGAUUUGGAUUUUAAUUUUUCUUUUUGGAUUUGGAGCAGAUAUAGAUCUUUAUUUUUUGUUUCGGAUCUAGAUAUGGAGCAAAAAAUAUAGAUCCAUGACGAAUCUGAAGCAGAUAUGGAUUUUAAUUUUUAUUACGGAUUUAGAUCUGGAACAAUGUAGAUCCAAUCCAUAUCUGCUCCAUUGCCAUCCCUACUGCGAGAUAUAGCAUUCUUCAAUUAAUCACAUCAUACUUGUUGGAUGAGUUUCGAAUAACCCAAAAACGACACGUACAUUACUUCAUUGCAUUGGUAGCAGUUUGGUGCUUUGGGUUUGAAAAUGGACCAAGCUCGUGCAAUUACAAUUCUUUUAUGCCAAUAGGAAAACUAGACCCUAUUUUUAGUUAAAUGUACACAAAAUAGGAAAACUAGGUCCUAUGGUUUAUUUAAAUGUACACAGACAUCUCUCAAUUUUUUAAAAAAAUUGUUAAAUAAUUUUUUUCUUUUACUAUCAUAAUCUUUACCUAUGGCAACCAAAAAAAAAAAUGAUUUUAUCAUAAUCGUCCCAUGCAACACCUCUCUCAUGAUCACGCAUGUAAUGUACCUCAUCAAACCAAGCCACUUCACGCGUAAUCUCCGAACCUUAUAGUUUAUACUGCAUACUACGCCAGAUUUCAGUAGUCAUCACCUGAAAUUAAAACAAAUCAAAGCGCUGCAACACCCAAAAGAUGACACUACCAAGUUGACCUACCAAACAAGAAGCAUUAGGGUCAAUUGUGACAUCCCCAGUCAUCAAACCAACAUCUGAAAACUCUUCUUUAAACUCCCUGUACUUCUGAUUGCUAAGUGCCUUAAUCGGGGAAGUAUAUAUCACACGUUGCUUAUUCCGCAACGACAUAGCAAUAGCAUACAAUGCUACCACAGUUUUCCCAGCAGAUGUAUGGGCCGAUAAUGAAAGGCAAAUCCAUUUUUUUAAAAAAAAAAAAAACUAUUUUUAUUUUCACACAAGAUAACACUUGAUGCAAAAAAUUGGCAGAGCACUUUCUACGAAAGGACUUCCAAAUUCAAAUUAAAUUUUUUACAAAAAAUUAGAGCUUUAUUGUGUGCGCGCGGGCGCGCGUCCGUGUAUAUUUUAAUAAUAAUAAUAAUAAACGAACCAUAACGGACUCGCCGUUGUCGAGGCACUUGAUAGCUUCGGACUGGAAUCAUCUUCUGAAAUUAGUACAUUCCAUGCUUCGGAAUCAUCUUGCAUGAUUGGUCGAGAGUGAAAGGGAAUUCCUUAGCAGGUUUAGCGUCAGCUUCAGGCACUUGACCAAGACGCAUUAAACAGAAAAUGCGGCGUUUUCAUGGACUAGUACAUUCCAUGCUUCGAAAGUUUUAUGUUUUAGACUGAUUGGUUUGAUACAUUAUUUGUUUAUUGCAUUUUUCUUGCUUUAAAUAUUAUGUUGGAUUGAUAAGUUUUGUACACAUUUAUAUUGCUCGCAGUAAAUAAUUUAUUACAUUUAAAAAACUAUCAACCGUCUAUCAAAAGAUUUCUACUAUAAAUAUAUGUACACAACAAACUUUUAAUUUGGUCAAUUUGUUCUCUUAUUUAUUUUUGUUCUAUUUCUCUUUUCCUUUCAUUUCAUUUUAUUGUUUUAUGGUACAAAAAAAAAUAACCUUAAAAUUUAAGGGUAAAAUACUCAUUUUACUAAAUUCCGUUUAAUAUCAUAAUGCUGUCAAUGGACAAUGGCAAAGUACACGAGUGAUACAAAUUAAAAACAAAUAAAUUGAAAGUUUUUAUGUAUUUUCCUUUUAUUUUUUUAUAGCCGAUUGAGAUUUCCCUUCGUAUUCUUAAAUUCAAUACGUUUAGACCAUUUAAAAAAUUUUAAAUUAAAAAAAACCCGUGGUGUAAUAACAAACUCACAUCAAACCCUGUCCACUGUCAUCCCUAAUAAUAUUUACCACUUCAUACUCAAGAGUGAUAAUAACUGUGUAUCACAAUUGAUUUUGCAUACGGGUAAAAGUUCCAAGUCUGGAUAUUUAGUUAACGAAAUUGAUGAAAAGGGCACGAAAGAAAAUAAGAAAUUAAAUAAUACAGGUGGUAUUAAUCAUUACAUAUUUAGUUAAUGAAAAUUGAUGAAAAUAUUUCUGCAGACAUGAGCCGUAAUUAUAAUACCGUUAAGAAUGAAGCGGCAGAGUUUCCCCAAACAAGCUAAAACACGGCACCUGAAUUUAAAGAAUUUUUAUGUCACAGUAUCGGGACAAAAAGUUUAAUGCAAUAACAUACAUUAAGUUAAUUCCAUAAUCUAUCACCAAAGAAAGACAAACACAAGCUUAUAAGAUUAGAACUUUGGAAAACAUUGAAGAGUCGGACAAAAUUGUGUAACCUUCAGAGUUUAGAGCCUAGUUCAUCCAGGAAAGCAAAAGAAAAUAAUAAUAAUAAUGGUGGUUUGAUCUCAAAAGGUGGCAUCAAAGUGGUAACUUUGAGGUAUUGGAAGCAAUAACGUCUUCAACUUUGUCCUGAUUUCGAAGUCCCUUAACCCAUCCGCCAUCAAUGGAUUGAAUGCUUCCAUUCAACCCAUCAUCCACAAAAUCACCAACCCGUUUCACCUUCAUCUCCUACGCUUAACAGGGUACUUCCCAGAGAAGCUAGCAUAACAAAAAUUCUGAGAAUCAUUGCCUAACAACUUGUUCAAGAUGUCAAUCGGCAGAGAAGCAAGCAAAUCACACCCAAUAAACUCCCUGAUUUCCUCGACGCUCAUCCUGUUGGAAAUCAACUCCUCAGUACUCGGAGUGUCCACUCCAUAGUAACAAGAAGCUAUGAUUGGUGGGCUUGCAAUUCUCAUGUGAACCUCUUUAGCUCCAGCCUCCUCAAGCAACCUAACAAUUUUGGAUGAAGUUGUUCCUCUCACUAUCGAAUCAUCGACAACCACAACUCUCUUUCCCUCCAACACUCCCCUUACAGGAGAGAGCUUAAGCUUGACACCAAAGUCCCUAAUCUUCUGGGAAGGCUCAAUGAAAGUUCUCCCAACAUAGUGUGACCUUAUCAACCCUUGUUGAAAUGGCACCUCGGCUUUGGCAGCGUACCCAAGUGCAGCCACCACUCUAGAAUCUGGUACUGCAAUCACGACAUCACACUCAACAGGAGCCUCGGUAGCAAGUACUUCCCCAAAAUGAUUCCUCGACUCAUAAACAGACCUUCCAAAAACAACAGAAUUAGGCAAAGCAAAAUAAAUAUGCUCAAAGAUGCACUGCUUAGGUUCAGGGUGAGGGAUGAAACAAAGUGAUUGAACCCCAUCUUUAUCCACCAUCAAAACUUCUCGGGGAUGUACCUCUCUCUCGUAUGUGGCCUCAAUCAAAUAGUGCACAAGUCUCUGACGCAAAAACCACAGCACCAUUACUCCUCCUACCCAUCACCAACGGCCUAAACCCGUACGGGUCACGAACCGCAACAAGCUUAUCCUCAGUAACAAACACCACUGAAUAAGCACCCUCAAGCUUCUCACAAGCAUCCACAAUCCUCAAAAAGAACGGCCUAGCUUUCGAUAUCGCAAUCAAAUGGAGAACAACCUCAGUAUCAGAACUAGUAUUAAAAAUGGAACCAUUAUCUUCAAGCUUAGCCCUCAAAGUAUUAUAGUUAAAUAAAUUCCCAUUAUGUGCAACACCUAGAGAACCAAACCUGUACCCAGCAACAAAAGGCUGCACAUUCUUAAGCAUGCAGUCGAAUAUCUAACAUGACCAAUGGCCAUAUCGCCAGGCAAUUGAUCAAGUUUAGACUGAUUAAACACAUCAGAGACUAAACCAGCACCGGUAAUAGACUGAAGAACUUUAUUAUUCACAGCAACUAUAACUACACCUUCUUGGCCGCGAUGCUGCAGAGCGUGCAGCGCCAAAUAGCACAAACGCGAGGCCUCUGGGUCACCGUAUGAAACGACCCGCCCCGAAUCCCCCGGGCGAGUCAAUCUAGUCUCAUCAAAACGGAUUUGAUAAUAAUCUAAUUAGUAAGGAUUCUGCCGAAAAUUAGGCAAAGUCUCCUUUAUAUAUAUAACACUCCCAAUCUACAAAUAUGAAUAUAACACUCCUAAUAUAAUUCAAUAUACAACAAACUCCAGUGACCAACAUCCUCAACCAAAAUGCUGAGUUUUAUAUCUCUAGAGUCUCAAAAGAUAAUAUUAUAACUAAUAUUAAUAUUUUAGUUUAUUCUUAAUCCCAAAAGAAUAAUACAACAAAAAUUAUACAAUCCCAACAGGACAAGAUAAUCAAAAGAUGUCCUAACAAAAACAUUUAUAUCUUCUAACAUCAUCACGUGGCCAAGACUCAAAAUAUAUUUACAGUCGCUGGGUCGGUCUAGUGUACCUGCUACCUCCUGGUGAGGGGGAAAAAAUAUAAUAAAAACGGGGUGAGUUUAAAACUCAGUGAGAUCAGUGAGUGGAUAGUAGUUUUUGAAAAUUAAUACUUACUUUAAAAGAAAUAUUCAUAUAAUUUCCAAACACGAUUUCAUCAAAUCAUAUGCAAGAAACCAAUAGUAAAUCAUUUACAUUUAAAUCAGAUUACUAACCAUGAAAAGCAUAUAUAAUAUUGUACCAAAUAACCAUAGAAAUUAUAUUACAAUAUCAUAUAUAAUACACAAAUUUGAAAAUCAUCACCAAACAAGUACCUAGAGAAAUAAUCUCAUCAUAUCCGGACCUCAACGGACGGGCAAUGACGUUCUAUCUGGGUACCGUCAUGCCCCAGAGUUACACGGAUAGACAGGGAAAUAUCAUCUCAUAUCUCAUCAUAUCUUAUCAUAUAUGUGCGUGCAUAAUCUAGUCCCCAAAGGACAAAAGCGCCCAAGCACACGGCUCAAAGCCUCUGUGUGUACUCAGACGGGCCCCAAAGGCUUGUAUCUCAUCUGUAUCAUCUGUAUCUCAAUAUCUGUCUGUAUCUCAUAUCUGUGUAUCUGUAAUCAUCAUACCGCAUGCAUAUGCCCUCAAAAGGCAAAAACGCCCAAACACACGGGCCAAAGCCUCUAUGUGUGUUCAAACGGGCCCCAAAGGUCUCUCAUCUCAUCUCAUCUGUAUGGGUACUAUCUAGUGAUUUCAAAAACAAUCAUUAUACUCAUAUUCACAUACUUUUUUAACCAUAUUUUAAAUCAUACCACAUUUGAAUCCACUUUUCUUAUCUUUAAAAUAUUAUCAUGCUUAUUCAAAGUCGAUACAAAAAAUCAUUAACCAAACAUUUUAAUAAAAUACCAAUACGUGGACAAAAUCCAUUUCGAGGUAAUCAUUAAAUCAGAUCAUUUAAAAUACUUAUUUUGCAAACAUGCUUUACUAUCAUAAUUAACUAUGAAAAUAAGUUUUGUAUAUUCUACUCAUAGUGACGGUGUUCACGCUUGGUUAUCGUCUACGUCCGCAAACCGAUUCUUGCUCGUGGAUCCUCCUAAAUCAAGGAAAUAACAUAAAUAUUUUCCGUAAAACGGAAUUAGGACUAAAUUUAUGCAAUAAACUCGAAACGAAAAUCUAUCCAUAAUUUACAACUCCCGUGUCGAUAAAACUGCUAAAAUGUCCUCGAGUCCAUAAAUCAUUAAAAUACUUCGAAAUCGGAAAUCACUGAAUUACCCUCGGAAUCGUAAUUACACCAAUCCUCACUUCUAGGAAUUACUAAAAUAUCAAUAGGCUCAGAAAUUACAAAAUUGCCCUCAUAGUGUGAAAUUACCGAAAUGCCCUUGUCGAUCAACAGUCACUGGAAUUUGGUCAACGUUGGCCGGGAAGCACAAGUCUGAAAGUUCCAAUCAUGCUGAGUUCAAUGGUACCGGCGGUGAGCUCCAACGCGCGGCAACGACGUUGGAAUCUAGCUCGGCAACCGUGAAUUCCAACAAUUGACCGGCGGCGAAACAGUGACUCCCGGUGCCUAUGGAUGGUCGAAAAUGGAAGAAGGAGUCAUGAGGAACAAAAUCCAACCAGUGGUGUCACCCAAAACCGGUGAAAAUCCCGGUGGAACAAAAUGAAACAGUCGCGGGUUUUCAAGCUUCGAUCACCGGCGUUCCGGUUGGUUUUCGGCGGCGAUGGCAGGGGAACGACGGCUGGCUUCUAAGCUUCAGAUUGGUACCAAGCUCGGCCGAAACAGUGGCCGAAAAUGAAAGUUAUGGCCGGGUCAAUUUCGCAGGUCGUGUCGGGUUUUCCGGGUCAGUUGAUAGCUUCUGUUACUCUCAUACGUGUGUGUAUAAGUUCCAUGUUUCUAACUUAUUCUAUUAUUUUUAAUAAAGUCUUUAACCGCCUCAAUUUCAUUUUUAAUUCACAUAUGUUACAAUCCUCCCCCCUUAUAAAAAUUUCGUCCUCGAAAUUUACGUACCUGAUAAGAAAAGAUAGGGAUACUGAGCUCGCAUUAAGUCCUCGCGUUCCCAGGUAGCCUCUUCCUUUGUAUGAUUCUUCCACCAUACUUUUACUAAAGGAAUGGUCUUAGAAUGCAGAACUUGGUGUUUCUCUUCCAAUAUCUCAACUGGUUCCUUUUCGUAAGUCAAAUCUUCCUUCAACUGAAUUGGUUGCUACGAUAACACAUGACUCGGGUCAUAUAUGUACUUCUGGAGCAUUGAGACAUGAAAUACAUCAUGGAUUCUGGAUAACUCGGGUGGUAGAGUUAAUGGACCAAUGCGCUCAAUGAUCUCAUAUGGCCCAAUGUAAUGUGGACUUAGCUUCCCACGUUUCCCAAAUCGAAGCACCCUUUUCCAAGGAAAUAUCGGUAUGAAAACUCUAUCACCAACUUCGAAUUCAAGUUCCCGCCUACGCUUGUCUGUACAGCUCUUUUGUCUAUCUUGAGCCACCUUUAAUCUAUCCCGGAUCAAUUGUAUCUUCUCGUUAGUAUCUUGGACAAGUUCUGAACCGAAUAACCUCCGCUCACCAACCUCAUCCCAACAUAUUGGAGUCCUGCAUUUUCUACCAUACAAAGCCUCAUAUGGUGCCAUCUCAAUACUAGCUUGAUAGCUGUUGUUGUAAACAAACUCCAUCAGAGGUAAAUGAUUGUCCGAUUUACCUUUCAACUCCAUAACACAAGCUCGCAACAUAUCCUCUAGAGUUUGAAUAGUACGCUCUGAUUGUCCAUCAGUCUGUGGAUGAAAAGUUAUACUGAAGUUCAACUUUGUGCCUAAGGGAUUUUGCAAGCUAGUCCAGAACUUAGAAGUAAACUGGGAAUCUCUAUCUGAAACUAUAGACACGAGUACUCCGUGAAGUCGAACUAUCUCAGCCACAUAAAUACUCCCUAACUUGUCCAUCGAAUAGGUGGUUGAAUGGUAAGAAAUGAGCAGAUUUUGUAAGUCGAUCAACAACUGUUAGAGUGCAAUUUAUGCACUAGUUUUGCAUUGUUUACUUCCCUUAAUAUCGAUGUUUUGCACUUAAUAAUAAUGUUUUACUUGUGUUUUACUUUUGUAGGUGCAAUUCUAUUGAUUGGUGAUAAAAUUGAGCUAAAAGAUGAUGUUUAAGGAGGAUUUUUCUCUUGGAGAAAUUAUGAGCGUCAGAAGAACUUUGUUGAUAAGGCGUGGGCGCGUGCUGUCAACUGCGGACCUGCAGUUUUUAGUUUAACGUGUUUUGUAUUUUUGGUUAUUUUUGUAAUUACGAAUUUAAUAUUUCAGAUAUUAGUAUUUUAUUUUAAAUAGAAUUCUAAAAGAGAAGAGAGAGAGAGUAUUUAAGGGAGGAAUCUAUUGUGAAAAAGGGGGGAUUUUUGGAUUGGAGAAAAAGAAAGAAACCCUAGAUUUAAUUUUUCUCUCCUCUCUAUGAAGAACUAAACCUAUUUUUCUGGUUGAAGGAUAACGAAGCUUUGAUUCAUCACUACUGUGAGAUCUUUCUUGUGCUUUAAUUGUUUUAUUGCUUUUUGGGUAUUUGUUUAUUCUCUGAAUUAGUUUCAUGAUUAUGUUUGUUAAUUAGGUAAUUGGCCACUAUUUAAUUAUCAACUUAAUCUAUUGUCAAUUAAAGGAUUCAUCGUAUGAAGAAUUUAAUGCUUGUGACAAAUAACAUAGCAGAGAGUUGUGUUGUGAGAAUAAACAAUCUAAUUUAAAUAAAUCAUCAUAUGUGUUGAUUAGGAUUUGGGUCUCUCUGGUUUUUCAGGCUGUCAAUUGAUUAAAUUCUAUGAUCGUAUCUAGGGUUGUCUAUUGAUUAGGGAAAUAACCAACGGUCGUACCUUGGUUAUCGACUAGUUAAGGAGAGAUUGGCUAUUAGAGGGUCUCAGUAGCUAUAACCGGUCUAUUCAUGAGUAAUAAUAAUCUAUAUUUGAAUCAAUGAUCAGUAGUCGAAUCAAGCUGAGUUAAUUCCUUCAACCAGAGCUUUCUCUAAUUUGAAUUACAACUUUAAUUUGCAUUCUUGUUAUUUUAAUUUGAUUUUUAUUAUUGUCAACAAUUCCCCCAUUUUACGUUUUACGUUUCAAAAGGAUUUAAUUAAUUACCGAUCUCUGUGGACACGACCCUGCUCAAUCACUAUACACAAUUUAUUUAGAGUAGGAAUUUAUUUUUGUUGGCUUCGACACCCAUCAACAACCACCCAAACACUAUCAUGUCCUUUCUGAGUACGUGGAAGUCCUGCUACAAAAUCCAUGGUGAUGUGCUCCCACUUCCACUCAGGAAUAGGAAGCGGGUGAGAACACCCUGCAGGCCUCUGGUGUUCAGCCUUAAUCUGCUGACAGACUAAAUAUCGAGAAACAAAUUCUGCUAUCUCUCUCUUCAUACCCUGCCUCCAGUAAUGAUCCAUUAGGGUGCGAUACAUCUUCGUACUACCAGGAUGCAUCGCAUAUGCUGAACAAUGAGCUUAUUCCAUAAUCUCUUCUUUCGGAUCUUUAAUAUCAUGUACACAGAGUCUAUUACCCAUGACUAAGACUCCAUUGCCUCUCACCGUAAAAUCGGUUCGUAAACAUUUUUGCACAUCCUCUUUCAACUGCAUUAACUGUGGGUCCUGAGCUUGCAUCUGGUGAACUUUGUGAAUCAAAGUCGGCCUAACUCGAAAAUUAGCUAUCAAAGCUCCACAAUCGUCACCGUUCAACUCGACUCCCAAAGAUCUCAACUCGAUCAACAGAGGCAUCUAUUUCACUCGCAAGUGAGCUAUAGAGUUGGAAGACUUCCUACUGAGUGCAUCAACUAGAAAAAACAUACCUCUUUGAGAUACUGCAAAUUGGCUUUAAGUUCAAUACUGUUGAUGGUCAAGUUGGGACAGUAAUGAAGUUGUAACUCUUCCAAUGCUGUCCAAAUUGAACAAUAAUUUUCUUAACAGAAGCUGACGAGUUCUGGGAGACUUCGAAGUGUUAAUUCUCUUAACAAAGGGAGGGCGAGCAUCGUAUUUCCAUCUCUGACACUUAUUUCCCCUUCAUUGUGAUCAAACUUUGCUUCGACAAUACAUUCCAGCCUGUCGCAAUAAGUCACACUGAGACUUUUAAGCUGCUCCAAACUUCGAGCUUGUGACAACGUGAAGAUAUAUGUCAAAUUAUGGCAGCCAUACACACUCAAUUCUGUAAGAGUUUGGAGGCUGAUCACAUGUUGGGCAGGCGCCUUCCACAUCCACUUUGCUAAUCUUGAGAGCACCUCAUGAUUCCCACUCUUUCAAUGCGGCGACUGAGAGGCGUCCGCAUUGCAUUCUAAAUCUUCACAAUAGUUGACAAAUAGAUGAGUCAACUCAUUUAAGCCCCCUUCAUCUAUGCUUGGAACAAUAUUAUGGAGACCUAUUAUCCUUUUCAAAUUAAGAAAUUUCAGAUUUUGACACAAUGUCGAAAAAAUACUGAGCGAGGCCGCUUCACAAUAGUUAAUCAUUAAGCACCUGCUCCGUCCAAAAAAUUCAUCUUCUUUUUUCGUUCCAACUUCAAGUUUGUUACAGUUACUGACGAAGUACAUUUGCAAUUUUGGAAAUGUAAAGUCUUUUGAAAGACGUACAAUUUUUUGUUCAAUAUGUAAAGUCUUUCCAUCAUCAUCUUGGAUUUCAUCAUCGUCGGGUUGGGAGUUCAACUCAGCAGCCCUAGCGUAACUUUCUUCUGAACUCAUCCCUUCAGCCUCCCAAUCUUUUAUCCAACCAUAAAAUUCUUCUAAUUGAGGAAAUUUUUUUAUCGUAAUAGGAGAAAUAGAACCAGAAUCAAUGAAUAGAAGAAGUUUCAAUCUACUAAGUUGAUCCUCAAAUUCUUCAGGAACUUCAAUGGGAGACCCAUUGACACAAACAAUUUGAAGUCUCUUCAACUUUCCAAGGAAAGACGCGUCACUCACUUUACAUCGAAUCAACUGCAGAACUUGGAGGUUGGUGAGGAAUUAAAGCGAUUUAAGUGAAAGAACUCCACCUAUUAUAGUAAUAACUUUUAAUGCUGGCAUCUUUUCGAAAAAAUAUUCUGGAACUUGCAAUCGGUCGCCAUAUUUAGCAUUCUCCAAUCGCAAAAUAUGAAGGUUAGGGCAUACCAAACCACUUGGAAGCUCUUUUUUUUCAUUUCCCAUCAAAAAGAUUCCUUUGUAUUUUUCCACUGCCUGUUCCGCCAAUCCAAUGCCAACUUUACUAGUAAAAUAUUUUUUCUCCAUUGAGCCUAUCCAUAAGGCUACAUCACGAACAAUGUCAUGCGUUUUCACAAAUCUGUCAUUACCAGCAUCUAAUAGCAGUGAAGAAGCUUUGAGCUCUUUAAUCGUUCCACUCAAUAGGCUCCUGACUUUUUCAAUUGACUCAGCUCGAUACCAUCUCAACCCCACUGCAUAUCCAACC